RNAcentral lists this long non-coding RNA (89796 nucleotides) under Gossypium barbadense (sea-island cotton). Its description in RNAcentral is "long non-coding RNA (GBAR_LNC013530)". Lineage: Eukaryota; Viridiplantae; Streptophyta; Magnoliopsida; Malvales; Malvaceae. The record is from RNAcentral.
AAAAAUACGAAAUUCAAUAAAAAUUUAAAAAAAGAUUCAGCGGGUUGAAUUUGGUGCCCAAAAUUUCCAGAUCGAAAAUUCAAUAUAUAAGGACACUCCAGAUUUAAUUUCGUGAUUUUUGGAGAUCGGGAACACCUCGAACGAAGUUGUCAAGUUACUCCGCAGUUUUUCGGGUUUUCUGUUUUCAGCAAUUUUUAUUGAUUCUUAGCUGUAGGUUUUCAUUUGUUUGCUUUUUAUUCUCCUUUUACAAUAUCUAACACCUUCUUGUUUCUUGUGUUAGUAGGAUUUAAACGUGUGGACAAUCCUUCCUCGGUGCAACACGAAUCACUUGGUGUCUCGUCAGUUUUUGGCAUCCUAGUGCAAAUUAGGAUUCUUUGGUAGUUUGGUUCACACUCUCUAAUUGGUUGAUAUAAACUCUGAUAAAGAACUCACAAGAUUGAAUUCGACCUCAUUGAGAAUUUGAUUUUUCUUUUUGAGUGAUUAAUGGUGAGGUUUGCUAACUUUUAUUUUUGAGAGUUGAGUGUUUAUUUUUUACAGUUUUGAAGAUGUCUAAAGGUGAUAAUAAUGAUACACUUAUGAAAGUCCAACAACAGUUAGACGGACAUACUGCUGCAAUCACACAAAUAAAUGCUACACUUCAAGCAUUGAAUACUACUUUGAAUGAGGUACGAGUGAAUCAAAAACAUCAAUAUCGAGAUCCAAUUAAGGAAGAUAGGGAUAACCAGCCCCAUAGGUGCAGCCCUCAACGUGUCCCUAGAAUGUAUGAUGAUUUUCAUGAUCGUGGACAAUCAUCUUUGGCAAAACCAAAGAGCGAGCAGCAACGAGAACAUCUCUUUCAUACUCGCUGCCAUGUACAAGGUAAGCUUUGUAGAGUUAUUAUUGAUGGUGAAAGUUGCUCAAACAUAGCCAGCACGACGAUGGUGGAAAAGCUUUGCUUAACCACUACCAAGCAUCCACAACCUUAUCAACUACAAGGGCUUAGCAACGAAGGCCAAUUUACGGUCACUCAACAAGUGCGCAUCGCCUUUUCUAUCGGUAAGUAUCAAGACGAAGUUGUGUGCGAUGUAAUGCCUAUUCAAGCCUGCCAUUUGUUGCUAGGAGAACCAUGGCAACUGGAUCGAAAAGUCACUCACGAUGGUCGUACCAAUAGGUAUUCUUUCAAGCAUCAAGGAAAGAAACUCACCUUAGUGCCGCUCACUCCGGAAUAAGUCCAUGAGGACCAAAUCAAACUGAAAAAUUCUGUUAAAACAAGUGAGGAAAAAGAAAAAGAGAAUGAAAAAGAGCAAAAAGAGACUGAGAGUGAAAAAGAAAUUGAAGAAAGAAGAGAAAAUGAAUUAGAAAAAGAAACAAAAGAAAAAGACGUGGAAAGGGUAGUGAGGAAUGUUUCCACUAACCAAGAUAUGAAUUUUUCUUGUGUUGCUACUUUUCAGGUUCCCGAAAGAUCGAAAGAUAACUUUCAACUUCAAUACCUCUCAAAUGAAAGACGCUUUCAUACGAUCAACUUAGGCAAAGAUGAAAUCACACUACAUGAUCCCGAAGGUAAGCGAGGUAAGGAAAUUUUAGAAACCGAGUCCAGUGCAGAUUUGAAAAUUAUUGAUAAAACUUUUGGUGACUUAGUUCUUAAAAGAUCCCCUCAUUUUGAUCCGAUUAAUUGUUACUCUUCGAUUGUGGUUGAUAAAGUCAUUACGAAAAGAAGAGUGAUUUGUUAUUCUCUUGAUUUACCUUGUGUAAAAUCCUUGAAUUUGUCCAAAUCUGUUUUGGAGAAUAAAGUAACGAAAUUUUCCAAAUUUGUUUUCAAUUUAUAUUCGUGCCUUAAACAGUUUAUGUGGUUGUACAUGAAGUUUGAGUUCCAUUUGACAAAGGUUAACUCAACAACGGAGAUUCGACUACACUAUGCCCCCGAUGAACGAAGGUUUGUUUUAAAUGAAAAAGGUAAAAUCGACCCUUAUUCUUCUGCUUAUCGAGGAAAGAUGCUUGAAACCUUUGAAACACUUUUGUACUCCUCGGAUAGUGAUAAAGAUCGUGUUGAUGAACACUUAGAUCGAAACGUGCUUGACUGUCCUAUUUUAUUUAUUGAUGAUCUAUCUGUUUUGAUGGUUGAUAAAAAGAUUCUUGUUUUUGAUAAUGCAUGUGUGAGUGAAUCUAUAGACCGUCGAUUAAUGCAUGGUAUGAUUAUGCAACUCUGUGAACCAUGUGAAUCUUUUCAAAUACCUACUUGUGACGAUUAUGUUUACCAUUUGAUUUAUUACUCGCAAUUUAUUCAUGGUUUGUGGGAACAAUGUGAGACGACUGAAUGCCUUAAAACAUGUCCAUCUUUGUUUCAAAUAUUUGACGAGGCAGUGGUGAGUAAAUUAGAUUGUUUGCAUGGUAAUCUGAAUCUGUCCAUUCACAUGCGUUAUACCUGUUCUAUUAUGCUUAUGAUUAGACUACAAGCUUAUUUCCGUUGCUAUUUACUAUCUCAUGGCUAUUCUUCUCAGUGGACUCAAUUGCCAUUAGUCCCGUUCGAUAGAGGAAAGUCGAGUUCAUUUGAUUUUUCAGAUUCGAGGACGAAUCUUUUUGAGGAAGGGGGGAAUGAUACGAGUCACAAAAGCCGAAAUUCUUGAAGGCGAGGCCCAAUAAGCAAAUUCCCAGCCCAAUCAAGAAAUCCAUCCAUACUUAGUUGAAAAUCAGGCCAAAUUGUCAAAGUGGCCCAAGUUGUAAAGUUUUAUUUUUAUUUAUUUAUUUAUUUAUUUAUUUACUUAGUUUAAAUUUUUAUGUCAAUAUUCAGUCCAAGAGUCCCAGAUAAAAUGACCUUUGACCGAAUUUCCAUAUUAAAAUAAUUAGGAGUUUUUUUUUAUUUUAGUUUUCUAAUUAGAUUAGGACUAGUUAUAAGGCCUAUUUAAAGGCAUGGCUGUCCACCUUGUUAAACACUUAUCAUUAUUAUUAAAAUUUCAGAUUUGUUGAGAGCAAAAUUUUCUUUGAGUUUUCUCCAAGAUUUCUCUCUUGAGUUUUCUUUAGAAGUUGUUUUAACAAUCUUGUGAUUGUGGGAGCCAUCUUCAACCUUCUUCUUGCCAUUGAUAUUCUUUGGAGGGGAGAUUAGAGCUAUUUGAAGGGAGUUGUGAGAUCUUUCGAGAUUUCAAGGCUUCUUAGGACUUAUCUUUUAAUUUCUUACUGUCAAUUCUUUCUUUAUUUCUACUUGUGCUGAAUCAUUAUCUAAUCUAUUUUCUGUUCUUAUUGUGUUUUCAGCCUUUUUCUAUCUUAAGGAAUCAGCCCAAAAAUCCCCAAUUUCUAGGGUUUUUCCAUACUCUUUUUGGGUGAAAUUAGAUUGUCAAAAUUUGGAGAAAACUAUCUUGGUGUUCAAUUGGGCAGAAUCACAAUCUCCUUGAGGGUUUCAAGAACCCUAACACUUAUUUCUAUUCUCAAUUUGAUUCUUUGCUGAUUUGGGGAUUUUAUUUCAGAUCUGAAAAUUCAAAAAUCUAAUCUUUUAAUUUUCUGUUUCGUUUCAGAUCUAAUUGUUUAGGGUUUUCGUAGGAGUUUCUCGUGACUUGGCAACUCGAUCUUGGUCCGCGCGCAACCCCGUAUCAACACGUCACCAGCAUGAUUGCUCUUCGGGACCUAGCCCGGACAUAACACCAGCACGAAUGCUCUUCGGGGUUUAGCACGGAUAUAUCACUAGCACGAAUGCUCUUCAGAACUUAGCCCGGAUACAUCACUAGCAUGAAUGCUCUUCGGGACUUAGCCCGGAUAUGGUCACUUAGCACAAAGCCUUCGGGACUUAGCCCGGACAUCAUUCGAAUAACCAUGCACAUUUAACAAUAAAUCAUGACACAUUCGUAUUUCAUUUUCAUUAGCAAAACUCAAACACAAGACACUUAUCAUUCUUGUAAUUUCGGCUCAAUAGCCACACACAAAGAGCAUGAUUUUGAUUUGCUUAAAACAUGAUCUAAUCAAAUCAUAAUUUAAGCUCUAUUACUCAAGAACUUACCCCUUUCCGCUGUCCGAAAUCGGCUUGGUAAGGUCGCACCCUUAAUAUAAAUAAUUGAUAGAAAAUAUAUAUAUAGUGGGUUUGCACACAUAGUGCUUAAUAAUCAACCACGCACACUUAGUGCCAUGUACUUUAAACUCGCACACUUAGUGCCAUGCAUUUCAAGCCCGCACACUUAGUGCCAAUCUCACAACCGUGAACACUUAUUGCUCGCACACUUAGUGCCAAUCUCACAACCGUGAACACUUAUUGCCCGCACACUUAGUGCUGAAAACCAACCACUCUAUACGCUUCACUGUCUUUUUACAUUCGACAAUUUCGUCUCUACAUACAUAUACACAUAUAGCAAUACACAUUAGUAUAUCAUUUACAUUACUUGAAUACAAACACAACAUGCUUAUCGACCAUUCAACUUCCAGUUCCAUAGCCACAUACAAAAAUCACAUUUAUAGUCAUAACACUCAUUCAAAAUUGCAUCACUUAUACCCUUAUAAUUCAAUCCAAAUCGAAAUUCAAAUACGAGUACAUGAUACGUACCUGAUCAACUUAAUAAUUUAGGCAUAUCUAAAUGAAGUUAUAUUGCAAAUUCUCAUAGUCAGAAGCUUGCUAUAGCUCGAUCGGGAUCAAGAUUCAUUACAAUACAGCAAACACAUUUUAAUAGCAAAAAAUCAUCACACUAUCAUUUUAUCACUUUAUGGCAUGUAUAAAUAGACUCACGCAUGCUACGUUAGUCCAAGAAUCGACUAAACCGUAGCUCUGAUACCAAUAAAAUGUAACACCCCUAUCCCGUAACCGUUGCCGGAAUAGGUAAGGUGUAACACCCCGUACCCGAGACCGUUGCCGGAGUCGGACACGAGGGGUUCACAGACUAAAUUCGCUUAUUAUCGCAGUCCAUUUUAAAAUUUUCUAGGCAGUUGGCUAACUGCGACACUGUCACCUUAAAAAUCAUAUCUUGAGUUUCACAACUCGAAAAUCAGUUUCGUAAUUUUUCCCUGAAACUAGACUCAUAUUCUCAUCUACAUAUUUUUUUCUAGAAUUUUUGGACGGGCCAAUUAGUACAGUUUAUUAGUCAAAGUCUCCCAUGUUACAGGGAUCGACUACACUGACCUUUGUGCAUUACGACUUGGAUAUCUCCCUGUACAGAGCUUCAAUACUGAUUCCGUUUGUUUCUAUAGAAACUAGACUCAGAGAGGAAUCUAUACAUAUAUGGCAUGACUCCUAAUUAUCUCUGGUUAAUUUAUAAUGAAUUUCCAAAGUCGGAACAGGGAAUCCAGAAACCGUUCUGGCCCUGUCUCACGAGAACCUGAAUAUCUCUUAACAUACUAUCCAUAUGAUUGUUUCGUUACUUUCAUAUGAAAAUAGAUUCAUCAAGGUUCGUUUACAUAAUUUAUUCAUUAUUUAAUUCCAAUCCUACUAUUUUUAGUGAUUUUCCAAAUCUACAUCACUGCUGCUGCCAGCAUCUGCCUUUAAGGUAGACUUUACCUAUUUCAUAGUUUCCAUGAUUCAACUAGCCCUUUUAGCAUAAAUAGCACAAAUUAUGAUAGUGAUUAACCAUUCCAUACCAAAUGAUUAUAACAUUAUGCUCAAACAUAUAUAAGCCAUUUUCGCAUGGCUAUAUACAUUAACCAAAAUAUUCUUCCGCCACUAGUCUAUUUUAUACAUGCCAUAAGAUAAUCCAAAACAUAGUAGUACCAAACAGUGGAUAGUGAUAGUGUGACUAGUUGCUGACGAUCCCCGAGCCUGUAGCUUCGCAAUGAGAUCUAUAAAACAGAGGAAACAGAGUAAACGGAGUAAGCAUUACAAUGCUUAGUAAGUUUUAAGCAGUGUCAACAGAUAACAAUCAAAUUAUAACAUAGUUGUUCGUAUUUUUAUUUCACUCUUCCUUCGGGCAUACCAUCCCUUUACCGAAUAUACACAUCUCAUCAUAUACAAUAGGCAGAUAAACUUUCACAUAAAAGUGAGCUCAUGUGACAUAGAUAUAUCGUAUGAUUUCACAUCGCCUCUCACACUGAUCCGAUGUCACAUAAUCAUAGGAAUAGUCUCAUAGAUUGCUCUCGUAUGCAUCACAUAACUACCUUAUGAUUUAGUGCAAAUCAAGCUCACAUAUAAACUUGGAGUACAUACCUGUUUAACCUUUCGCAUUGAAUAUAUUUAUAAGCAAUUCUUAUUACGAAGUCUUACCCGGACAUAAUCUCCACACGAAGUUAUCGGGUCUUACCCGGACAAAAUUCCCAUACGUAGUCAUCGGGUCUUUAGAGCUCGGAUAUAGUACGAGCACAAAGCUUACGGACAUGGAUUCAAAUCAUGGAUUCAAUAUACCAUUACCAUAAAAUCAACAACCAAAAAUUCAUAGACAAUUUAGGAAAAUCACAUUACAAAUCUCAAAUUUAAGCAAAGACCAUGGCCGAAAUGCACAUAUAACCACAUAACACAAAAAAAAAAUAUUGAACCUUUGGUUGCCUAACUAGCUUAACAUCCAUCAAAUUUUAAUCAAGAAACUCACCUCAUCUAUAAUCAACCCUCAAUACCCUAAAGCAUCAAAAACGACAUCAAAGAAAUACAAACAUCCAUGACCAAAUGUCAUCUUCAUAACUUUACAAAAAACAUUUGCCAUGAGCUAGCUUCUAUACUUGAUGGCCACUCCAAAUAUACAAAGAUUUUCAAUGAUAGAGCAUUAACAUACCUUAAUCCACUUAAAGGUGACCAAAUGCCUUAACUUCAAUUUCUUCUUUUCUUUCUUUAGGUACGGCAAUGGAGGAAGAAAAAGAUGAACCAACUUUGUUUUUAUCACCCAUUUCUUUUAAUAUAAGUUCACCUUUCAUAUUAUUUAUUCAUUUAACAUUUAAUUUAUUAAUAUAAAAGGCAUAUAUUUUGUAUCCCAUACUCCUUAUUUUAUUUUUCCUAACAUAAAUCACUAACAUAACAUGUUUAUGACAUGUUUUGCCCAUAACAUUUUGUCCUCCUUCCUUGUCAUGGCCGGCCACUACUAAAUUAAGGGGGAAAUUGACAUGCAAGUCCACCCUUUUAUUACAUGCACUAAUAGAUCCUAUAGAUUAACCUAUCACAUUUCAAAAGUGUCACACAUAAGUCCUAUUAGCUGAAUUCAUAUGCAGUCGACUAAAUCGAAGCUUAAAACUUUCACACAUUCAUAUUCACAUAUUUUAGACAAUAAAUAUCAUAUUCAAAUAAUUUGGUGACUAGGUUUAGCGAUCCCGAAACCGCUUUCCGACUAGGGUCACUUUAGGGGUGUCACAUCGAUUGAGCUGAAAUGUGCUCAAUUGAGCUGGUCGGAGUUGAAACGAGCUAGAAAAGCUAAAAUGGAGCUGAAAUUAGCUUGCACUAAGGUGCAUGGUUUCUUCAAGGAGUUGGAUCGAGCUUCCUCAUCUUCAACAAGCUGAUUCUCCUUCCAAAACUUGAACAACAAAGCUGAAACAACUUCAUGAAAUCGCUUGGACCUAGCUCGGGUCAUUGGUCCCUUUGGAAGCUCGAGGGAAUCAAGACGAGGACUUGAUGGGGCUUGGGGCGUGGUCACAUCAUUCCCCCUUCUUCAAAACGACUUGUCCUCAAGUCGAGCUGUUUAUUCUCUAGAAAAUAAUCCGUCUUUUGCAACUCUCCUUGAAUGAAUGGAACAAUUAGUCGUUCAUAAGCCUUUGCAAAAGAACUCACAAUAUUCGGCAUUAGAGAUGGCAAAUGAAUCAAUGAAAAUAGACAACCAUUAAUCAUCAAGAAAUGAUCAGAACAACUAUGUGGAUCAUGCAUGGUCAUAACAAGACAAGUAUGAGUUAUGUAAAAAGGCAAACUUAAAACAUCAUUCUUACAAUCAUAUGGACAAAACUCCUUCCAUAUCCAUAACUCAUCAAAUGGUCGAGACAAAGACAAAUAUGUUUUUAAGCAUUCAAACCUUUCAAUUUGCUUCCACAAGUCAUUGUUCAAGUAAAUGGAAUGCGAGUAAUGGAACAAGAAAUUUAAAUCUUCAUCACAAACACACAAAUGAAAAGUUUCAUAUGAUUCAUGAUUUCGCAUGUUUGGCACUCGCAAUUGUCGUUUGGUUAUGUUCUCAACAAUGAAUUCAUCACAUUUUCCAAAGAGAAAAAUCGUCUUAUCAUUACUCAAAAUGGAUUUAUCAUCAUCAAGCAAAAUCAAAUAAUUAACCACAACAGGAUUCAAACGAUUUUCAGCAAUCAAGGUGUCUUCAAAAAUUUUAGUUACAUUCAACUUAAAAGAAGAUGGUCGCAUAACAUCAGAAUUCAUACCUGAUUCACCUUUAGGAGUGGAAAAUUGAGAAUCAAUUUUACCUUUUUCAAUCAAAGUGAACCUUUUCUCCUUGAGAGGGUAUUGAAGUCGAAGCUCAUUACACAAUCCUUGAAAAACCUGAAACGAAGGGUAAACACAAAGGCAACUUGCACUUUUCAAAGUGUUGGGUUCAUAAUGCUGAAAGAGGGUAAUGUCUCCAAAGACGUUGAACUCAAAGGAACAGGCUAAAACACUAUUCACAUAUUGAACAUAUGUAACGAUACCAGGUUCAAAAACAUGAGUUGAUCUUACCUUUUCGAAAUGAAAAAUGAAUUUCAUGGACAGCCACAUAAAAUGAUCAAAGAACAAUUUUAAAUUAUAAACAGAGUCUUUAAAUUUCAGAGGCCAAACAUCAAACAGACAUAAAUUUGUCACAUAAAAUUUAGGAUGCUUGAGUUCCGCACAUAUCAACCUAAAAUAAUAAAUUCCAGGUUUGAACACACGAGUUUGAUUACUUACGCCAAAGUGUUUUAGUAAAUCAAACAUGUCAAACCAAAAGGGUUUUCGUGUCCAUAGAAACAAACAUUCAAAUCUCUUUAUAUUCAUCAAAUCAAACUUGCACAAAUUCAUGGAUUUGUCACAUGACAAUAAUGGAUGCACAAAAUUAUCAUAUUUGAAAAAUUGAAUCGCUUUUCGUGAAAACCCGACAUCAUGCAAAACCAAAUCUUUAGUUUUUCGUUCGUACCGAACAACAUCAACCACAUUCAAAGAAUAGAAAUUAAUCGAAUGAAAAUAAGAGAAUUUUUUUAAAACAAAGUCAUUUUCAACAACUUUCAAACUUGAUGGCCAUGACUCGGUUUUUAAAACUUCCUUAUCUCGCUUACCUUCAAGCUCGUGUGGUUUGAUUUCAACUUCAUCCUUACCUUUUUUGGUCAUGCAAAAACGUCGCUUGUUAGGAAGAUAUUGAAGUUGAUAUUCGUCACAGACAUUUGUCGGAACCUGAAAAGAAGGAACAGAACAAAAACAAACAUCAUGGGGGUUAGUUAAAAUUUCGUUCUCCUUUUCUUGUUCUCGCUCACUAUAUUCAUUUUCUCUCGUUUCUUCUUCAACAUCUUUUUCUUUUUCAAUUUUUUUCUCAACCUCAAUUUCUUUUUCAAUUUUCUUUUCUUCAUUUUCUUUUUCACUCACUAUUUUGAUUUCUUUUUCUUUUUCACUACAAUGUGCGGAUGACACGAAAGAAUCAAAGAGAUAAUCAUUUGGCUCAAAGAAAGAGAAAAUAUUUUCAUAAGCUUCUCGUCCAUUUCUUCGAGAACAAUCCUUUGGGAAGGACUUCUUUGAAGCAUACGAGGAAUAGCUCGUCCUUUCUCGCUCAUCUCGAGUGAUUUUUGACUCGAAGUUUUCUUCUCGCGGUCUCGAAAGCCUUGUUGAAUAGGAGUCUUGAUAUGUGUCUCUUCUCGAAUAAUGUCGUCGUGAUGAACUUAACUCUAUUUCUCGACUCGGUGGAGUUUGCUUCUGUCAGGCUUUUUCCUCCACUCGGUCCAAACGUCUUUUUAAUGGGCUUAGUUUUUCCUCCAAUAUUCGGCCCAUCUCGUUCACCAAGUAUUGAAAUUCAUCGGUAGAGAAUUCUUCUUGAGACAUGAUUCAAGAAAAUGUUCGAAAAUCGAAAGAUAGAAUAAAUAGUAAAUGAACCUCACCAAUUCAAAAUCCUCACCAAUCUCUCACAAAGAAAUAAUGAUUUUCACUCGCACUCGUGUUUACACUCUUCUAGGCUUUUUCUUUGAUGUAAAACACACGUGCCUUUUACCUCUCGACCUCGUCUCACAAUUUCGUAAUUCGUCUCGAUAGACUUAAUUUGCUGCUUGAGGGUCGGUUUCAAAAUAGGUUACAAAGGAAUGAUGUGGGUGUAGGGUAGGCUAAACAAAAUAAAAUCAAGGCUAAGUGUGGCGUUGGGAUGGGUAAAUAAUGGUAGGAAGGGAAACUUGAUGAUCGGAGCAAAUAAGAGAAAAAAAAUAAAAACUCGCAAGACUUUUCACUUUUUUUUAACUUGAUUUUUUUUGCUCACCUUUUUUUUUGCUCGAUUUUUUUUUCACUUUUUUUUGAAUUUUUUUUUUCAAUCAAUUUUUUUUUCGAAUUUUUUUUUAUUUUUUUUGUUACUCCAAUACAAUAGUAAGCUAAAUACAAGGGAAAAAAAUUUUAAUUACAACUCAAAUUUUUUUUUGAUUUUUUUUUUCACAUUUCGAACCUACUUGCGGCCUUAUUACGAACGUCGGCGCUCCUCGUUUUAGUAGCUCUGAUACCAAAUGAUGUGAUCCGGCUCGGUUGAUUGAGUCGAUUCACUUGAUUGCCCGAUCGUCGACGAGAAGUUUGUUCGAUUUUGUAGAUAGAUGGAGUUAGAUGAUUUUUAUAAGCGGAAGGUAGGCAAAAUGGGUUCAAAGGAUGGGUUUUGGUUUGAUGAAAGAUAGGUUCGGUUUAACAAAGAAUUAAGUUACAAAGAUGAUAGAUAAAUGGAAAUGGAUAAAGAACUCAAACUUUAAGAAUGAUUCAAUACUAAAAAGUAUUGCCCCGAGUCUUAUAUUGCUUAAGGUGAAUUUUGAUGAAGGAUAGAAGCGGACCUUGACCCGUUACCUAUAUGGAGGUAAGAACCAAAGGUAUAGGAAGAUGGUUGAACGCCACACCGAUUCGGUGAUAAGUUCAAUGGAGUUCGGAUUGACACCACUAGCAAGCUAGUUAAGUCGCUUCGAGACUCGAACGAAAGAAGAGAGGAGGUAACCUCACAAGAACAAAAGUUCUAUUAAGUUUAAUUGAUCAAAUUCUGUAACCUUUUUACAAAGAGAAAAGAACUAUUUAUAGAUUACAUUAGAUAGCCAAAUAGACUAAGUAAAUUCAGCUUUAAUUGAAUUAAACUAAUCUAGAAAUGUAUCUUUAAAGGCUAUGUCCAAAUUCAGCUGAAUGGUACUUCAAUGGGCAGCUUCAUGGCUAAGGAAAUGAACUUGAAGGCUUGGUGAAUGUAUGGGAGAGCAAUGGACAUGUCUAGGUUCGGCCAAGGUGUGAAUGGACACUCCAAGAGAUGCCUUUUGGCCGAAUAGGUACUUAGGAGAUCAAUGGACAGCAACCGAUGCAUGUAAGUGAACAUUCAUGCAUUCUUCCAUUCAUUGUAUUAAAUCAUUCAUGCAUCAUCCUUACGUUCAUUGAACCAGCCCAUUCAUGAAUCAUCUUUAAUUGUGUUCCCACAUCAUGCAUUGUAAGUAGACGUUCAUGCACCUAGCUUGAAUGAAUCUCCACAUUCGGCUGUACCUACAUGAAACAUGAACAAAUUAAUUAAAAUAGAUAUAUUAAUUAACACAUAAAUUUAAAAUAGACAAAAAUAAAGUCUUAAGCUAAACAUAUUAAAUUCGGCUAAGACAACUUUAAAAACAUGAAAUAAAUCAAAACAUAAUUAUGAGCUGUAAUAACUUAAACUAAGUUAAUAAAAUACUUUAAUUAUUCAACCAAUAAAAUAAAUGAGCUGAAUUGUAGCUAAAUUGAGCUCGAUUGAGCUGAAAUGAGCUCAAUUGAACUGGUCGGAGUUGAAACGAGCUAGAAAAGCUAAAAUGGAGCUGAAAUUAGCUUGCACUAAGGUGCAUGGUUUCUUCAAGGAGUUGGAUCGAGCUUCCUCAUCUUCAACAAGCUGAUUCUCCUUCCAAAACUUGAACAACAAAGCUGAAACAACUUCAUGAAAUCGCUUGGACCUAGCUCGGGUCAUUGGUCCUGAGACGAGUCACAAAAGCCCAAAUUCUUGAAGGCGAGGCCCAAUAAGCAAAUUCCCAGCCCAAUCAAGAAAUCCAUCCAUACUUAGUUGAAAAUCAGGCCAAAUUGUCAAAGUGGCCCAAGUUGUAAAGUUUUAUUUUUAUUUAUUUAUUUAUUUACUUAGUUUAAAUUUUUAUGUCAAUAUUCAGUCCAAGAGUCCUAGAUAAAAUGACCUUUGACCGAAUUUCCAUAUUAAAAUAAUUAGGAGUUUUUUUAUUUUAGUUUUCUAAUUAGAUUAGGACUAGUUAUAAGGCCUAUUUAAAGGCAUGGCUGUCCACCUUGUUAAACACUUAUCAUUAUUAUUAAAAUUUCAGAUUUGUUGAGAGUAGAAUUUUCUUUGAGUUUUCUCCAAGAUUUCUCUCUUGAGUUUUCUUUAGAAGUUGUUUUAACAAUCUUGUGAUUGUGGGAGCCAUCUUCAGCCUUCUUCUUGCCAUUGAUAUUCUUUGGAGGGGAGAUUAGAGCCGUUUGAAGGGAGUUGUGAGAUCUUUCGAGAUUUCAAGGCUUCUUAGGACUUAUCUUUUAAUUUCUUACUGUCAAUUCUCUCUUUAUUUCUACUUGUGCUGAAUCAUUAUCUAAUCUAUUUUCUAUUCUUAUUGUGUUUUCAGCCUUUUUCUAUUUUAAGGAAUCAGCCCAAAAAUCCCCAAUUUCUAGGGUUUUUCCAUACUCUUUUUGGGUGAAAUUAGAUUGUCGAAAUUUGGGGAAAACUAUCUUGGUGUUCAAUUGGGCAGAAUCACAAUCUCCUUGAGGGUUUCAAGAACCCUAACACUUAUUUCUAUUCUCAAUUUGAUUCUUUGCUGAUUUGGGGAUUUUAUUUCAGAUCUGAAAAUUCAAAAAUCUAAUUUUUUAAUUUUCUGUUUCGUUUCAGAUCUAAUUGUUUAGGGUUUUCGUAGGAGUUUCCCGUGACUUGACAACUCGAUCUUGGUCCGCGCGCAACCCCGUAUCAUUUGGUAUCAGAUUUUGGGUGUUUUGGGUGUUCUUGGUUGAUUUCUAAACUGAUCUCUAUUUUUUAAAAUAUAAACAGCAGUUUUACCCAGAAAAAUUGUUCAAAAAAAUUCAUUUGAGUGGGUAAACGUUGUCCGAUUGAUCUGAAAUUUUACAUACAUGUUUUUGGAACUUUGAUUGAAUAUAAAAAAAAUUAUUCCCGCAAAAAAAUCAGUCAAAAAUUCAAAAAAAUCAAAAAAUUCGAAAUUCAAUAAAAAUUAAAAAAAAAGAUUCAGCGGGUUGAAUUUGGUGCCCAAAAUUUCCAGAUCAAAAAUUCAAUAUAUAAGGACACUCCAGAUUUAAUUUCGUGAUUUUUGGAGAUCGGGAACACCUCGAACGAAGUUGUCAAGUUACUCCGCAGUUUUUCGGGUUUUCUGUUUUCAGCAAUUUUUAUUGAUUCUUAGCUGUAGGUUUUCAUUUGUUUACCUUUAUUCUUCCUUUACGUUAUCUAACACCUUCUUGUUUCUUGUGUUAGUAGGAUUUAAACGUGUGCACAACUUCUUCCUCGGUGCAACACGAAUCAAUUGGUGUCUCGUCAGUUUUUGGCAUCCUAGUGCAAAUUAGGAUUCUUUGGUAGUUUGGUUCACACUCUCUAAUUGGUUGAUAUAAACUCUGAUAAAGGACUCACAAGAUUGAAUUCGACCUAAUUGAGAAUUUGAUUUUUUCUUUUUGAGUGAUUAACGGUGAGGUUUGAUAACUUUUAUUUUUGAGUGUUGAGUGUUUUGCAGGUUUUCUCCAAGAAUUCUCUCUUGAGCUUUCUUUAGAAGUUGUUUUAACAAUCUUUUGAUUGUGGGAGCCAUCUUCAACCUUCUUCUUGCCAUCGAUAUUCUUUGGAGGGGAGAUUAGAGCCGUUUGAAGAGAUUUGUGAAAUCUUUCGGGAUUUCAAGGAUCUUUAGGACUUAUCCUUUAAUUCUUGCUGUUUUCGAUUUCUUUCUUUACUUUUCUUUGCUUAUACUUGUGCCGAUUUCUCAUCUAAUAUUUUGCUGUUCUUGUUUGUUUUCCAGCAUUGAUUAAACUCAAGAUCUCAUCGUUUAAGUUGUUCUCCUAUUGGUAGCACCCAUUCGAACCCAAAAAUCCCCAAUUCCUAGGGUUUGGCUGAUUGGAUUUCUUUCAAUUUGGGAAUCAAUUGUUUCCUGGAAAUUGGGCAUUCUUGGCCGAAUCAAUUCCUUGGCAGAUUCGCAUCUUUUCUUUCUUCUCAAUUUCGUUUGAUUCAUCGAUUCUAUUUCUUUUCUUCUUGCUGCUCUUUUAAUUGAAUUAGGGAAUUUUAAAUUCAAAUCUGAUUCGGUUUAAAUCUUGUUCUUUGUUUUUUAUUUCAGAUCUGUUCGUCUAGGAUCUUUUGUAGGAGUUUCUCGUGACUUGGCAACUCGAUCUUGGUCCGCGCGCAUUCUUGUAUCAUUUGGUAUCAGAUUUUGGGCGUUUUGGGUGUUCUUGGUUGAUUUCUAAACUGAUCUCUAUUUUUUAAAGCAUAAACAGCAGUUUUACCCAGAAAAAUUGUUCAAAAAAAAUUCAUUUGAGUGGGUAAACGUUGUCCGAUUGAUCUGAAAUUUUACAUACAUGUUUUUGGAACUGUGAUUGAAUAUAAAAAAAUUAUUCCCACAAAAAAAUCAGUCAAAAAGUCAAAAAAAAUAAAAAAAUACGAAAUUCAAUAAAAAUUUUAAAAAAAAGAUUCAGCGGGUUGAAUUUGGUGCCCAAAAUUUCCAGAUAAAAAAUUCAAUAUAUAAGGACACUCUAGAUUUAAUUUCGUGAUUUUUGGAGAUCGGGAACACCUCAAACAAAGUUGUCAAGUUACUCCGCAGUUUUUCGGGUUUUCUGUUUUCAGCAAUUUUUAUUGAUUCUUAGCUGUAGGUUUUCAUUUGUUUACCUUUAUUCUUCCUUUACGUUAUCUAACACCUUCUUGGUUCUUGUGUUAGUAGGAUUUAAACGUGUGCACAACUUCUUCCUCGGUGCAACACGAAUCAAUUGGUGUCUCGUCAGUUUUUGGCAUCCUAGUGCAAAUUAGGAUUCUUUGGUAGUUUGGUUCACACUCUCUAAUUGGUUGAUAUAAACUCUGAUAAAGAACUCACAAGAUUGAAUUCGACCUCAUUGAGAAUUUGAUUUUUCUUUUUGAGUGAUUAAUGGUGAGGUUUGCUAACUUUUAUUUUUGAGUGUUGAGUGUUUAUCUUUUACAGGUUUUGAAGAUGUCUAAAGGUGAUAAUAAUGAUGCACUUAUGAAAGUCCAACAACAGUUAGACGAACAUACUGCUGCAAUCACACAAAUAAAUGCUACACUUCAAGCAUUGAAUACUACUUUGAAUGAGGUACGCAUGAAUCAAAAACAUCAAUAUCGAGAUCCAAUUAAGGAAGAUAGGGAUAACCAGCCCUAUAGGUGCAGCCCUCAACGUGUCCCUAGAAUGGAUGAUGAUUUUCAUGAUCGUGGACAAUCAUCUUUGGCAAAACCAAAGAGCGAGCAGCAACGAGAACAUCUCUUUCAUACUCGCUGCCAUGUACAAGGUAAGCUUUGUAGAGUUAUUAUUGAUGGUGAAAGUUGCUCGAACAUAGCCAGCACGACGAUGGUGGAAACGCUUUACUUAACCACUACCAAGCAUCCACAACCUUAUCAACUACAAGGGCUUAGCAACAAAGGCCAAUUUAGGGUCACUCAACAAGUGCGCAUCGCCUUUUCUAUCGGUAAGUAUCAAGACGAAGUUGUGUGCGACGUAAUGCCUAUUCAAGCCUGCCAUUUGUUGCUAGGAGAACCAUGGCAACUGGAUCGAAAAGUCACUCACGAUGGUCGUACCAAUAGGUAUUCUUUCAAGCAUCAAGGAAAGAAACUCACCUUAGUGCCGCUCACUCCGGAACAAGUCCAUGAGGACCAAAUCAAACUGAAAAAUUCUGUUAAAACAAGUGAGGAAAAAGAAAAAGAGAAUGAAAAAGAGCAAAAAGAGAUUGAGAGUGAAAAAGAAAUUGAAGAAAGAAGAGAAAAUGAAUUAGAAAAAGAAACAAAAGAAAAAGACGUGGAAAGGGUAGUGAGGAAUGUUUCCACUAACCAAGAUAUGAAUUUUUCUUGUGUUGCUACUUUUCAGGUUCCCGAAAGAUCGAAAGAUAACUUUCAACUUCAAUACCUCUCAAAUGAAAGACGCUUUCAUACGAUCAACUUAGGCAAAGAUGAAAUCACACUACAUGAUCCCGAAGGUAAGCGAGGUAAGGAAAUUUUAGAAACCGAGUCCAGUGCAGAUUUGAAAAUUAUUGAUAAAAAUUUUGGUGACUUAGUUCUUAAAAGAUCCCCUCAUUUUGAUCCGAUUAAUUGUUACUCUUCGAUUGUGGUUGAUAAAGUCAUUACGAAAAGAAGCGUGAUUUGUUAUUCUCUUGAUUUACCUUGUGUAAAAUCCUCGAAUUUGUCCAAAUCUGUUUUGGAGAAUAAGGUAACGAAAUUUUCCAAAUUUGUUUUCAAUUUAUAUUCGUGCCUUAAACAGUUUAUGUGGUUGUACAUGAAGUUUGAGUUCCAUUUGACAAAGGUUAACUCAACAACGGAGAUUCGACUACACUAUGCCCCCGAUGAGCGAAGGUUUGUUUUAAAUGAAAAAGGUAAAAUCGACCCUUAUUCUUCUGCUUAUCGAGGUAAGAUGCUUGAAACCUUUGAAACACUUUUGUACUCCUCGGAUUGUGAUAAAGAUCGUGUUGAUGAACACUUAGAUCGAAACGUGCUUGACAGUCCUAUUUUAUUUAUUGAUGAUCUAUCUGUUUUGAUGGUUGAUAAAAAGAUUCCUUUUUUUGAUAAUGCAUGUGUGAGUGAAUCUAUAGACCGUCGAUUAAUGCAUGGUAUGAUUAUGCAACUCUGUGAACCAUGUGAAUCUUUUCAAAUACCUACUUGUGACGAUUAUGUUUACCAUUUGAUUUAUUACUCGCAAUUUAUUCAUGGUUUGUGGGAACAAUGUGAGACGACUGAAUGCCUUAAAACAUGUCCAUCUUUGUUUCAAAUAUUUGACGAGGCAGUUGUGAGUAAAUUAGAUUGUUUGCAUGGUAAUCUGAAUCUGUCCAUUCACAUACGUUAUACCUGUUCUGUUAUGCUUAUGAUUGGACUACAAGCUUGUUUCCGUUGCUAUUUACUAUCUCAUGGCUAUUCUUUUCAGUGGACUCAAUUGCCAUUAGUCCCGUUCGAUAGAGGAAAGUCGAGUUCAUUUGAUUUUUCAGAUUCGAGGACGAAUCUUUUUGAGGAAGGGGGAAUGAUACGAGUCACAAAAGCCCAAAUUCUUGAAGGCGAGGCCCAAUAAGCAAAUUCCCAGCCCAAUCAAGAAAUCCAUCCAUACUUAGUUGAAAAUCAGGCCAAAUUGUCAAAGUGGCCCAAGUUGUAAAGUUUUAUUUUUAUUUUUGUUUAUUUAUUUAUUUAUUUACUUAGUUUAAAUUUUUAUGUCAAUAUUCAGUCCAAGAGUCCCAGAUAAAAUGACCUUUGACCGAAUUUCCAUAUUAAAAUAAUUAGGAGUUUUUUUUUAUUUUAGUUUUCUAAUUAGAUUAGGACUAGUUAUAAGGCCUAUUUAAAGGCAUGGUUGUCCACCUUGUUAAACACUUAUCAUUAUUAUUAAAAUUUCAGAUUUGUUGAGAGCAGAAUUUUCUUUGAGUUUUCUCCAAGAUUUCUCUCUUGAGUUUUCUUUAGAAGUUGUUUUAACAAUCUUGUGAUUGUGGGAGCCAUCUUCAACCUUCUUCUUGCCAUUGAUAUUCUUUGGAGGGGAGAUUAGAGCAGUUUGAAGGGAGUUGUGAGAUCUUUCGAGAUUUCAAGGCUUCUUAGGACUUAUCUUUUAAUUUCUUACUGUCAAUUCUUUCUUUAUUUCUACUUGUGCUGAAUCAUUAUCUAAUCUAUUUUCUGUUCUUAUUGUGUUUUCAGCCUUUUUCUAUCUUAAGGAAUCAGCCCAAAAAUCCCCAAUUUCUAGGGUUUUUCCAUACUCUUUUUGGGUGAAAUUAGAUUCUCGAAAUUUGGGGAAAACUAUCUUGGUGUUCAAUUGGGCAGAAUCACAAUCUCCUUGAGGGUUUCAAGAACCCUAACACUUAUUUCUAUUCUCAAUUUGAUUCUUUGCUGAUUUGGGGAUUUUAUUUCAGAUCUGAAAAUUCAAAAAUCUAAUCUUUUAAUUUUCUGUUUCGUUUUAGAUCUAAUUGUUUAGGGUUUUUGUAGGAGUUUCCCGUGACUUGGCAACUUGAUCUUGGUCUGCGCGCAACCCCAUAUCAGGUCCCUUUGAAAGCUCGAGGGAAUCAAGACGAGGACUUGAUGGGGCUUGGGGCGUGGUCACAUCAAAUGCUUAUAUAGGCCUCCAACAAAUCCUAAUCUCACAAGUAACUAAUAAAAAAAUAAACCUAAUUAAUAAAAUAACAAGGUAAUGAUACGAGUCAUAAAGGCCCAAUCCAAGUUCAAGAACGUGAUGGGCUCAAAUUGCCACAAGGACCAAUAACAAGAUCAAAGGCCCGACAAAUGCGGUCCAAACUAAAUGGGACCAUUCAAGAGCUUGUUAGCAAGGCCUUAGAUGCAUACACGAGAGAACAAGAAAAUCAAGAUUCACUUUCUUGUUUUCAAGAAAAUCAAGAAAUCGAAUCUUGGCCCAAUUUUGCUAUUCGAAGAGAUUUCAAGAAUCAAGAAAAUCAAGAUUUCAAAUCUUGGAAAUCUUGGUCCAAGAAACCAAAUCUUGCAGCCAAAACGCAUUGGAUCUCCAUUACGAGCAUCAACGACCCAAUUUUGGUAGGAGAUGGAUCACGAGCCCAAAUUCUUGAAGGCGAGGCCCAAUAACCAAAAUCCAGCCCAAUCAAGAAAUUUCUUCAUACUUAGUUGAAAAUCAGGCCAAAAUGUCAAAGGGCCCAAUUUGUAAACAUCUUACUUGUUUAAUUUAAUUUUUUAAUCUUUAGGAGCAUUACAUGUAAAAUUCGGCCCAAAACAGCCCAUAUAAGUGCAUGGCCGAAUUUACCUUGUUAUUUUAUUAAUUAGGUUUAAUUUUUUUUAGUUACUUGUGAGAUUAGGAUUUGUUGGAGGCCUAUAUAAGCAUUGGCCAGCCACCCUUUGUAAAAACAUCUCAUUAUUAUUUUUUUCUAUCAAAUUUUAGAUUUGUUGAGUGCAGAAUUUUCUUUGGGGUUUUCUCCAAGAAUUCUCUCUUGAGUUUUCUUUAGAAGCUGUUUUAACAAUCUUUUGAUUGUGGGAGCCAUCUUCAACCUUCUUCUUGCCAUCGAUAUUCUUUGGAGGGGAGAUUAGUUUGAAGGAAUUUGUGAAUUCUUUCGGGAAUUCAAGGGUUCUUAGGACUUUUCUUUAUUUCUUGCUGUUUCGAUUUGUUUCUUUAUUCCUACUUGUGCCGAUUCAUCAUCUAAUAAUUUGCUGUUCUUGUUUGUGUUUCAGCCUUGAUUCAAACUCCAAGAACUCUUCAUUUAAUCGGUUCUUUUAUUGGCAACAUAUAAUCGACUCAAAAUUCCCCAAAAUUUAGGGUUCUUGCCAUUUUCUAUUUCUUCUUGUUGGGUGAAAUUCGGCUGCUGAAAUUUGGGCAAUUCAUAUUGGGUGUUCAAUUGGACCGAAUCGCAACUUAAAUUCACUUCUUGAACCAUUCAAUUUCAUCUAUUUCUUUCUUUUCUUUUUUUUUGCCAUCCAAAUCCCUAAUCUUCCAAUUAAAAAUCUGAUUGUUUCAAUCUACUUACUGUUUUGGUGUUCUUGGCAGAUUCGGCUUGUGGGAUUUCACUAUUGGAGUUCGAUUUCAUCUUCUUGAACUCCGAAUACAUUUAUUCAUUCGUUCUUUGUUCCUUGCUGCUCAUUUAAUCGAAUUUGGGGAUUUAAUUUCAGAUCUGAUUAGUUUAAUCUUGUUCUUUGUUUUAAUUUUCAGAUCUGUUCGUUUAGAGCUUUCGUAGGAGUUUCUCGUGACUUGGCAACUCGAUCUUGGUCCGCGCGCAAUCCUAUAUCAUUUGGUAUCAGAUUUUGGGCGUUUUGGGUGUUCUUGGUUGAUUUCUAAACUGAUCUCUAUUUUUUAAAGCAUAAACAGCAGUUUUACCCAGAAAAAUUGUUUAAAAAAAUUCAUUUGAGUGGGUAAACGUUAUCCGAUUGAUCUAAAAUUUCACAUACAUGUUUUUGGCACUGUGAUUGAAUAUAAAAAAUUAUUUCCGCAAAAAAAUCAGUCAAAAAAGUAAAAAAAUCAAAAAAGACGAAUUUCAAUAAAAUUUUAAAAAAAAAGGUUCAGCGGGUUUAAUUUGGUGCCCAAAAUUUCCAGAUCAAAAAUUCAAUAUAUAAGGACACUCCAGAUUUAAUUUUGUGAUUUUUGGAGAUCGGGAACACCUCGAACGAAGUUGUCAAGUUACUCCGCAGUUUUUCGGGUUUUCUGUUUUCAGCAAUUUUUAUUGAUUCUUAGCUGUAGGUUUUCAUUUGUUUACCUUUAUUCUUCCUUUACGUUAUCUAACACCUUCUUGUUUCUUGUGUUAGUAGGAUUUAAACGUGUGCACAACUUCUUCCUCGGUGCAACACGAAUCAAUUGGUGUCUCGUCAGUUUUUGGCAUCCUAGUGCAAAUUAGGAUUCUUUGGUAGUUUGGUUCACACUCUCUAAUUGGUUGAUAUAAACUCUGAUAAAGAACUCACAAGAUUGAAUUCGACCUCAUUGAGAAUUUGAUUUUUUUUCUUUUUGAGUGAUUAACGGUGAGGUUUGAUAACUUUUAUUUUUGAGUGUUGAGUGUUUAUUUUUGCAGCUUUUUUGGAAGAUGUCUAAAGAUGACCAUAAUGAUACACUUAUGGAAGUCCAACAACAGUUAGAAGGACACGCUGCUGCAAUCACACAAAUAAAUGCUACCCUUCAAGCAUUGAAUACUACUUUGAAUGAGGUACGAAUGAAUCAAGAACUUCAAUAUCGAGAUCCAAUCAGGGAAGAUAGGAAUAACCAGCCCCAUAGGCGCGGCCCUCGACGUGUCCCUAGAAUGGAUGAUAAUUUUCAUGAUCGUGGACAACCUUCUUUGGCAAAACCGAAAUUCACAAUUCCCUAAUUUCGUGGUAAGAAUGAUCCUGACGCUUAUUGUGAAUGGGAAUCUAAGAUUGAACUCAUGUUUCGGUAUUAUAAAUGUCCGGAUGAUGAAAAGGUAGCGUUAGCAACACUGGAAUUUUCUGAUUAUGCAUUAAGUUGGUGGACUCAACUUGGGGUAAACCGCCAUCGGAAUUAUGAAGGUGAGAUUUCGACAUGGGAUGAGUUGAAACAGAUUAUGCGUAAAAGGUUUAUUCCACCUCACUACUAUAGAGAAAUUAAAACAAAGUUGAGAAGACUUAUCCAAGGUAGUAGGACGGUGGAUGAAUAUUUUAAAGAGAUGGAGAUGCUCAUUUAGAGAGCUAAUGUGGAGGAAGAUGAAGAAACAACUAUGGUUCGAUUCAUUGAUGGUUUGAACAGGCCGAUAGCUAAUACAUUGAGGCUACAAACUUACAUUGAUUUGGAAGAAGCAGUUCACAAAGCCAUUGAGAUCGAGCAACAAUUAAAGGAACAAAGGUUUGGGUCCUUCUCUACUUCACAAUAUUAUCGAGGUAACAAUUCCAAUUCUGAUUUUAAGAGUUCAAAACCACCUUUUGUUACUAACAAGUCUUCUUUGAGUAAUGGAAGUAAACAAUCAGGUUGGAAAAAAGGGGCUCUUGCAAAAACGCAAACACCGUCUAAGCAGCCCAAUUUAGGUGAUUCGAGUGCGAAGAGGACUCGUGAGAUUGAAUGCUUUAAGUGCAAAGGGCGUGGUCAUUAUAGUAGAGAAUGCCCUAACACGAGAUUACUUCUUCUAAAAGAUAACGGUGUGUACACUUUCGACUCUGAUAAUACAGAUCCAGAUAUGCCAGAACUUGUGGAUGACAGUGAUAACGGUGACGAGUUGGUCGAACCACCAAAGGAAGGGGACUUUGCUAAUUUUCAAUGCCUUGUAGUUCGUCGAACCCUUAACAUUCAGAUGAAAGAUGAUGAGAGCCAAAGGACCAAUAUUUUCCAUUCUCGGUGUUUUAUUAAAGGUAACUUAUGUUCACUCAUUAUUGAUAGUGGGAGUUGCUCGAAUGUAGUGAGUAGUUAUUUGGUGGAUUCUUUAAAGUUGCCUUGUACCAAACACCCUAAGCCAUAUCACCUUCAGUGGCUUAAUGAAUGUUCCGAAGUUAAAGUUACAAAACAGUCCUUGGUCACUUUUAAACUUGGCAAUUAUGAGGAUGACAUAUGGUGUGAUGUAGUCCUCAUGCAUGCGGCACACUUGCUCCUUGGACGACCUUGGCAAUUUGAUCGCGAUGUUACACACCAAGGUAAACUUAAUCGAUACUCCCUUGUAUUUAAAGGCAAGAAAUUCACUUUUGCUCCUUUAAAUCCUACUGAUGUAUAUAAAGAUCAAUUGAGGAUGAUAAAAUUUUGUGAGGGGGUAAGGGAGAAAGAGCAAGUACAAAAGACAGAGAGAAAAGAGGCUAAUAGUAGUGGAAAAAGUCAAAAUUUAAAAAGCCCAAAGGUGAGUGAAUCCUCUAGUGGUAAAAUGAGCGGAAAAAAUCUUUUGGCAACAAAAAAAGAUGUGAAGAGAGCCCUACUUAAUAAACAGCCUUGUAUCCUUGUGAGGUUUAGGAAAAAUUAUUUAUCUUUAUCUAACAUUAACGAAAAUUUGCCUAGUGUGUUUCAAUCUCUUUUGCAGGAUUAUGAGGAUGUUUUUAGUGAGGCCCCUAAAGGUUUACCACCUUUACGAGGGAUAGAACAUCAAAUUGACUUAGUACCCGGAGCUUCAAUCCCAAAUCGACCAGCCUAUAGAUGCAAUCCCGAGGAGACAAAGGAAUUGCAAAGGCAAGUGGAGGAAUUACUAGACAAAGGGUACAUUCGUGAGAGCCUAAGUCAUUGUGCUGUUCCUGUCUUAUUGGUGCCAAAGAAAGAUGGUACGUUUCGUAUGUGUGUUGAUUGUCGCCCAAUCAACAAGAUAACGGUAAAGUAUCGACACCCAAUCCCUAGACUUGAUGAUAUGCUUGAUGAAUUACAUGGUUCAAUAAUAUUUACAAAAAUUGAUUUAAAAAGCGGUUAUCAUCAAAUUCGAAUGAGGGAAGGGGAUGAAUGGAAAACAGCCUUUAAACCAAAUUUUGGAUUGUAUGAAUGGUUAGUUAUGCCUUUUGGCCUUACUAAUGCACCUAGUACAUUUAUGAGAUUAAUUGAUAUAGGAUUGCGCGCGGACCAAGAUCGAGUUGCCAAGUCACGAGAAACUCCUACGAAAAUCCUAAACAAUUAGAUCUGAAACGAAACAGAAAAUUAAAAGAUUAGAUUUUUGAAUUUUCAGAUCUGAAAUAAAAUCCCCAAAACAGUAAAGAAUCAAAUAGAGAAUAGAAAUAAGUGUUAAUAAGGAAUCUUGAAACCCUAGAAGAGAUUGCAAUUCUGCCCAAUUGAACACCCAGAUAGUUUUCCCCAAAUUUCGGCAAUCUAAUUUCUCCCAAAAAGAGUAUGGAUGAAUCGGCAAGAACCCUAGAAAUUGGGGAUUUUUGGGCUAAUUCCUUAAGAUAGAAAAAGGCUGAAAACACAAUAAGAACAGAAAAUAAAUUAGAUAAAGAUUCGGCACAAGCAGAAAUAAAGAAAGAAUUGACAGUAAGAAAUUAAAAGAUAAGUCCUAAGAAGCCUUGAAAUCCCGAAAGAUCUCACAACUCCCUUCAAACGGCUCUAAUCUCCCCUCCAAAGAAUAUCAAUGGCAAGAAGAAGGUUGAAGAUGGCUCCCACAAUCAAAAAAAGAUUGUUAAAACAACUUCUAAAGAAAACUCAAGAGAAAAUCCUUGAAGAACUCAAAGAGAAUUUUCACUCAAAUCAAAUCUGAAAUUUUCAAUGUAAUUGUAAUGUAAUGUAGGGUGGCUGGCCAAGCCAUAUAAAUAGGCCUUUCAAAUGUUUUUCUAAUUUAAUUAGAACACUAAAACUAAAACUAAAAAAAAACUCCUAAUUAUUUUAAUAUGGAAAUUCGGCCAAGGGUCUUUUAUUUGGGACUCUUGGACUGAAUAUAAAAAUUUAAACUAAGUAAAAUAAAUAAAUAAAUAAAUAAAAAUAAAACUUUACAACUUGGGCCACUUUGACAAUUUGGCCUGAUUUUCAACUAAGUAUGGGUGGAUUUCUUGAUUGGGCUUGGAAUCUUCUUAUUGGGCCUUGCCCUCAAGAAUUUGGGCUUUUGUGACUCGUAUCAUUCCCCCUUCCUCAAAAAGAUUCGUCCUCGAAUCUAAAAAAUCAAAUGAACUCGACUUUCCUCUAUCGAACGGGACUAAUGGCAAUUGAGUCCACUGAGAAGAAUAGCCAUGAGAUAGUAAAUAGCAACGGAAAUAAGCUUGUAGUCCAAUCAUAAGUAAAUAGAACAGGUAUAACGCAUGUGAAUGGACAGAUUCAUAUUACCAUGCAAACAAUCUAAUUUACUCACCACUGCCUCGUCAAAUAUUUGAAACAAAGAUGGACAUGUUUUAAUGCAUUCAGUCGUCUCACAUUGUUCCCACAAACCAUGAAUAAAUUGUGAGUAAUAAAUCAAAUGGUAAACAUAAUCGUCACAAGUAGGUAUUUGAAAAGAUUCACAUGGUUCACAGAGUUGCAUAAUCAUACCAUGCAUUAAUCGACGGUCUAUAGAUUCACUCACACAUGCAUUAUCAAAAACAAGAAUCUUUUUAUCAACCAUCAAAACAGAUAGAUCAUCAAUAAAUAAAAUAGGACAGUCAAGCACGUUUCGAUCUAAGUGUUCAUCAACACGAUCUUUAUCACUAUCCGAGGAGUACCAAAGUGUUUCAAAGGUUUCAAGCAUCUUACCUCGAUAAGCAGAAGAAUAAGGGUCAAUUUUACCUUUUUCAUUUAAAACAAACCUUCGCUCAUCGGGGCAUAGUGUAGUCGAAUCUUCGUUGUUGAGUUAACGUUUGUCAAAUGGAACUCAAACUUCAUGUACAACCACAUAAACUGUUUAAGGCACGAAUAUAAAUUGAAAACAAAUUUGGAAAAUUUCGUUACCUUAUUCUCCAAAACAGAUUUGGACAAAUUCAAGGAUUUUACACAAGGUAAAUCAAGAGAAUAACAAAUCACACUUCUUUUCGUAAUGACUUUAUCAACCACAAUCGAAGAGUAACAAUUGAUCGGAUCAAAAUGAGGGGAUCUUUUAAGAACUAAGUCACCAAAAGUUUUAUCAAUAAUUUUCAAAUCUGCACUGGACUCGGUUUCUAAAAUUUCCUUACCUCGCUUACCUUCGGGAUCAUGUAGUGUGAUUUCAUCUUUGCUUAAGUUGAUCGUAUGAAAGCGUCUUUCAUUUGAGAGGUAUUGAAGUUGAAAGUUAUCUUUCGAUCUUUCGGGAACCUGAAAAGUAGCAACACAAGAAAAAUUCAUAUCUUGGUUAGUGGAAACAUUCCUCACUACCCUUUCCACGUCUUUUUCUUUUGUUUCUUUUUCUAAUUCAUUUUCUCUUCUUUCUUCAAUUUCUUUUUCACUCUCAAUCUCUUUUUGCUCUUUUUCAUUCUAUUUUUCUUUUUCCUCACUUGUUUUAACAGAAUUUUUCAGUUUGAUUUGGUCCUCAUGGACUUGUUCCAGAGUGAGCGGCACUAAGGUGAGUUUCUUUCCUUAAUGCUUGAAAGAAUACCUAUUGGUACGACCAUCGUGAGUGACUUUUCGAUCUAGUUGCCACGGUUCUCCUGGCAACAAAUGGCAGGCUUGAAUAGGCAUUACGUCGCACACAACUUUGUCUUGAUACUUACCGAUAGAAAAGGCGAUGCACACUUGUUGAGUGACCCUAAAUUGGCCUUCAUUGCUAAGCCCUUGUAGUUGAUAAGGUUGUGGAUGCUUGGUAGUGGUUAAGCAAAGCUUUUCCACCAUCGUCGUGCUGGCUAUGUUCGAGCAACUUUCACCAUCAAUAAUAACUCUACAAAGCUUACCUUGUACGUGGCAGCGAGUAUGAAAGAGAUGUUCUCGUUGCUGCUCGCUCUUUGGUUUUGCCAAAGAUGAUUGUCCACGAUCAUGAAAAUCAUCAUCCAUUCUAGGGACACGUUGAGGGCUGCACCUAUGGGGCUGGUUAUCCCUAUCUUCCUUAAUUGGAUCUCGAUAUUGAUGUUUUUGAUUCACUCGUACCUCAUUCAAAGUAGUAUUCAAUGCUUGAAGUGUAGCAUUUAUUUGUGUGAUUGCAGCAGUAUGUCCGUGUAACUGUUGUUGGACUUUCAUAAGUGCAUCAUUAUUAUCACCUUUAGACAUCUUCAAAACUGUAAAAAAUAAACACUCAACACUCAAAAAUAAAAGUUAGCAAACCUCACCAUUAAUCACUCAAAAAGAAAAAUCAAAUUCUCAAUGAGGUCGAAUUCAAUCUUGUGAGUUCUUUAUCAGAGUUUAUAUCAACCAAUUAGAGAGUGUGAACCAAACUACCAAAGAAUCCUAAUUUGCACUAGGAUGCCAAAAACUGACGAGACACCAAGUGAUUCGUGUUGCACCGAGGAAGGAUUGUGCACACGUUUAAAUCCUACUAACACAAGAAACAAGAAGGUGUUAGAUAUUGUAAAAGGAGAAUAAAAAGCAAACAAAUGAAAACCUACAGCUAAGAAUCAAUAAAAAUUGCUGAAAAUAGAAAACCCGAAAAAACUGCGGAGUAACUUGACAACUUCGUUCGAGGUGUUCCCGAUCUCCAAAAAUCACGAAAUUAAAUCUGGAGUGUCCUUAUAUAUUGAGUUUUGGAUCUGGAAAAUUUGGGCACCAAAUUCAACCCGCUGAAUCUUUUUUUAAAUUUUUAUUGAAUUUCGUAUUUUUUGAUUUUUUUGACUUUUUUGACUGAUAUUUUUGCAGGAAUAAUUUUUUUAUAGUCAAUCACAGUGCCAAAAACAUGUAUGUAAAAUUUCAGAUCAAUAGGACAACGUUUACCCACUCAAAUGAAUUUUUUUUGAACAAUUUUUCUGGGUAAAACUGCUGUUUAUGCUUUAAAAAAUAGAGAUCAGUUUAGAAAUAAACCAAGAACACCCAAAACGCCCAAAAUCUAAUACCAAAUGAUACGGGGUAUGAAACUCCUAUAAAAACCCUAAACAAUUAGAUUUGAAACGAAACAGAAAAUUAAAAGAUUAGAUUUUUGAAUUUUCAGAUCUGAAAUAAAAUCCCCAAAACAAUAAAGAAUCAAAUAGAGAAUAGAAAUAAGUGUUAAUAAGGAAUCUUGAAACCCUAGAAGAGAUUGCGAUUCUGCCCAAUUGAACACCCAGAUAGUUUUCCCCAAAUUUCGGCAAUCUAAUUUCUCCCAAAAAGAGUAUGGAUGAAUCGGCAAGAACCCUAGAAAUUGGGGAUUUUUGGGCUAAUUCCUUAAGAUAGAAAAAGACUGAAAACACAAUAAGAACAGAAAAUAAAUUAGAUAAAGAUUCGGCACAAGCAGAAAUAAAGAAAGAAUUGACAGUAAGAAAUUAAAAGAUAAGUCCUAAGAAGCCUUGAAAUCCCGAAAGAUCUCACAACUCCCUUCAAACGGCUCUAAUCUCCCCUCCAAAGAAUAUCAAUGGCAAGAAGAAGGUUGAAGAUGGCUCCCACAAUCAAAAAAAGAUUGUUAAAACAACUUCUAAAGAAAACUCAAGAGAAAAUCCUUGAAGAACUCAAAGAGAAUUUUCACUCAAAUCAAAUCUGAAAUUUUCAAUGUAAUUGUAAUGUAAUGUAGGGUGGCUGGCCAAGCCAUAUAAAUAGGCCUUUCAAAUGUUUUCCUAAUUUAAUUAGAACACUAAAACUAAAACUAAAAAAAACUCUUAAUUAUUUUAAUAUGGAAAUUCGGCCAAGGGUCUUUUAUUUGGGACUCUUGGACUGAAUAUAAAAAUUUAAACUAAGUAAAAUAAAUAAAUAAAUAAAAAUAAAACUUUACAACUUGGGCCACUUUGACAAUUUGGCCUGAUUUUCAACUAAGUAUGGGUGGAUUUCUUGAUUGGGCUUGGAAUCUUCUUAUUGGGCCUUGCCCUCAAGAAUUUGGGCUUUUGUGACUCGUAUCAUUAAUGAAUCAUGUUUUGAGGCUACAUUUGAGUAAAUUUGUAGUAGUUUACUUUGAUGAUAUUUUAAUUUACUCAAAGUCAUUAGAUGAUCAUGUUUUCCAUGUUCGAACCGUUUUGGAUAUUCUACGAACUGAAAGAUUAUUUGCCAACCUUGAUAAAUGCACAUUCUGUUGUGAUAAACUAAUAGUCUUAGGUUUCAUAGUUAGUGCUCAGGGUAUUCAUGUCGACGAGGACAAAGUUAAGGCAAUUAAGGAGUGGCCGACUCCUAAAUCGGUAACUGAGGUGAGAUCUUUCCAUGGUUUAGCCAAUUUUUAUAGACGAUUUGUGAAAGAUUUCUCUACUAUUGCUGCCCCAUUGACUGAAGUUAUAAAGAAAUCAAUGGGUUUCAAAUGGGGUGAAACCCAAGAAACAGCUUUUCAAACUCUAAAAGCUAAGUUAUGUUCUGCUCCUUUGCUUAAAUUACCUGAUUUUGCUAAAACUUUUGAACUUGAGUGUGAUGCUUCAGGAAUUGGAAUCGGCGCCGUUUUAAUGCAAGAUAAGCAACCUAUUGCUUAUUUUAGUGAGAAAUUGAACGGUGCACAGUUAAAUUACUCAACUUAUGACAAAGAACUAUUGGCAUUAGUUCGUGCACUUCAAGUAUGGCAACAUUAUUUGCUGCCUAAUGAGUUUGUCAUACAUACAGAUCAUGAGUCUCUUAAAUGGUUAAAGGGACAAGGUAAGUUGAGUAAAAGACAUGCCCGAUGGGUAGAAUUCAUUGAAACAUUCCCUUAUGUGAUUCAAUAUAAAACAGGUAAAGAUAAUAUAGUCGCAGAUGCUUUGUCUAGACGAUAUACUUUAAUAACUACAUUGAAUGCUAAAGUCUUAGGGUUUGAACAUAUUAAAGAGUUAUAUGAUGAUGAUACUGAUUUCAGCCAUAUCUAUAAGAAUUGUGGACAUACUGCUUUUGAAAAAUUUUAUCUUGUAGAUGGCUUUCUUUUUCGUUUAAACAGGUUAUGCAUACCAAAGUGUUCCAUGAGAGAAUUGUUGAUUCAUGAAGCCCAUAGUGGGGGACUAAUGGGACAUUUUGGAGUGGCCAAAAACACUAGACAUAUUGCAAGAACACUUCCAUUGGCCACACAUAUGAAGAAGGAUGUGGAAAAGGUAUGUUCCAAGUGCAUUACAUGCAAACAAGCAAAAUCUAAGGUAAUGCCUCAUGGCCUUUACACUCCUCUACCGAUUCCUACUUCACCUUGGGUAGAUUUAUCCAUGGAUUUUAUUUUAGGUUUGCCUCGAACAAAAAAAGGAAGAUAUAGUAUAUUUGUUGUUGUUGACAGGUUUUCAAAGAUGUCACAUUUUAUUCCUUGUCACAAAACAGAUGAUGCUACACAUGUGGCAGACUUAUUCUUUAAAGAAGUGGUAAGACUUCAUGGCAUCCCUAAAACAAUUGUUUCUGAUAGAGAUGUCAAAUUCCUUAGCCACUUUUGGAAGGUAUUGUGGGGUAAGCUUGGUACUAAAUUGCUUUAUUCUACUACAUGUCACCCCAAACUAAUGGUCAAACUGAAGUAGUUAAUCGAAUCUUAGGGACUCUAUUACGAGCUAUUGUGGGAAAGAACAUUAGAAAUUGGGAAGAAUGCCUACCAUUCGUUGAAUUUGCAUAUAAUAGAUCUAUUCAUUCUACAACUGGUUAUUCCCCAUUUGAACUUGUUUAUGGUUUUAACCCACUAACAGUACUUGAUCUUGUGCCAUUACCUCUUGAACACGUUAUGAAUUUAGAUGGUGAACAGAAAGCAGAGUUGGUGAAAUCCUUACAUGAGAAGGCUAGACAGCGAAUAGCCAAAACAAAUGAUGCCAACACCAACAAAGCAAACAAGGGGCGCAAACGGGGUUGUACUAGAACCCGAAGAUUGGGUUUGGGUGGGUCCAUUUGAGGAAAGAACGAUUUCCUACAAAAAGGAAGACUAAGUUGGACCCAAGGGGCGAUGGGCCUUUCCAAGUACUCGAGCGGAUCAACGAUAAUGCCUAUAAAAUUGAUCUACCUGGUGAGUACAAUGUAAGUUCUACUUUUAAUGUGGCUGACUUGUCCCCAUUUGAUUUUUCAGAUUCGAGGUCGAAUCUUUUUGAGGAAGGGGGAAUGAUACGAGUCAUAAAGGCCCAAUCCAAGUUCAAGAACGUGAUGGGCUCAAAUUGCCACAAGGCCCAAUAACGAGAUCAAAGGCCCGACAAAUGCGGUCCAAACUAAAUGGGACCAUUCAAGAGCUUGUUAGCAAGGCCUUAGAUGCAUACACGAGAGAACAAGAAAAUCAAGAUUCACUUUCUUGUUUUCAAGAAAAUCAAGAAAUCGAAUCUUGGCCCAAUUUUGCUGUUCGAAGAGAUUUCAAGAAUCAAGAAAAUCAAGAUUUCAAAUCUUGGAAAUCUUGGUCCAAGAAACCAAAUCUUGCAGCCAAAACGCAUUGGAUCUCCAUUACGAGCAUCAACGACCCAAUUUUGGUAGGAGAUGGAUCACGAGCCCAAAUUCUUGAAGGCGAGGCCCAAUAACCAAAAUCCAGCCCAAUCAAGAAAUUUCUUCAUACUUAGUUGAAAAUCAGGCCAAAAUGUCAAAGGGCCCAAUUUGUAAACAUCUUACUUGUUUAAUUUAAUUUUUUAAUCUUUAGGAGCAUUACAUGUAAAAUUCGGCCCAAAACAGCCCAUAUAAGUGCAUGGCCGAAUUUACCUUGUUAUUUUAUUAAUUAGGUUUAAUUUUUUUUAGUUACUUGUGAGAUUAGGAUUUGUUGGAGGCCUAUAUAAGCAUUGGCCAGCCACCCUUUGUAAAAACAUCUCAUUAUUAUUUUUUUCUAUCAAAUUUCAGAUUUGUUGAGUGCAGAAUUUUCUUUGGGGUUUUCUCCAAGAAUUCUCUCUUGAGUUUCUUUAGAAGUUGUUUUAACAAUCUUUUGAUUGUGGGAGCCAUCUUCAACCUUCUUCUUGCCAUCGAUAUUCUUUGGAGGGAAGAUUAGAGCCGUUUGAAGGAAUUUGUGAAUUCUUUCGGGAAUUCAAGGGUUCUUAGGACUUUUCUUUAUUUCUUGCUGUUUCGAUUUGUUUCUUUAUUCCUACUUGUGCCGAUUCAUCAUCUAAUAAUUUGCUGUUCUUGUUUGUGUUUCAGCCUUGAUUCAAACUCCAAGAACUCUUCAUUUAAUCGGUUCUUUUAUUGGCAACAUAUAAUCGACUCAAAAUUCCCCAAAAUUUAGGGUUCUUGCCGUUUUCUAUUUCUUCUUGUUGGGUGAAAUUCGGCUGCUGAAAUUUGGGCAAUUCAUAUUGGGUGUUCAAUUGGACCGAAUUGCAACUUAAAUUCACUUCUUGAACCAUUCAAUUUCAUCUAUUUCUUUCUUUUCUUUUUUUUUGCCGUCCAAAUCCCUAAUCUUCCAAUUAAAAAUCUGAUUGUUUCAAUCUACUUACUGUUUUGGUGUUCUUGGCAGAUUCGGCUUGUGGGAUUUCACUAUUGGAGUUCGAUUUCAUCUUCUUGAACUCCGAAUACAUUUAUUCAUUCGUUCUUUGUUCCUUGCUGCUCAUUUAAUCGAAUUUGGGGAUUUAAUUUCAGAUCUGAUUAGUUUAAUCUUGUUCUUUGUUUUAAUUUUCAGAUCUGUUCGUUUAGAGCUUUCGUAGGAGUUUCUCGUGACUUGGCAACUCGAUCUUGGUCCGCGCGCAAUCCUAUAUCAGGUAAAUUUGGCCAUGCACUUAUAUGGGCUGUUUUGGGCCGAAUUUUACAUGUAAUGCUCCUAAAGAUUAAAAAAAUUAAAUUAAACAAGUAAGAUGUUUACAAAUUGGGCCCUUUGACAUUUUGGCCUGAUUUUCAACUAAGUAUGAAGAAAUUUCUUGAUUGGGCUGGAUUUUGGUUAUUGGGCCUCGCCUUCAAGAAUUUGGGCUCGUGAUCCAUCUCCUACCAAAAUUGGGUCGUUGACGCUCUUAAUGGAGAUCCAAUGCGUUUUGGCUGCAAGAUUUGGUUUCUUGGACCAAGAUUUCCAAGAUUUGAAAUCUUGAUUUUCUUGAUUCUUGAAAUCUCUUCGAACAGCAAAAUUGGGCCAAGAUUCGGUUUCUUGAUUUUCUUGAAAACAAGAAAGUGAAUCUUGAUUUUCUGGUUCUCUCAUGUAUGCAUCUAAGGCCUUGCUAACAAGCUCUGGAAUGGUCCCAUUUAGUUUGGACCGCAUUUGUCGGGCCUUUGAUUUCGUUAUUGGGUCUUGUGGCAAUGUGAGCCCAUCACAUUCUUGAACUUGGAUUGGGCCUUUAUGACUCGUAUCAUUCCCCCCUUCCUCAAAAAGAUUCAUCCUCGAAUCUAAAAAAUCAAAUGAACUCGACUUUCCUCGAUCGAACGGGACUAAUCGCAAUUGAGUCCACUGAAAAGAAUAGCCAUGAAAUAGUAAAUAGCAACGCAAACAAGCUUUUAGUCCAAUUAUAAGCAUAAUAGAACAGGUAUAACGCAUGUGAAUGGACAGAUUUAGAUUACCAUGCCUUAAUCGACGGUCUAUAGAUUCACUCACACAUGCAUUAUCAAAAACAAGAAUCUUUUUAUCAACCAUCAAAAUAGAUUUAUCAUCAAUAAAUAAAAUAGGACAGUCAAGCACGUUUCGAUCUAAGUGUUCAUCAACACGAUCUUUGUCGCUAUCCGAGGAGUACAAAAGUGUUUCAAAGGUUUCAAGCAUCUUACCUUGAUAAGUGAUACGAGUCACAAAAGCCCAAAUUCUUGAAGGCGAGGCCCAAUAAGCAAAUUUCCAGCCCAAUCAUGAAAUCCAUCCAUACUUAGUUGAAAAUCAGGCCAAAUUGUCAAAGUGGCCCAAGUUGUAAAGUUUUAUUUUUAUUUUUAUUUAUUUAUUUAUUUAUUUACUUAGUUUAAAUUUUUAUGUCAAUAUUCAGUCCAAGAGUCCCAGAUAAAAUGACCUUUGACCGAAUUUUCAUAUUAAAAUAAUUAGGAGUUUUUUUUAUUUUAGUUUUCUAAUUAGAUUAGGACUAGUUAUAAGGCCUAUUUAAAGGCAUGGCUGUCCACCUUGUUAAACACUUAUCAUUAUUAUUAAAAUUUCAGAUUUGUUGAGAGCAGAAUUUUCUUUGAGUUUUCUCCAAGAUUUCUCUCUUGAGUUUUCUUUAGAAGUUGUUUUAACAAUCUUGUGAUUGUGGGAGCCAUCUUCAACCUUCUUCUUGCCAUUGAUAUUCUUUGGAGGGGAGAUUAGAGCCGUUUGAAGGGAGUUGUGAGAUCUUUCGAGAUUUCAAGGCUUCUUAGGACUUAUCUUUUAAUUUCUUACUGUCAAUUCUUUCUUUAUUUCUACUUGUGCUGAAUCAUUAUCUAAUCUAUUUUCUGUUCUUAUUGUGUUUCAGCCUUUUUCUAUCUUAAGGAAUCAGCCCAAAAAUCCCCAAUUUCUAGGGUUUUUCCAUACUCUUUUUGGGUGAAAUUAGAUUGUCGAAAUUUGGGGAAAACUAUCUUGGUGUUCAAUUGGGCAGAAUCACAAUCUCCUUAAGGGUUUCAAGAACCCUAACACUUAUUUCUAUUCUCAAUUUGAUUCUUUGCUGAUUUGGAGAUUUUAUUUCAGAUCUGAAAAUUCAAAGUUCUAAUCUUUUAAUUUUUCUGUUUCGUUUCGCAUCUGAUUGUUUAGGGUUUUCGUAGGAGUUUCUCGUGACUUGGCAACUUGAUCUUGGUCCGCGUGCAACCCCGUAUCAUUUGGUAUCAGAUUUUGGGCGUUUUGGGUGUUCUUGGUUGAUUUCUAAACUGAUCUCUAUUUUUUAAAUUACAAACAGCAGUUUUACCCAGAAAAAUUUUCGAAAAAAAUUCAUUUGAGUGGGUAAACGUUUUCUGAUUGAUCUGAAAUUUUACAUACAUAUUUUUGGAACUUUUAUUGAAUAUACAAAAAUAUUUCCCGCAAAAAAAUAAGUCGAAAAAGUAAAAAAAUUGAAAAAAGACGAAAUCCAAUAAAAAAUUAAAAAAAUAUUCAGCGGGUUGAAUUUGGUGGCCAAAUUUUCCAGAUCAAAAAUUAAAUAUUUGAAGACAUUCCAGAUUUAAUUUCGUGAUUUUUGGAGAUUGGGAACACCUCGAACGAAGUUUUCAAGUUACUCUGCAGUUUUUCAGGUUUUCUGUUUUCAGCAAUUUUUAUUGAUUCUUAGCUGUAGGUUUUCAUUUGUUUGCUUUUUAUUAUCCUUUUAAAAUAUCUAACACCUUCUUGUUUCUUGUGUUAGUAGGAUUUAAACGUGUGCACAAUCCUUCCUCGGUGCAACACGAAUCACUUGGUGUCUCGUCAGUUUUUGGCAUCCUAGUGCAAAUUAGGAUUCUUUGGUAGUUUGGUUCACACUCUCUAAUUGGUUGAUAUAAACUCUGAUAAAGAACUCACAAGAUUGAAUUCGACCUCAUUGAGAAUUUGAUUUUUCUUUUUGAGUGAUUAAUGGUGAGGUUUGCUAACUUUUAUUUUUGAGUGUUGAGUGUUUAUUUUUUACAGUUUUGAAGAUGUCUAAAGGUGAUAAUAAUGAUGCACUUAUGAAAGUCCAACAAUAGUUAGACCGACAUACUACUGCAAUCACACAAAUAAAUGCUACACUUCAACAAUUGAAUACUACUUUGAAUGAGGUACGAGUGAAUCAAAAACAUCAAUAUCGAGAUCCAAUUAAGGAAGAUAGGGAUAACCAGCCCCAUAGGUGCAGCCCUCAACGUGUCCCUAGAAUGGAUGAUGAUUUUCAUGAUCGUGGACAAUCAUCUUUGGCAAAACCAAAGAGUGAGCAGCAACGAGAACAUCUCUUUCAUACUCGCUGCCACGUACAAGGUAAGCUUUGUAGAGUUAUUAUUGAUGGUGAAAGUUGCUCGAACAUAGCCAGCACGACGAUGGUGGAAAAGCUUUGCUUAACCACUACCAAGCAUCCACAACCUUAUCAACUACAAGGGCUUAGCAACGAAGGCCAAUUUAGGGUCACUCAACAAGUGCGCAUCGCCUUUUCUAUCGGUAAGUAUCAAGACAAAGUUGUGUGCGACGUAAUGCCUAUUCAAGCCUGCCAUUUGUUGCUAGGAGAACCGUGGCAACUGGAUCGAAAAGUCACUCACGAUGGUCGUACCAAUAGGUAUUCUUUCAAGCAUCAAGGAAAGAAACUCACCUUAGUGCCGCUCACUCUGGAACAAGUCCAUGAGGACCAAAUCAAACUAAAAAAUUCUGUUAAAACAAGUGAGGAAAAAGAAAAAGAGAAUGAAAAAGAGCAAAAAGAGAUUGAGAGUGAAAAAGAAAUUGAAGAAAGAAGAGAAAAUGAAUUAGAAAAAGAAACAAAAGAAAAAGACGUGGAAAGGGUAGUGAGGAAUGUUUCCACUAACCAAGAUAUGAAUUUUUCUUGUGUUGCUACUUUUCAGGUUCCCGAAAGAUCGAAAGAUAACUUUCAACUUCAAUACCUCUCAAAUGAAAGACGCUUUCAUACGAUCAACUUAGGCAAAGAUGAAAUCACACUACAUGAUCCCGAAGGUAAGCGAGGUAAGGAAAUUUUAGAAACCGAGUCCAGUGCAGAUUUGAAAAUUAUUGAUAAAAUUUUUUGUGACUUAGUUCUUAAAAGAUCCCCUCAUUUUGAUCCGAUUAAUUUUACUCUUCGAUUGUGGUUGAUAAAGUCAUUACGAAAAGAAGCGUGAUUUGUUAUUCUCUUGAUUUACCUUGUGUAAAAUCCUUCAAUUUGUCCAAAUCUGUUUUGGAGAAUAAGGUAACGAAAUUUUCCAAAUUUGUUUUCAAUUUAUAUUCGUGCCUUAAACAGUUUAUGUGGUUGUACAUGAAGUUUGAGUUCCAUUUGACAAACGUUAACUCAACAACGAAGAUUCGACUACACUAUGCCCCCGAUGAGCGAAGGUUUGUUUUAAAUGAAAAAGGUAAAAUCGACCCUUAUUCUUCUGCUUAUCGAGGUAAGAUGCUUGAAACCUUUGAAACACUUUUGUACUCCUCGGAUAGUGAUAAAGAUCGUGUUGAUGAACACUUAGAUCAAAACGUGCUUGACUGUCCUAUUUUAUUUAUUGAUGAUCUAUCUGUUUUGAUGGUUGAUAAAAAGAUUCUUGUUUUUGAUAAUGCAUGUGUGAGUGAAUCUAUAGACCGUCGAUUAAUGCAUGGUAUGAUUAUGCAACUCUGUGAACCAUGUGAAUCUUUUCAAAUACCUACUUGUGACGAUUAUGUUUACCAUUUGAUUUAUUACUCGCAAUUUAUUCAUGGUUUGUGGGAACAAUGUGAGACGACUGAAUGCCUUAAAACAUGUCCAUCUUUGUUUCAAAUAUUUGACGAGGCAGUGGUGAGUAAAUUAGAUUGUUUGCAUGGUAAUCUGAAUCUGUCCAUUCACAUGCGUUAUACCUGUUCUAUUAUGCUUAUGAUUGGACUACAAGCUUAUUUCCGUUGCUAUUUACUAUCUCAUGGCUAUUCUUUUCAGUGGACUCAAUUGCCAUUAGUCCCGUUCGAUAGAGGAAAGUCGAGUUCAUUUGAUUUUUCAGAUUCGAGGACAAAUCUUUUUGAGGAAGGGGGGAAUGAUACGAGUCACAAAAGCCCAAAUUCUUGAAGGCGAGGCCCAAUAAGCAAAUUCCCAGCCCAAUUAAGAAAUCCAUCCAUACUUAGUUGAAAAUCAGGCCAAAUUGUCAAAGUGGCCCAAGUUGUAAAGUUUUAUUUUUAUUUUUAUUUAUUUAUUUAUUUAUUUACUUAGUUUAAAUUUUUAUGUCAAUAUUCAGUCCAAGAGUCCCAGAUAAAAUGACCUUUGACCGAAUUUCCAUAUUAAAAUAAUUAGGAGUUUUUUUUAUUUUAGUUUUCUAAUUAGAUUAGGACUAGUUAUAAGGCCUAUUUAAAGGCAUGGCUGUCCACCUUGUUAAACACUUAUCAUUAUUAUUAAAAUUUCAGAUUUGUUGAGAGCAGAAUUUUCUUUGAGUUUUCUCCAAGAUUUCUCUCUUGAGUUUUCUUUAGAAGUUGUUUUAACAAUCUUGUGAUUGUGGGAGCCAUCUUCAACCUUCUUCUUGCCAUUGAUAUUCUUUGGAGGGGAGAUUAGAGCCGUUUGAAGGGAGUUGUGAGAUCUUUCGAGAUUUCAAGGCUUCUUAGGACUUAUCUUUUAAUUUCUUACUGUCAAUUCUUUCUUUAUUUCUACUUGUGCUGAAUCAUUAUCUAAUCUAUUUUCUAUUCUUAUUGUGUUUUCAGCCUUUUUCUAUCUUAAGGAAUCAGCCCAAAAAUCCCCAAUUUCUAGGGUUUUUCCAUACUCUUUUUGGGUGAAAUUAGAUUGUCGAAAUUUGGGGAAAACUAUCUUGGUGUUCAAUUGGGCAGAAUCACAAUCUCCUUGAAGGUUUCAAGAACCCUAACACUUAUUUCUAUUCUCAAUUUGAUUCUUUGCUGAUUUGGGGAUUUUAUUUCAGAUCUGGAAAUUCAAAGUUCUAAUCUUUUAAUUUUUCUGUUUCGUUUCGGAUCUGAUUGUUUAAGGUUUUCGUAGGAGUUUCUCGUGACUUGGCAACUCGAUCUUGGUCCGCGUGCGUCCCUUUAUCAUUAAGCAAAAGAAUAAGGGUCGAUUUUACCUUUUUCAUUUAAAACAAACCUUCGCUCAUCGGGGGCAUAGUGUAGUCGAAUCUCCGUUGUUGAGUUAACCUUUGUCAAAUGGAACUCAAACUUCAUGUACAACCACAUAAACUGUUUAAGGGACGAAUAUAAAUUGAAAACAAAUUUGGAAAAUUUCGUUACCUUAUUCUCCAAAACAGAUUUGGACAAAUUCGAGGAUUUUACACAAGGUAAAUCAAGAGAAUAACAAAUCACGCUUCUUUUCGUAAUGACUUUAUCAACCACAAUCAAAGAGUAACAAUUAAUCGGAUCAAAAUGAGGGGAUCUUUUAAGAACUAAGUCACCAAAAGUUUGAUCAAUAAUUUUCAAAUCUGCACUGGACUCGGUUUCUAAAAUUUCCUUACCUCGCUUACCUUCGGGAUCAUGUAGUGUGAUUUCAUCUUUGCCUAAGUUGAUCGUAUGAAAGCAUCUUUCAUUUGAGAGGUAUUGAAGUUGAAAGUUAUCUUUCGAUCUUUCGGGAACCUGAAAAGUAGCAACACAAGAAAAAUUCAUAUCUUGGUUAGUGGAAACAUUCCUUACUACCCUUUCCACGUCUUUUUCUUUUGUUUCUUUUUCUAAUUCAAUUUCUCUUCUUUCUUCAAUUUCUUUUUCACUCUCAAACUCUUUUUGCUCUUUUUCAUUCUCUUUUUCUUUUUCCUCACUUGUUUUAACAGAAUUUUUCAGUUUGAUUUGGUCCUCAUGGACUUGUUCCGGAGUGAGCGGCACUAAGGUGGGUUUCUUUCCUUGAUGCUUGAAAGAAUACCUAUUGGUACGACCAUCGUGAGUGACUUUUCGAUCUAGUUUCCAUGGUUCUCCUAGCAACAAAUGGCAGGCUUGAAUAGGUACUACGUCGCACACGACUUCGUCUUGAUACUUACCGAUAGAAAAGGCGAUGCGCACUUGUUGAGUGACCUUAAAUUGGCUUUCGUUGCUAAGCCCUUGUAGUUGAUAAGGUCGUGGAUGCUUGGUAGCGGUUAAGCAAAGCUUUUCCACCAUCGUCGUGCUGGCUACGUUGGAGCAACUUUCACCAUCAAUAAUAACUCUACAAAGCUUACCUUGUACAUGGCAGCGAGUAUGAAAGAGAUGUUCUCGUUGCUGCUCGCUCUUUGGUUUUGCCAAAGAGGGUUGUCCACGAUCAUGAAGAUCAUAAUCAGUUCUAGGGACACGCCGAGGAGCGCGCCUAUGAGCAAGAGGCUGGCUAUCCUCAUCGUCUUUAAUUUGAUCUCGAUAUUGAGGCUCUUGAUUCAACCGCACCUCAUUGAUAGUAGCAGUCAACGCUCGAAGUGCAGCAGCCUGUUCGUCCAAUUGUUGUUGGAAUCUUUUAAAUAUGUCACUAUUAUUAUCACCUGUAGACAUUUUUUUUAAACCCUGCAAAACACUCAAUGAUGUGAGCUUGCCUACGAACCAAAUGGAGAACGAACAAGAAGCUAUUAAGCUGCCCAUUGGUCCGAUAACGCGAGCUAGAGCUAAACGAUUUAAAGAUGCUAUUUUAGCAUUGGUGGAACGGAUUGAGGAAAAUGAAAGCAAAGAGCUUAAAGACGAGCUGAAUAUUUUCAACUUCUUUGAAGUUGAAAUUCGUUCUAGCUAAUUAAAUUGCUGCUGGAUUUUAAACCAUUUAAAUAAGCAUUUAAUUAAGUCUUAUUGCAGCUUAUUAAUAUGUUUUUAUUUAAUAUAAGUGUUUAAUAUGUCUUAAUUUAGUUACAUUAAAGAUGUCUUGAUUUCAUUUAGUUUGUCUAAAUUAUUACAUGUCUUAAAUCUGUUCAACCGAAUUUGUGUCAUGCUUUAUUAAUAUUUAAGUUGUUUCAAUGUUAAAUUAGGAUGUUCACAUUAUGUAUUUACUUAGUUCAGCUUAAUUUGAUUGAAAUUAAUUAAGUUCAUGUGUGUUUUUAGGUACAGCCGAAUUUGAAGAUUCAUUGGGCAGAUUCAUGCAUGAAGAUUCAAUGGAUGUGAAGAUGCAUGCAUGUUGGGUUCAAUGCACCAAAUGAUACAUGCAUGGACUAUAUUAAAGAUGGUGUGCUGAUUGUUGAAGUUCUCUAAGUGACCAUUCGGCCAAAAGAGAUGAUUUUCCAUUCUCCAAAGCUGCCAUUUAUUUCCUUCACAUUGCUGGGUACAUUGUGGCUAUUCGGUUCAUGAUGUUCACACCUUAUGGUCAUUCAAAACCGUCCAUUCACACUUCCAAAUGACUGUUCAAGUUGAUAAUUAAUGAUGGUAAUUUUUCAGCAAGAGUUGCUUCAUUAUUGACCUUAUUAAACUCCAUUGGCCGAAUGUAGCUGCUGCCAAUUUUCCAAGUUCGUUGAAGCUCUUCCUUGGUCUAUAUUCAGCCGAACAUUGAUUCAAGACCAUUCAUGGAUCUUAGCUCAAAAUUAGUUCAAUGUUUACUUAGUUUUUAAGUAUUGAACUUGACUAUUCGGCUACUAGUCACUUAAGCUAUAAAUAGUGAGAAAUUUCUGAAUGAAAUAUAAUUUUAGUGAGAAAUUCACUCUCUUUAUUCUCCAAAGCUCAAAUUGACUUAUCUUCAACGAGUGGCGUCAAUCUGACUUUGUUCGAACUUAUCACCCAUUGGUGUGGCGUUCUCCAUACCGUAGGUUCCUAUUUUGCUAAAUAGAGGGUCUCGGUUUUUAUCCUAUUUCCAUUUCUUUCUUUGAAACCUUAAGCCCGGGUCCUUAUUUGAUAAUAAGGGUUCGAUCUUGUUUCAUCGAAUUACCCAGCAAACAACAACCCAUCAAACUCCUUUGUUCCUAAAGCCAUCCAACUUCAAACACCAAGACUUGAAUUUGAUUCAAUUCCGACACUACCUAAUUUCGAUCGGGAAAGAUUACGACUCGUCUUUACCUCCGAAACGAGCUCGUAUCACUCAACACUCAAAAAUAAAAGUUAUCAAACCUCACCGUUAAUCACUCAAAAAGAAAAAAAUCAAAUUCUCAAUGAGGUCGAAUUCAAUCUUGUGAGUUCUUUAUCAGAGUUUAUAUCAACCAAUUAGAUAGUGUGAACCAAACUACCAAAGAAUCCUAAUUUGCACUAGGAUGCCAAAAACUGACGAGACACCAAUUGAUUCGUGUUGCACCGAGGAAGAAGUUGUGCACACGUUUAAAUCAUACUAACACUAGAAACAAGAAGGUGUUAGAUAACGUAAAGGAAGAAUAAAGGUAAACAAAUGAAAACCUACAGCUAAGAAUCAAUAAAAAUUGCUGAAAACAGAAAACCCGAAAAACUGCGGAGUAACUUGACAACUUCGUUCGAGGUGUUCCCGAUCUCCAAAAAUAACGAAAUUAAAUCUGGAGUGUCCUUAUAUAUUGAAUUUUUUGAUCUGGAAAUUUUGGGCACCAAAUUCAACCCGCUGAAUCUUUUUUUAAAUUUUUAUUGAAUUUCGUAUUUUUUUAUUUUUUUGACUUUUUUGACUGAUUUUUUUGCGCGAAUAAUUUUUUUAUAUUCAAUAACAGUGCCAAAAACAUGUAUGUAAAAUUUCAGAUCAAUCGGACAAUUUUUACCCACUCAAAUGAAUUUUUUUUGAACAAUUUUUCUGGGUAAAACUGCUGUUUAUGCUUUAAAAAAUAGAGAUCAGUUUAGAAAUCAACCAAGAACACCCAAAACGCCCAAAAUCUGAUACCAAAUGAUACGGAAUGCGCGCGGACCAAGAUCGAGUCGUCAAGUCACGGGAAACUUCUACGAAAGCUCUAAACGAACAGAUCUGAAAAUUAAAACAAAGAACAAGAUUAAAAGCAAAUUUGAAUUGAAUUGAAAUUCCCCAAAUUCAAUUAAAUGAGCAGCAAGAAACAAAGAAAUAGGAUAAGUGAAUCACACGGAAUUGAAAGUAUGGAAAGGAUGCGAAUCUGCCAAGGGAUUGAUUCGGCCAAGAAUGCCUAAUUUCCAGCAAUCAAUUGAUCCCCAAAUUGAAAGAGAUCCAAUCGGCCAAACCCUAGGAAUUGGGGAUUUUUGGGUUCGAAUGGGUGCUGUGAUACGCCCUCACCUCGAGAUCGAAUUGAGUCGUAAAGAUCGCCCGAUCGUGAAUUAGGAGUAAAUUGAGGCUUUACAAAAUAGGCUAGAAGAAAGAGGUUUAUUUAGGCUCAAAAAGGUUUUGUUGGUUUAGGAAAUGAAUUAGAAAACAAUGGAAGCAAUUUGGCUAAGGAUUCAAAAGCCGAACUAACACAAUAGGAAUGUGUUAACCCGUAACUUAGGAGAAUGCUUAGGUUGGUAAGGAUGGAUGGAAGGUUUGUUAAAUGGAAAGAAACUUCGACCCACUAUCAAUGGUGAUAGGAACCUUAGUAUGAAUCGAACGCCACACUUUUGGGAUUAAAGUGAUAAGUUCGGGAAGAAACAAAAACAAGUUUGAUGCCACAAAGAUGUUUGAUAAGUCUCACAAGUUUUUGGAGAAUAACGAGAGUUGAAAACAACCUCACAAUUUAGCAAAGCUAUCAAAUUGUUCAUUAAUCUCAAAAUGUGAAUUACAUGACCUAUUUAUAGCUUGACUAAGGCAGCCGAAUAGCCUAUCUAAUCAGAUCCUUAUGCCUUAAGUUUCUUGAGGAAACUUCCUAGAAAUUUCCUAGUUACAUUCAUGUGAUGAAAUUCUGAAAAUUNNNNNNNNNNNNNNNNNNNNNNNNNNNNNNNNNNNNNNNNNNNNNNNNNNNNNNNNNNNNNNNNNNNNNNNNNNNNNNNNNNNNNNNNNNNNNNNNNNNNNNNNNNNNNNNNNNNNNNNNNNNNNNNNNNNNNNNNNNNNNNNNNNNNNNNNNNNNNNNNNNNNNNNNNNNNNNNNNNNNNNNNNNNNNNNNNNNNNNNNNNNNNNNNNNNNNNNNNNNNNNNNNNNNNNNNNNNNNNNNNNNNNNNNNNNNNNNNNNNNNNNNNNNNNNNNNNNNNNNNNNNNNNNNNNNNNNNNNNNNNNNNNNNNNNNNNNNNNNNNNNNNNNNNNNNNNNNNNNNNNNNNNNNNNNNNNNNNNNNNNNNNNNNNNNNNNNNNNNNNNNNNNNNNNNNNNNNNNNNNNNNNNNNNNNNNNNNNNNNNNNNNNNNNNNNNNNNNNNNNNNNNNNNNNNNNNNNNNNNNNNNNNNNNNNNNNNNNNNNNNNNNNNNNNNNNNNNNNNNNGGAAAAGCUUUGCUUAACCACUACCAAGCAUCCACGACCUUAUCAACUACAAGGGCUUAGCAACGAAAGCCAAUUUAAGGUCACUCAACAAGUGCGCAUCGCCUUUUCUAUCGGUAAGUAUCAAGACGAAGUCGUGUGCGACGUAGUACCUAUUCAAGCCUGCCAUUUGUUGCUAGGAGAACCAUGGCAACUAGAUCGAAAGGUCACUCACGAUGGUCGUACCAAUAGGUAUUCUUUCAAGUAUCACAGAAGGAAAAUCACCUUAGUGCCGCUCACUCCGGAACAAGUCCAUGAGGACCAAAUCAAACUGAAAAAUUCUGUUGUUAAAACAAGUGAGGAAAAAGAAAAAGAGAAUGAAAAAGAGCAAAAAGAGAUUGAGAGUGAAAAGGAAUGUGAAACAGAAAAGAAAAUUGAAAAAGAAGUUGAAGAAAGAAGAGAAAAUGAGUUAGAAAAAGAAACAAAAGAAAAAGACGAGGAAAGGCUAGUGAGGAAUGUUUUCACUAACCAAGAUAUGAAUUUUUCUUGUGUUGCUACUUUUCAGGUUCCCGAAGGACCGAAAGAUAACUUUCAACUUCAAUACCUCUCAAAUGAAAGACGCUUUCAUACGAUCAACUUAGGCAAAGAUGAAAUCACACUACAUGAUCCCGAAGGUAAGCGAGGUAAGGAAAUUUUAGAAACUGAGUCCAGUGCAGAUUUGAAAAUUAUUGAUAAAACUUUUGGUGACUUAGUUCUUAAAAGAUCCCCUCAUUUUGAUCUGAUUAAUUGUUACUCUUCGAUUGUGGUUGAUAAAGUCAUUACGAAAAGAAGCGUGAUUUGUUAUUCUCUUGAUUUACCUUGUGUAAAAUCAUCGAAUUUGUCCAAAUCUAUUUUGGAGAAUAAGGUAACGAAAUUUUCCAAAUUUGUUUUCAAUUUAUAUUCGUGCCUUAAACAGUUUAUGUGGUUGUACAUGAAGUUUGAGUUCCAUUUGACAAAGGUUAACUCAACAACGAGAUUCGACUACACUAUGCCCCCGAUGAGCGAAGGUUUGUUUUAAAUGAAAAAGGUAAAAUCGACCCUUAUUCUUUUGCUUAUCAAGGUAAGAUGCUUGAAACCUUUGAAACACUUUUGUACUCCUCGGAUAGCGACAAAGAUCGUGUUGAUGAACACUUAGAUCGAAACGUGCUUGACUGUCCUAUUUUAUUUAUUGAUGAUAAAUCUAUUUUUAUGGUUGCUAAAAAGAUUCUUGUUUUUGAUAAUGCAUGUGUGAGUGAAUCUAUAAACCGUCGAUUAAUGCAUGGUAAUCUGAAUCUGCCCAUUCACAUGCGUUAUACCUGUUCUAUUAUGCUUAUAAUUGGACUACAAGCUUGUUUGCGUUGCUAUUUACUAUUUCAUGGCUAUUCUUUUCAGUGGACUCAAUUGCCAUUAGUCCCGUUCGAUCGAGGAAAGUCGAGUUCAUUUGAUUUUUUAGAUUCGAGGACGAAUCUUUUUGAGGAAGGGGGGAAUGAUACGAGUCACAAAGGCCCAACCCAAGCUUAAGAAGGUGAUGGGCUCAAAUUAAGAAAAUCAAGAUUCACUUUCUUGUUUUCAAGAAAAUCAAGAAAUCGAAUCUUGGCCCAAUUUUGCUGUUCGGAGCAAUUUCAAGAAUCAAGAAAAUCAAGAUUUCAAAUCUUGGAAAUCUUGGUCCAAGAAACCGAAUCUUGCAGCCAAAGCGCGUUGGAUCUCCAUUACGAGCGUCAACGACCCAAUUUCGGUAGGAGAUGGAUCACAAGCCCAAAUUCUUAAAGGCGAGGCCCAAUAAGUAUAUUCCCAGCCCAAUCAAGAAAUCCAUACAUAUUUAGUUGAAAAUCAGGCCAAAAUGUCAAAGGGCCCAAUUUGUAAACAUUUUAGUUGUUUAAGUUAAUUUUUUAAGUUUUAGGAAUAUCACAUGUUAAAUUCGGCCCAAAACAGCCCAAUAGGAUGCAUGGCCGAAUUUUCCUUUGUUUUUUUUAAUUAAGUUUAAAUUUUUUAAGUUUUCUAAUUAGAUUAGGAUUUGUUGGAGGCAUAUAUAAGCAUUGGCCAGCCACCCUUUGUAAACAUAUUAUUAUUAUUUUUUUAAUCAAAUUUCAGAUUUGUUGAGUGCAGAAUUUUCUUUGGGGUUUUCUCCAAGAAUUCUCUCUUGAGUUUUCUUUAGAAGUUGUUUUAACAAUCUUUUGAUUGUGGGAGCCAUCUUCAACCUUCUUCUUGCCAUCGAUAUUCUUUGGAGGGGAGAUUAGAGCCGUUUGAAGAGAUUUGUGAAAUCUUUCGGGAUUUCAAGGAUCUUUAGGACUUAUCCUUUAAUUCUUGCUGUUUUCGAUUUCUUUCUUUACUUUUCUUUGCUUAUACUUGUGCCGAUUUCUCAUCUAAUAUUUUGCUGUUCUUGUUUGUUUUCCAGCAUUGAUUAAAUUCAAGAUCUCAUCGUUUAAGUUGUUCUCCUAUUGGCAGCACCCAUUCGAACCCAAAAAUCCCCAAUUCCUAGGGUUUGGCCGAUUGGAUUUCUUUCAAUUUGGGAAUCAAUUGAUUGCUGGAAAUUGGGCAUUCUUGGCCGAAUCAAUUCCUUGGCAGAUUCGCAUCUUUUCUUUCUUCUCAAUUUCGUUUGAUUCAUCGAUUCUAUUUCUUUUCUUCUUGCUGCUCUUUUAAUUGAAUUUGGGAAUUUUAAAUUCAAAUCUGAUUCGGUUUAAUCUUAAUCUUUGUUUUUGAUUUCAGAUCUGUUCGUCUAGGAUCUUUCGUAGGAGUUUCUCGUGACUUGGCAACUCGAUCUUGGUCCGCGUCGUCCCUUUAUCAGCGUCUAUCUUGCAUCAACACAGCUCCAAUACCUAAACCUGAUGCAUCACACUCUAACUCGAAAGUUUUAUCAAAAUUAGGCAAAAUUAAUAAUGGUGCAUGAGUUAAACAAUCUUUAAUUUUCAGAAAUGAUUUUUCUUGCUCCUCUCCCCAUACAAAAUUAGAAUUCUUACGAAUAACCCCAGUUAAGGGUGUGGCUAAGGUGCUGAAGUUUGGCACGAAUCGUCGGUAAAAACUUGCUAAUCCAUGGAAACUUCAAACUUGGGAGACAUUCGUCGGACGAGGCCAUUCUUGGAUCGGCUUGAUCUUCUCUUGGUCGACUUCAAGACCCUCUGAGCUAACAACAAAACCUAAAAACACAACCUUGUUAGUGCAAAAAUCACAUUUCUUCAAAUUAGCAUACAAGGUUUCUUUUCUCAAUACUUCCAAAACAGCCUUUAGAUGUAAAACAUGUUCAUCCAACUUUUUACUAUAGAUCAAUAUAUCAUCGAAGUAUACUACGCAAAAUCUACCAAUAAAAGGCCUCAAAACGUGAUUCAUAAGCCUCAUGAAUGUACUCGGGGCGUUUGUUAAGCCAAAGGGCAUAACGAGCCAUUCGUAAAGCCCAUGCUUUGUUUUGAAAGCAGUCUUCCACUCGUCUCCCUCGCGCAUCCGUAUUUGGUGAUAACCACUUUUAAGAUCGAUUUUUGAAAAUAAACUUGUGCCACUUAGUUCAUCAAGCAUAUCAUCCAAUCGCGGUAUAGGAUGACGAUACUUAAUGGUUAUCUUAUUAAUUGCACGGCAGUCCACACAUAUCCUCCACGUUCCAUCCUUCUUCGGAACGAGCAAAACAGGCACGGCGCAUGGACUAAGUGAUACAAUCUCGGUUUAGUAGUUGAGGCCGAGUCAUUUAGUUCCCGAUCGUAAACGAAGAAGUAGAAUAGACGAGAAGGAGAUAGAAUAUAUUUGUGUUCAAAGAAGUAAGAUAAGUUCGUGCAAAGUUGGAUGUGGAUUUGGUUUAAGUCGAAAAGGUAUGAAUAGAAUGGACGAGUUCGGUUUAGGAUAAUUAAGAAAUGGUAUUUGGUUUUGGUACGUUUUGGUAUUUGAAAAUUGGUUCGAAAUAGUAUGGAAUUGGUACGAAAUGGUAUGGUAUUUGGUACGAAUUGGUAAUGGUUCAAAAGGACCUUGACCGAUACUUAGGAAAGUAUGAACCAAAGGUAUCAAAGGUGAACGCCACACUCGGGUUUAAGGAGUGAUAAGUUCGGAAAAGACUCGGAAAGACGCCACUAAAAAGCUUAGAUAAGUCUUACGGGUCUCGAACGAAAUUUGAGAGAAAAUGCCUCAUGUAACACCCCGAACCCGAAACCGACACCGGAGUCGAACACGAGGUGUUAACUGACUUUAACCCCUUAUAAAGUUUAUUUUCCAGACACUGCCCAAUCUGUGUACUAGUCGUUCUAAAAAUCAUAUCUUGAGUUUCAUAACUCGAAAAUCAGUUUCGUGAUUUUUCCCAGAAACUAGACUCAUGUUCCCAUCUAUUUAUUUUUUUCUAGAAUUUUUGGUUGGGCCAAUUAGUACAGUUUAUUAGUCAAAGUCUCCCAUGUUGCAGGGGUCGACUACACUGACCUUUGCCCAUUACGACUUGGAUAUCUCACUGCACAGGGCUCCAAUACUGAUGCCGUUUGUUUCUAUGAAAACUAGACUCAGAGAGGAAUCUGUACAUAUAUGGUACAACCCCUAAUUAUCUCUGGUUAAUUUAUAAUGAAUUUCCAAAUUCGGAGUAGGGAAUCCAGAAACCGUUCUGGCCCUGUCCUACAAAAAUCUGAUUAUCUCUCAAUAUACUGCCCAUAUGAUCUUUUCGUUACUUCCUCAUGAAAACAGACUCAUCGAGCUUCGAUUACAUAAUUUAUUCGUCAAUUAAUUCCACUCCUACUAUUUUUAGUUAUUUUUCAAUCUCAUGACACUGCUGCUGCCAGCAUCUGUUACGAAAGUAUCUAGGCCCAUUUCAUGCCUACCCUUGAUCCAACUCAAUCGAACAUUCGUGCCAUUUUCGCAUGGCUUAAAGUUUACAUGCCAAAGUUCAAACACAACGUAAUAGCUUAUACAUGCCAAAAUGUUCUUCUAAUCCAACUAAGAGGAAAGUACCAAAACUUGCUAUCCGGUGUGAUGACUUCGAUGACGGCCCGACCCCGCAAAAAUAGAUGAGUCCAAGCAACCUAUAAUGGGUGACAAGGAAACACCGAGUGAGUUUAUAACUCAGUAAGUCAUAAGCUGUGCACUACCAUCCAUCCAUAACAUUAUCACAAGAGAAAACAAAAUGGAACGAGGCUAAUUACUCCAUCCAUUCCGAACCACACCAUAGUUCCUCCGACCUAUCGGUUUGGUUUCAUACCAAUUUAUGCAUUCACAAUCCACAUACUCAUCAAUAGGAUAUUCGAGGCAUUUUCAUAAAUCAUUUUAUUUUCGUUACCAACAUACAACUAAACGGCCUUUCACCCAUUCUACGAUAAAUUUCAUGUACGUGACUUCAAGUAUAUUUGUCACAUAGGUUCAAACUUACCAAGCUCAUCACCAAGUAUCGACAUAGCACCUAUUAGCCAUGAACUCAAGACACUUACCCGAUCCGCCGUCCGUGAUCGACUCAAUAGCGUCGCACACUUAGUGUCCAUAAUGAUUCAAGAAUAUAUAUUAAGUCCGCACACUCAGUGCUAUAUAAUCAACUCGCACACUUAGUGCCACAUAAUCAAACUCGCACACUUAGUGCUACAUAGUCAACUCGCACACUUAGUGCCGCAUGGUCAAUUCGCACACUUAGUGCAUCAUUUUCAUUUCGCACACUUAGUGCAACAUGGUCAAAUCGCACACUUAGUGCUACAUAGCCAAAUCGCACACUUAGUGCUGUACAAUUUACUCCCGCGCACUUAGCGCCAAUCUCAUGGUCAUAAAUGGUUAUACCCGCACGUUUAGUGCCGAGAUCAACAACUUAGUACAUCUUACCUCUUUUCUUUUCAUUCAACAAUUUCAUCAUCCCAUACGUACAUGCAUAUAUAUAUAUAUGUAUAUUUAUUCAUUCCAUUUAGCAUCAAUACAUACACAUUAUGACCAUUUAAAACAAUACCAACUACAUGCUUAAUGACUUACCUCGUGUUGGGUAAGACGGUUCCAACUCGGCUACUCGAUGACCUUUUCUUUGCCUUUGCUCGAUUCACCUCCUUUAACUCCUUGAGCUUAAUCAAUAAUUUAACUAGUUUAACCACCUUGCUAAAUAUUUACAAUCCAAUUUCACAUGUAUAUGUAUGUUAGUAUAUUCGGCUAAUAACCUCACGCAACUACCAUAUCAUCAAAAAUCUAAUCACACAUGCACAUGCAUUAGGUAAGUCACCUUUGCUAAUUUUAAACCCAACAUCACACAAGCUCUCAAGUGAUGGCCGAAUGCUUCUUUUGUUACCCAACUAAUCAUUCGACAAUUUCAUCAUUUAGGCCUCAAAAAGAUGAACACAAGGCACUUAGCCCAUAUUUAUACAUUAGACAUUAAAGUCUCUUACAUGCAAAAAUCAUGCAUCAACACAACAUAUUAGCUAAUUUAUUUCCCCUUGGCCGAAUAUGCAUGCCUAUUUUUGGGGUCGAUUUCAACACUUAAUACACACAUAUACACACUAGUAAAGCAUCCUCCCCCUUUUCAUCAAUUUAACACAUGCAUUGCUCAUUAACAUGCAAAGUUACAUUCGGCCUUAGCACACAUCUUGCUAGCCGAUUCUUCUCCAUUUAGCACCCAAUGCACAUAUGUGCUCACACAACAAAAAAAAUGCCAAAAAGGAGGUUCAAGAAUCAUCAAGCCAUCAUCACAUGCAUCAUUAACAAGCUUCAUAUUUUGCAUGCAAUGGCAUUAACACAACCUCCACCUAGGCCGAAUCUUAACUCAUCCUCAUGCCUCAUCACCACAACAUCAAACAUCAACCAUGAAUGAUUCAUCCAUGGUCAAGUGCCAUUUCCAUCACAUAGCAAGAUUUAGACCAUGGGUUAGGUAGAACUCAAGCUAACAACUAAAACAUGCAUGCCUCUCAUGGAACAUCAUCAAACAUACCUUAGCCUAGCUACAUGCAUGGCCGAAUCUCUUCACCUUUCUUCUUCUUUCCUCCUUAAAAUUUUUGGCCAAGGAUGAACCAAAGGAUGAGAAAAUUUUUCUUUGUUUUUCUUUCUAGUUUUUGGCAAGCAUGAAGAUGAGAAAAGGAUGAACAAAAUUCCCCCUUUCUCUUGUUUAGCUCACGGCAAUGGGGGGACAAACACCACACACACAUUUUUUUUUCUUUUGUUUUCCAUUUCUUUAUUACCCAUACUCCUUAUUUUAUUCUUCCACUAACAAAACAUGUUUCAUGACAUGUUUUGCCCAUCCUUCCUUGUCAUGGCCGGCCACUACUCAUUAGGGGGGGAAUUUGGCAUGCAAGUCCCCCCCUUUGUCCACAUGCACUAGUAGGUCCUCACACAUUGACCUAUCACAUUUUAGAAUUUUCUCACAUAAGUCCUAUUGACUAAAUUCACAUGAAAUCAACCCAAUUGAAGCUUGAAAUUUUCACACAUUCAUAAUUACAUAUUCUAGACAAUAAGUAUCACAUUCAAACAUUCCGGUGACUCGGUUUAGCGGUCCCGAGACCACUUCCCGACUAGGGUCAACUUUGGGCUGUUACAACUCUCCCCCACUUAAGAAAUUUUCGUCCCCGAAAAUUUUACCGGUAAAUAGGUUUGGGUAUCGUUCUUUCAUCGAGCUCUCGGUUUCCCAAGUAGCUUCCUCGAUCCCAUGUUUGAGCCAUAACACCUUCACUAACGGAACCCCUUUUUUUUUCGCAACUCCUUCACUUCACGAGCUAGGAUACGCAUCGGUUCUUCUUCAUAGCUCAUGUCGACUUGAAUUUCAACCUCUGAUGGGCUAAUUAUAUGCGAUGGAUCAGAUCGAUAGCGUCGAAGCAUCGAAACAUAAAAGACGUCAUGAAUCUUUUCAAGCUCCGGGGGCAAAAUCAAUCUAUACGCCACUGGCCCCACUCGUUCGGAGAUUUCGUACGGCCCAAUGAAUCUCGGGCUCAACUUGCCCUUACGGCCAAACCUAAGUACCUUUUUCCCAGGUGAAACCUUAAGGAACACUUUGUCUCCCACCUGAUACUCGAUGUCUUUUCGUUUCAAAUCUGCGUACGACUUCUAACGAUCCGUGGCCACCUUCAGACUUUCACGGAUUACCUUUACUUUCUGUUCAGCAUCUUUAACCAAAUCAACUCCGAAAAUUUUACUUUCACCGAGCUCGGUCCAAAACAAUGGUGUACGGCAUUUACGACCGUACAAAGCCUCGUAAGGUGCCAUCUUAAUACUUGAUUGAAAACUAUUGUUGUAAGCGAAUUCAAUCAAAGGUACAUACCGUUCCCAUGAACCACUAAACUCAAGGAUGCAGCAUCUCAGCAUAUCCUCGAGUAUCUGAAUUAUCCGCUCGGAUUGACCAUCGGUUUGGGGAUGAAAAGCAGUGCUAAAAUGCAGCUUGGUACCCAAAGCUUCUUGCAAUUUCCUCCAAAAUCGCGAGGUGAAUCUCGGAUCUCUAUCCGACACGAUAGAAAUAGGUACCCCGUGUAAUCUCACAAUCUGAGAAACAUACAAUUCGACUAGUUUAUCCAAUGAAAAAUCCGUACGCACGGGGAUAAAGUGAGCCGACUUAGUCAGUCUAUCAACAACAACCCAAAUCGCAUCCUUCUUACUUGUUGACAAUGGUAGUCCGGACACAAAGUCCAUUGUGACUCGAUCCCAUUUCCACUCGGGUAUCAUGAUCGGCUAAAGUAACCCUGAAGGCACUUGAUGUUCCGCUUUCACUUGUUGACAUAUUAAACAUCUCGAAACAAAGUCGGAGAUGUCUCGUUUCAUACCAUGCCACCCAAACCGACGUUUCAAGUCGUUGUACAUUUUCGUGCUCCCCGGGUGAAUUGACAUUCGCUACAAUGGGCUUCGUUCAGAAUCAUCGGAAUAAGUUCCGAAUUCCUUGGAACACACAAACGACUUCUAAACCUCAAACAACCAUCAUCAUCAAUCUGAAACUCCGAUUCCUUGUUCGGAACACACUCAGCUCGUUUCGCAACCAAUUCAUUAUCGACUUCCUGAGCUUCAAGAAUUUGAUGAGUCAAUAAUGGUUUGGCUUUUAAUUCAGCUACUAACACAUUGUCAGAUAGAACAGACAAGUGUACAUUCAUCGCUCGCAAAGCAAACAGUGAUUUCCGGCUUAAGGCGUCCGCAACCACCUUAGCCUUUCCCGGGUGGUAAUCAAUGACAAGCUCGUAAUCUUUCAACAACUCAAGCCAAUGUCUUUGUCGCAGAUUCAAGUCUCGUUGAAUCAUCAAAUAUUUGAGACUUUUGUGAUCCGAAAACACAUGGCACUUCUCACCAAACAAAUAAUGUCGCCAUAUUUUCAAUGCGAACACAAUGGCGGCUAGUUCGAGAUCAUGGGUCGGAUAGUUUCUCUCGUGUGGCUUCAAUUGUCUCGACGCAUAGGCCACAACUCGACCUUCUUGCAUCAAUAUGCAACCCAACCCAAGUAGGGAUGCGUCACUAUAAAUGACAAACUCUUUACCCGAUUCGGGUUGCACCAAAAUUGGAGCUUCAGUCAAAUGAGUUUUCAGCUGAUCGAAGCUUUUCUGACAUUUCUCCGUCCAUUCGAACUUAACAUCCUUUUGAAGUAGCUUCGUCAUUGGUGUGGCUAUCAUCGAGAAACCUUUGACAAAUCGUCGGUAAUAACCGGCGAGUCCCAAAAAGCUCCGAACCUCAGUAAUACUUCUCGGAGGUUUUCAGUUAAGUAUGGCUGAGAUUUUGUUCGGGUCAACUCGAAUACCCGAUGCGGAUACCACAUGACCCAAGAAGCUAACCUCUCUUAACCAGAACUCACACUUACUGAACUUAGCAUAUAACUUCUUAUUCCGCAAAACUUGCAACACUAAUCUCAAGUGUUCAGCAUGUUCGAUCUCAUCUCUUGAAUAGACCAAGAUGUCAUCAAUGAACACAACUACGAACCGAUCCAAAUAUGGUCUGAAGAUCCGAUUCAUCAAAUCCAUAAAUACUGCAGGGGCAUUAGUGAGCCCAAACGGCAUCACUAAGAACUCGUAGUGACCAUAUCUCGUCCUGAAGGCAGUUUUGGGUAUGUCCGAUUCUCGAAUUCGCAACUGAUAAUAGCCCGAUCUCAGAUCUAUUUUUGAGAACAUAGAGGCUCCCGUCAGUUGGUCGAACAAAUCAUCGAUACGCGGUAACGGAUCCUUAUUCUUUAUCGUCACUUUAUUCAGUUGACGAUAGUCAAUGCACAACCUCAUGGUUCCGUCCUUCUUUUUCACGAACAAUACUGGUGCACCCCAGGGUGAGAAACUCGAUCGAGCGAAACCUCUAUCCGUCAAUUCUUGCAAUUUAGCUUUCAACUCUUUUAACUCGGUUAGUGCCAUACGAUACGGAGCGAUCGAAAUUGGCGUAGUUCCAGGUACAAGCUCAAUACCAAACUCUAUCUCCCGAACAGGUGGCAAACCCGGUAACUCUUUAGGAAAAACAUCCGGGUAUUCACGAACCACCGGCACCGAUUCGGGUUUCUUUUCUAACUCCUUGUCAUCAAGUACAUACGCGAGGUAUGCUUCGCACCCUUUCCUUACAUAUUUCUGGGCCAACAUUGCUGAUAUUACAGCUGGCAACCCCCUUAAGUCCGCAGACUCAACUCGGAUUAUUUCGUUAUUUGCGCACCUCAAAUCGAUAGUCUUGCUUUUGCAAUUCACAACCGCAUCAUGCGCGGUUAACCAAUCCAAACCAAGAAUAACAUCAAACUCGUCGAACGGCAAAAGCAUCAAAUCAGCCGGAAAACAGGAUUCUCGGAUUAUUAGAGGGCAUCUCUUACAUACUUUAUCAACAAAUACGCAUUGACCCAAAGGGUUUGAUACUCGAAUUACGAGCUCAGUAGACUCAACAGGUAGAGUCUUACUGGUUGCUAAGGUUUCGCAUACAUAUGAAUGAGUAGAACCAGGGUCAAUCAAUGCAAUCACAUUAGUAUCAAAGAGAGUGAAGGUACCAGUGAUGACGUCAGGGAAGGAUGCCUCCUCUCGUGCGCGAAUGGUAUAUGCUCUAGCAGGAGUACGGUUCUCGGCUCGAGCAGCCGUAUCAGAGGCCCCUCUCUGACUACCACCAGCAUUGCCUGUAUUUCCAGAUGGUCUACCUCGAGCAGUGGUAGCACCCGGUUUCCCACUCUGAUUUACAGUCUGUUCAGACAACCUCGGGCAAUCUUUAAUGAAGUGGUCAACCGAUCCGCACUUGUAACAGGAGCGGUCAGGGAAUCUACAACUCCCCGAAUGCCAUUUACCGCAAUAUCGACAUUUCAUUCUGUCUCGACGUUCAUUCCCAACACUGGCGACCGAAGUGCCUCGUGUACCCAAAGGGGGUCGAUCACGAUCUCAUCUAAAAAGGCCCGAAGUGCCUCUCGACCAGCCCACAUCAUCUCGAAAUUUCUUCGAUGCCUGUUGAAGAGACUUUCCCGAAGAUAUUGUACGAAACUCUCCAGUUCCCUCAUCAACUUUUUGUUUUUCUUUUCUAAGCUCUUCGGCUUUACAAGCUCACUCGACAAGUACCACGAACUCUCGUAUUUCAAGAACGCCAACGAACAUUUUUAUAUCUUCAUUCAGCCCAUCCUCGAAGCGUUACACACAAUAGCCUCGGACGAAACACAUUCCCGAGCGUAUCUACUAAGUCUAACAAAUUCAUGUUCGUAUUCAGAUACAGUCAUACGGCCUUGCUUGAGUUCUAAGAACUCCUUACGCUUCUGAUCAAUGAACCGUUGGCUAAUAAAUUUCUUUCGGAAUUCUGUUUGAAAGAAGUCCCAAGUUACUCGCUCGUUCGGGACUAUGGAAAUCAAGGUCCUCCACCAAUAGUAGGCUGAGUCUCGCAAGAAAGAUACAGCACAUUUUAGACAUUCGUCAGGUGUGCAUGACAAUUCAUCGAACACCCGAAUGGUGUUAUCAAGCCAGAACUCGGCCCUUUCGGCGUCAUCAGUUACUAUGGCCUUGAACUCCUCGGCCCCUCGCUUCCUAAUCAAGUCUACAGGUGGCUUACUCAGCCUCACAGGAUCAGCGACUGAUGGCAUUACAGGCUCUUGGGGUGGAUUAUUCAAAUUUGGGAAUUGUUGGACAGCCGGGUUGGUUCGGGCAUAUUGCGCGACCCACUCAUUCAUCAUGGUAAAGAAGGCUUGUUUAGCCCCCUCACCUUGAUCAUUCGCAGAUGACUGAGGUUCAACAGGCGGCGUCCCUUGUGCAGGAGCAGCCGCUACGCUCUCAACGUCAUCCGCCAGGGUUCUUUCUACACCGGGAUCCAUUUACUAAUCAAAACAAAAACAUUUCAACCGUCGGAAGUCAUCACCCUUUUAAACAUUAACAUUAAGGCAUGUAUAGCUAGACUCAUACGUGCUAUGGUAGUCCUAGAACCGACUAAACCAUGGCUCUGAUACCAAUCAAAUGUAACACCCCGAACCUGAAACUGACACCGGAGUCGAACACGAGGUGUUAACUGACUUUAACCCCUUAUAAAGUUUAUUUUCCAGACACUGCCCAAUCUGUGUACUAGUCGUUCUAAAAAUCAUAUCUUGAGUUUCAUAACUCAAAAAUCAGUUUCGUGAUUUUUCCCAGAAACUAGACUCAUGUUCCCAUCUAUGUAUUUUUUUCUAGAAUUUUUGGUUGGGCCAAUUAGUACAGUUUAUUAGUCAAAGUCUCCCAUGUUGCAGGGGUCGACUACACUGACCUUUGCCCAUUACGACUUGGAUAUCUCACUGCACAGGGCUCCAAUACUGAUACCGUUUGUUUCUAUGAAAACUAGACUCAGAGAGGAAUCUGUAAAUAUAUGGUACAACCCCUAAUUAUCUCUGGUUAAUUUAUAAUGAAUUUCCAAAGUCGGAGCAUGGAAUCCAGAAACCGUUCUCGCCCUGUCCCACAAAAAUCUGAUUAUCUCUUAAUAUACUGCCCAUAUGAUCUUUUCGUUACUUCCUCAUGAAAACAGACUCAUCGAGCUUCGAUUACAUAAUUUAUUCGUCAAUUAAUUCCACUCCUACUAUUUUUAGUGAUUUUUCAAUCUCAUGACACUGCUGCUGCCAGCAUCUGUUACGAAAGUAUCUAGGCCCAUUUCAUGCCUACCCUUGAUCCAACUCAAUCGAACAUUCGUGCCAUUUUCGCAUGGCUUAAAGUUUACAUGCCAAAGUUCAAACACAACGUAAUAGCUUAUACAUGCCAAAAUGUUCUUCUAAUCCAACUAAGAGGAAAGUACCAAAACUUGCUAUCCGGUGUGAUGACUUCGAUGACGGCCCGACCCCGCAAAAAUAGAUGAGUCCAAGCAACCUAUAAUGGGUGACAAGGAAACACCGAGUGAGUUUAUAACUCAGUAAGUCAUAAGCUGUGCACUACCAUCCAUCCAUAACAUUAUCACAAGAGAAAACAAAAUGGAACGAGGCUAAUUACUCCAUCCAUUCCGAACCAUACCAUAGUUCCUCCGACCUAUCGGUUUGGUUUCAUACCAAUUUAUGCAUUCACAAUCCACAUACUCAUCAAUAGGAUAUUUGAGGCAUUUUCAUAAAUCAUUUUAUUUUCGUUACCAACAUACAACUAAACGGCCUUUCACCCAUUCUACGAUAAAUUUCAUGUACGUGACUUCAAGUAUAUUUGUCACAUAGGUUCAAACUUACCAAGCUCAUCACCAAGUAUCGACAUAGCACCUAUUAGCCAUGAACUCAAGACACUUACCCGAUCCGCCGUCCGUGAUCGACUCAAUAGCGUCGCACACUUAGUGUCCAUAAUGAUUCAAGAAUAUAUAUUAAGUCCGCACACUCAGUGCUAUAUAAUCAACUCGCACACUUAGUGCCACAUAAUCAAACUCGCACACUUAGUGCUACAUAGUCAACUCGCACACUUAGUGCCGCAUGGUCAAUUCGCACACUUAGUGCAUCAUUUUCAUUUCGCACACUUAGUGCAACAUGGUCAAAUCGCACACUUAGUGCUACAUAGCCAAAUCGCACACUUAGUGCUGUACAAUUUACUCCCGCGCACUUAGCGCCAAUCUCAUGGUCAUAAAUGGUUAUACCCGCACGUUUAGUGCCGAGAUCAACAACUUAGUACAUCUUACCUCUUUUCUUUUCAUUCAACAAUUUCAUCAUCCCAUACGUACAUGCAUAUAUAUAUAUGUAUAUUUAUUCAUUCCAUUCAGCAUCAAUACAUACACAUUAUGACCAUUUAAAACAAUACCAACUACAUGCUUAAUGACUUACCUCGUGUUGGGUAAGACGGUUCCAACUCGGCUACUCGAUGACCUUUUCUUUGCCUUUGCUCGAUUCACCUCCUUUAACUCCUUGAGCUUAAUCAAUAAUUUAACUAGUUUAACCACCUUGCUAAAUAUUUACAAUCCAAUUUCACAUGUAUAUGUAUGUUAGUAUAUUCGGCUAAUAACCUCACGCAACUACCAUAUCAUCAAAAAUCUAAUCACACAUGCACAUGCAUUAGGUAAGUCACCUUUGCUAAUUUUAAACCCAACAUCACACAAGCUCUCAAGUGAUGGCCGAAUGCUUCUUUUGUUACCCAACUAAUCAUUCGACAAUUUCAUCAUUUAGGCAUCAAAAAGAUGAACACAAGGCACUUAGCCCAUAUUUAUACAUUAGACAUUAAAGUCUCUUACAUGCAAAAAUCAUGCAUCAACACAACAUAUUAGCUAAUUUAUUUCCCCUUGGCCGAAUAUGCAUGCCUAUUUUUGGGGUCGAUUUCAACACUUAAUACACACAUAUACACACUAGUAAAGCAUCCUCCCCCUUUUCAUCAAUUUAACACAUGCAUUGCUCAUUAACAUGCAAAGUUACAUUCGGCCUUAGCACACAUCUUGCUAGCCGAUUCUUCUCCAUUUAGCACCCAAUGCACAUAUGUGCUCACACAACAAAAAAAAUGCCAAAAAGGAGGUUCAAGAAUCAUCAAGCCAUCAUCACAUGCAUCAUUAACAAGCUUCAUAUUUUGCAUGCAAUGGCAUUAACACAACCUCCACCUAGGCCGAAUCUUAACUCAUCCUCAUGCCUCAUCACCACAACAUCAAACAUCAACCAUGAAUGAUUCAUCCAUGGUCAAGUGCCAUUUCCAUCACAUAGCAAGAUUUAGACCAUGGGUUAGGUAGAACUCAAGCUAACAACUAAAACAUGCAUGCCUCUCAUGGAACAUCAUCAAACAUACCUUAGCCUAGCUACAUGCAUGGCCGAAUCUCUUCACCUUUCUUCUUCUUUCCUCCUUAAAAUUUUUGGCCAAGGAUGAACCAAAGGAUGAGAAAAUUUUUCUUUGUUUUUCUUUCUAGUUUUUGGCAAGCAUGAAGAUGAGAAAAGGAUGAACAAAAUUCCCCCUUUCUCUUGUUUAGCUCACGGCAAUGGGGGGACAAACACCACACACACAUUUUUUUUUCUUUUGUUUUCCAUUUCUUUAUUACCCAUACUCCUUAUUUUAUUCUUCCACUAACAAAACAUGUUUCAUGACAUGUUUUGCCCAUCCUUCCUUGUCAUGGCCGGCCACUACUCAUUAGGGGGGAAUUUGACAUGCAAGUCCCCCCCUUUGUCCACAUGCACUAGUAGGUCCUCACACAUUGACCUAUCACAUUUUAGAAUUUUCUCACAUAAGUCCUAUUGACUAAAUUCACAUGAAAUCAACCCAAUUGAAGCUUGAAAUUUUCACACAUUCAUAAUUACAUAUUCUAGACAAUAAGUAUCACAUUCAAACAUUCCGGUGACUCGGUUUAGCGGUCCCGAGACCACUUCCCGACUAGGGUCAACUUUGGGCUGUUACACCUCACAAAUUUGGCAGCAAUUCGCUAAUUAAAAUGUCAAAAGUCCUUUACAAAUUGAAUUUAACAACUAUUUAUAGACAAAGACUAGGCUAGCCGAAUAGUCAUAUGAAUGCUUAAGAAUUAAGCAAAUGAAAUCCUUUAAUGUGCUUAACUAAAUUUGGCUAAAUGGAGCUCCAAUGGUCAUCUUCUAGAAAGAGCAAUGAACUUAGAAGCUUGGAAAGAUGCAUGGCAGCAGCUAGGUUCGGUUAAUGGACUUAAACAAACUCAAUUAAUUGGCAACUUUUGUUGAAAAGUGAUUAGCAAUUAAAGGAGGUAAUGAGCAGCCACCAAGGUGUGAAAACUCAGCUUUGAAGAGUCAUGGCAUGUGAACAUAUAGAACCGAACAGCCAAGAUGAAUCCAGCAAUGUGAAAAGAAUUAAAAGUCGGCUGAAUGGUCAACUUGGGAGUAGGAAACGAUAGCUUCUUUGGCCGAAUGGUCACCUAGGAUACUUCAAACAGCAGCCAAAUUUAAUUCCCCAAACAUGCAUGUGCCGUCCCCUUACAUGUAUCUUCUUUUAAUUCAUUCAUGCACCAAGGACGUCCAAAUGGGAUGUACCUACAGCAAAAUUUAUUCAAUAAAUCAAAUACAUUUUUAAACACAUUAAUUUGGCAGCAAAUGACACAAAAAUUAUGCACAUUAAAUUCGGCCACCUUAGGACAUAAUUAAAACAUGUAAUAAAAUUGACACAUUAAAACAUGCAUAAAAAACAUAUUAAUGAGCUGUAGAAAUUAAGACAAAUUAAUAACAUAUAAUUAUAACUCAAUUAUCAUGCAUAAUUAAAUUUGUCCAGAUUUUAAACCAAAUAAAUAAUGAAUAUUAAUUGAGCUGUAAUAAACUAAUUAAAUGACUCAAAUAAUUAUUUCAGCUACUAUAAUAAGGUCUUAAUGAAAUUGAGCUAGUUCGUGCUCAUUGAGCUUGAAAGGAGCUGGAAACGAGCUAAAUGAAGCUCCACAAAAUAAGAUUGAGCUACGUCCAGCUUGCAAACACGACGAGCCUCGCUUGUAGGCUGAAACAAUAGCCAUUCUCGGGGGCGGGUCGUAUCAUCCCCUCCCUCUUUAAAGCGAUUUGUCCCCAAAUCAGGCCACUUGCUCGCGAAGAAACUUCUAUUAACAAAGACCCCUUGGUUGUUGAAUUUGACAAACUUGUGCCCAGCAACCUGAAAUUCAUGAAUAGAUUGAAAAUAACACCGAUUAGUUACUUGCCCUCCCUCUUUAAGGCAAAGCCACUUCAAAGUGUCACCUACACAAUAAAGAAAAUUAUGAAUGACACAAUGAACUAAAAACUUGCGAACUCUUUCCAAAUUUUCAAUCAUAAUUAGAGCAAAAGAACUAUUGCCGAAUUCAAAAAUAUAGAUAAGCCUUACCUUUCCACAUUGAUUUUCCAAAUUCAUCAAGGAACUAGACAUGGGAAAUAAUUCUACGAAUAUGAACAGUUCAUGCAAAUAAACACAUAUCCCACAACACACUCCAUCAAAUGGAUUCGAAGACUCAUGAAUCAAACAAUUAAAUCGAUUGGUCAAAUCUUCACCAUGAAAAAUCCCAUCCAAUGGACGAAUAGAUUUUAACGAAUAACCACAAAUCCACAAAAAGUCUUUUAAACAAAUAUGUGAAAAAAAUAUUAAUCGGCCAAAAGAAACAAGAUCACUUAGUUGAAUCAAGUUUUGCAAAUUUAAACUUAGUACUGGCCAAUAAUCUUUCACUUCUUCAUCAAAUUUGUCAUAUUCACGAAUGUCAUCACCUUUUGAACAAAAUAGAGAUGUUUUUAGUUCUUCAGAAACCAAACCUUGUCUAUCCUUGAGAUUAUGGAUUUGAGGAUCAGUUUUACCAUUCUCUCGCAAUAUGAACCUUCUCUUCUCAGGAAUAUAAUGUAAUCGUAAUUCCUUGCUUGGUUUAACCUGAAAAAAUGAAGAGACAGGAAGACAACGAUUAAUCAAAACAUUUUUCUUUCUCUCACUCAAAUUUCUUUCACUUUCUUUUUCUUUGAUCUUGUUUUUCUCACAAUCUCGAUUCUUUUCUUUUGAAUCAUUUUUCUUUUCUUUUUCACUCUCUCUCAAUUUCUUUUUUUGUUCAUUCAAAUCUUCCAAGGAUUGCUUUAAUCAUUGUUGAUCUUCCAUCACUUGUUGUGGAGACAAUGGGGCCAAAGGGAUAUUUUUGCCUUUGUGCUUGAAUGAAUAUUGGUUAGAAAACCCAUCGUGCUUGACUCGCCGAUCAAAUUGCCACAGCCUCCCAAACAGUAAAUGGCCCGCAUGCAUGGGCACAACGUCGCACAAAAUCUCGUCUUGGUACUUUCCAAUUGAAAAGGGAAUUAAGGCUUGUUUGGUUACCUUAAGUUCGACUCCUUCAUUGAGCCAUUGUAACUUGUAGGGACUCGGGUGCUUAAGGGUCGGCAAAGACAACUUCUUGAUCAUAAGUGUGCUUGCAACAUUUGUGCAACUCCCGCCAUCGAUCACAACGCUACAAACCUUUCCAUGAACAUAACAUCGGGUAUGAAACAAAUUCUCGCGUUGCGGUUCACCUAUAGAGCUUUGUGCACUAAGACUUCUUUUAACAAUGAGUAUUUCGCCUUCAACGGCAAACUCUAUCUCAUCUUCGUUAUCGGAAGGAUUGUUAAUCUCUUCUUCAUUCUUGUCUAUUUCCUCCUCCGAUUCUAUUUCACCAUUAGGGAGUAUCACCAUUGUGUUGCGAUUUGGGCAUUGGCUCGCUAUGUGCCCUCUCCCUUGACACUUAAAACACUUAAUAUCACGUGUUUGGGAUUGAGUAUUUUCAAUGGCCUUACCUUUGCUAGAUUCAGCCACAGACUUGUUGGACUUCAUGGGCACCACAUUUUCUUUUGAUUGAUUCGUUGAAACAUUCUUACUUGCCCCUUGGUUCCACUUAGAUGCAUUCGAAGAGGAAUAACCACGUACGGCUUCUUUCAUCUUGAGUUGCUUUUCGACCUUUAUCGCCAUGUGAACCAUAUCGACGAUCUCUACGUAGUGUUGCAACUCAACUAUGUUGGCAAUUUCACGGUUAAGCCCGGCUAAGAAACGAGCCAUAGUUGCCUCUCGAUCUUCCUCCACAUCCGCUCGAAUCAUGGCCACUUCCAUCUCCUUGAAGUAAUCCUCCACGCUUCUCGUCCCUUGUGUAAGAUUUUGAAGUUUUUGGUACAACUCCCGAUGGUAGUACGAAGGGAUGAAACGUCGUCGCAUUACAGCCUUCAUCUCGGACCAUGUUUGGAUAGGACGCUCGCCAUUUCGCCUUCGGCUAGUUGUAAGUUGGUCCCACCACACCAUUGCGUAGUCCGAAAAUUCGAUAGUAGCCAACUUAACUUUCUUGGCCUCAGAAUAGUUAUGGCAUUCAAAUAUAAGCUCGAUCUUUUUCUCCCACUCGAGAUAAGCUUCGGGAUCCGAUCAGCCUUGGAAUGAAGGGAUUGACAACUUAAUGCUUUUCAAGUCAUCAUCGAACCUCCCUCGAUUUCGUUGGCCUCGGUUGCGUUGGCCUCUUCGUUGAACAUUCGCAUUGGACCCUUGAUCACUUUCGUGUUCAAUCGACUCGGAAGAUUCAUCAUCUAAAUCAGAUUACCGUCCUCGAUUUCUCGGAGGGCUUAAGGGAGUUCUCCUUCGUUGGGCUCUUCCUUCCACACGAUCAAGUCUAUCUUGAAUCAGUUCUAACUUUUGAUCGAACAAUCGUUCCACCUCGCGUAGCAAUGCUUGCAAAUUCAAGUCCGGCACAUUUCGAACAGGUUGCCUUUCUGCCAUGUUUAUUGUAGGGCUUCUUGAUAUAUGAAAUUAUAACCUCAUAACAAAAACUCACAAGUCACUCAAAAAGAAAAUAAUUCGGCACUCCACUCGUGUUUACACUCUUUAAUGGCUUUUUCUUCUCUCUAAUGCUCUCUCAACACUCGUGCCUUUUUCCACUCAAUUUCCUCUCGUGAUUUCGUAAGCGACUCGUCGUGAUCUUAUCGUAGUUCAAUGGGUCGGCUUCAAAUGGCUUAACAAGGGAUUGAUGUUAGGUUACGGGUAGGCUAAAAGAAACAAGAAAGGCUUUAGGCUAAGUGUGGCUUAGAAGAUGAAUAGAAGAGAAUGCCAAACUUACAAACUCGAAACACUUUUUUUUUAUAUUGAAAUUUUUUUUAAUUGCGUGAAAUUUCACUACGGGGGAUAUAAAAGAGUGUAGAAUGAGAUUUUGGAAAAAUUUCUAUUGAAAUAUCUUCAGACUCUUUUUUUUUACGGAUUUUUCACGUUCUUUUCGUCCGCACCUAGACCAUAUGCAAUUUUUUUUUCAAUUUUUUUUUUCGAACUCCUUUUUUUUUACGUACCUAUUUCAAAUUGACUUCGAGUGCUCGUACUUCUCGUUUUUACCAGCUUUGAUACCAAAUGAUACGAUCUCGAUUUAGUAGUUGAGGCCGAGUCGUUUAGUUCCCGAUCGUAAAUGAAGAAGUAGAAUAGACGAGAAGGAGAUAGAAUAUAUUUGUGUUCAAAGAAGUAAGAUAAGUUCGUGCAAAGUUGGAUGUGGAUUUGGUUUAAGUCGAAAAGGUAUGAAUAGAAUGGACGAGUUCGGUUUAGGAUAAUUAAGAAAUGGUAUUUGGUUUUGGUACGUUUUGGUAUUUGGGAAUUGGUUCGAAAUAGUAUGGAAUUGGUACGAAAUGGUAUGGUAUUUGGUACGAAUUGGUAAUGGUUCAAAAGGACCUUGACCCGAUACUUAGGAAAGUAUGAACCAAAGGUAUCAAAGGUGAACGCCACACUCGGGUUUAAGGAGUGAUAAGUUCAGAAAAGACUCGGAAAGACGCCACUAAAAAGCUUAGAUAAGUCUUACGGGUCUCGAACGAAAUUUGAGAGAAAAUACCUCACAAAUUUGGCAGCAAUUCGCUAAUUAAAAUGUCAAAAGUCCUUUACAAAUUGAAUUUAACAACUAUUUAUAGACAAAGACUAGGCUAGCCGAAUAGUCAUAUGAAUGCUUAAGAAUUAAGCAAAUGAAAUCCUUUAAUGUGCUUAACUAAAUUCGGCUGAAUGGAGCUCCAAUGGUCAUCUUCUAGAAAGAGCAAUGAACUUAGAAGCUUGGAAAGAUGCAUGGCAGCAGCUAGGUUCGGUUAAUGGACUUAAACAAACUCAAUUAAUUGGUAACUUUUAUUGAAAAGUGAUCAACAAUUAAAGGAGGUAAUGAGCAGCCACCAAGGUGUGAAAACUCAGCUUUGAAGAGUCAUGGCAUGUGAACAUAUAGAACCGAACAGCCAAGAUGAAUCCAGCAAUGUGAAAAGAAUUAAAAGUCGGCUGAAUGGUCAACUUGGGAGUAGGAAACAAUAGCUUCUUUGGCCGAAUGGUCACCUAGGAUACUUCAAACAGCAGCCAAAUUUAAUUCCCCAAACAUGCAUGUGCCGUCCCCUUACAUGUAUCUUCUUUUAAUUCAUUCAUGCACCAAGGACGUCCAAAUGGGAUGUACCUACAGCAAAAUUUAUUCAAUAAAUCAAAUACAUUUUUAAACACAUUAAUUUGGCAACAAAUGACACAAAAAUUAUGCACAUUAAAUUCGACCACCUUAGGACAUAAUUAAAACAUGUAAUAAAAUUGACAUAUUAAAACAUGCAUAAAAAACAUAUUAAUGAGCUGUAGAAAUUAAGACAAAUUAAUAACAUAUAAUUAUAACUCAAUUAUCAUGCAUAAUUAAAUUUGUCCAGAUUUUAAACCAAAUAAAUAAUGAAUAUUAAUUGAGCUGUAAUAAACUAAUUAAAUGACUCAAAUAAUUAUUUCAGCUACUAUAAUAAGGUCUUAAUGAAAUUGAGCUAGUUCGAGCUCAUUGAGCUUGAAAGGAGUUGGAAACGAGCUAAAUGAAGUUCCACAAAAUAAGAUUGAGCUACGUCCAGCUUGCAAACACGAUGAGCCUCGCUUGUAGGCUGAAACAAUAGCCAUUCCCGGGGGCGGGUCGUAUCAUCCCCUCCCUCUUUAAAGCGAUUGUGAAGGAAAUGAGCACUUGUUUUCUGAUUGUGAAGGAAAUGAGCACUUGUUUUGUUACCUUCAAUUCUCCACCAUUGUUAAGCCAUUGGAGUUUAUACGGAUGGGGAUGUUUGGUGGUGGCCAAUACGAGUUUCUCCACCAUCAACGUACUAGCCACAUUUGUACAACUUCCCCCAUCGAUUAUCACGCAACAAAUCUUACCUUGCACUUGACAUCGCGUAUGGAAGAUGUUUUCACGUUGUUGAUCAUUUUCGGCACUUUGCAAAGUAAGGCUUCUUUUCACAACCAAGAUUUCUCCAUGCUCGGCUUGUUCGAUGUCUUCCUCUUCUUCGAGUUGUUCAACAGCCUCGUUCUCUUGUUCACUUUCGGAUUCAAUUUCACCAUCAUUUCGAACAAACAUCAAUUCUGGUUCGGGCAUUGGUUUGCGAUGUGGCCCCUUCCAAGACAUUUGAAGCAUUUUAUGUCUCGGGAUCUAUUUGGUUGGGCAUCCAUCUUUCCUUUACUCGAUUCGACCAUUGGUUUGUUGAAUUUAGUAGCUCCACUUACUUCUUUAUUUCGACUCGGCAAGUCUCGUUUAUUAGGGAAAGAACGGAACGUACCUUUUCUCUUUAAUUGUUUUUCAACCUUUAUGGCCAUAUGGACCAUAUCAAUGACCUCGACAUAAUGGUGUAGCUCCACAAUAUUUGCAAUAUCUCGGUUAAGGCCGGUGAGAAAUCGAGCCAUGGUGGCUUCUCGAUCUUCCUCCACAUCGGCGCUGAUCAUGGCCACUUCCAUUUCCUUGUAGUAAUCCUCCACGCUUCGUUGGCCUUGAGUUAAGCCUUGGAGCUUUUGAUACAACUCCCGGUGAUAGUAAGCAGGAAUGAAUCGCUUCCUCAUUAUGGCUUUCAUUUCCGCCCAUGUAGACACGGGACGUUCGCCAUUGCGUCUUUGGCUCAUCGUGAGUUGAUCCCACCAUAUUAUGGCGUAGUCAGAGAAUUCUAUAGCAGCUAACUUCACCUUCUUGCUUUCCGAGUAAUUGUGGUACUCGAAAACUAACUCCACCUUCUUCUCCCAUUCAAGAUAGGCCUCGGGAUCCGACCUUCCUUGAAAAGUAGGAAUCGCCAUUUUAAUGUUCUUUAAAUCAUCAUCGGUCCUCUCUCAAUCUCUUGGUCCCCGUGCUCGUUGGCCUUGUUGCCUUGCACUUUGUCGCGAAGCUCGAUCACUUUCAACGUCACUUGCUUCGUAUAGAUCAUUUGCAUGUUGCCAUGGACGUUCUCGCUCUCUUCUCAGAAUAGGAGGGGUGUUCACACGUUGGCUUCGUUCCUCCAUUUGUUCCAUUCGUUCAUGAAGGGAAUCGAAUUGAGGUUGGAACAAACGAAAAAUUUCUCGCACGAUUGCUUGAACUUGUAGAUUGGGCACUCUGCCUCCGGGAACGUUUCUCCUUGGUUGAAGAUUAACUCCUCCACUUGCAGCAUUUGAAGCUCCUCCACUCGUCGCUUGUCGUUCUGGGCCCCUUGACAUGAUGAUUAAAAUUAAGAAUUUUUUUUCUCACCAUAAAGACCUCACAAAUUCACUCACAAGAAAAAAAUUCACUCCUCUCGUGUUUCACUCUAUUUCUGGCUUUUAUCUUGAUGUACUCUCUUGCCUUUUACCUCUCAAAUCCAACUCUCGAUAUUCUACAAAGCUACUUAGAUUUAUCCACACUUGUGGGUCGGCUUCAAGGGGUUUGCAAAGGAAAGUCGUAUGGUUUAGGGUAGGCUUGAAAGAAAGAAAGGUUUAAAGAUGUGGCGUAUAAAAUGGAUUCACUAAUUGAAAAAAAAGAAUCACUUGAAAUUUUUUUACAGAUCUUUCACGUUCUUUUCGUCCGCACCUAGACUGUAUACAAUUUUUUUUUCAAUUUUUUUUCUUUUCGAUUUCUUUUUUUUCUUUUUUUCGAAACUACAAUUUACGUACCUAAAUUAACCAGCUCUGAUACCAACUGAUACGAGCUCGUUUCAGAUGUUGUGACGAGUCGUAAUAUGUUCCUAAUCAAAUUUAGGUAGUGUCGAUUUAGUUCAAAUUCAAUAAGAUGGUUUUAGAUGACUUAGGAAACAAAAUGGGAAUAAAUGAUUUCCAAUGAAACAAGAACGAACCCUUAUUAGCAAAUAAGAACCCGGGCUUAAAGGUUUCAAAGAAAAAGAAAAGGAUGGUAGAUAAAACUGAGACCCUCUAUUUAGCAAAAUAAGAACCUUCGGUAUAUUUGUGAACGCCACACCAAGGGUGAUAAGUUUGAAACAAAGUCAGAUUGAUGCCACUCGUAAAGAUAAGUCAAUUGAGCUUUGAAGAAUAAAGAAAGUGAAUUGCCUCACUAAAAUGAUAUUUCAUUCAGAAAUUUGUCAAAAAUCCUUUUACAAGAAAUUCAAUAACUAUUUAUAGCCUUUCUACUAGUAGCCGAAUGGACAAAUUCAAGACUUAGUGAUACGGGGUUGCGCGCGGACCAAGAUCGAGUUGCCAAGUCACGGGAAACUCCUACGAAAACCCUAAACAAUUAGAUCUGAAACGAAACAGAAAAUUAAAAGAUUAGAUUUUUGAAUUUUCAGAUCUGAAAUAAAAUCCCCAAAUCAGCAAAGAAUCAAAUUGAGAAUAGAAAUAAGUGUUAGGGUUCUUGAAACCCUCAAGGAGAUUGUGAUUCUGCCCAAUUGAACACCAAGAUAGUUUUCCCCAAAUUUCGACAAUCUAAUUUCACCCAAAAAGAGUAUGGAAAAACCCUAGAAAUUGGGGAUUUUUGGGCUGAUUCCUUAAGAUAGAAAAAGGCUGAAAACACAAUAAGAACAGAAAAUAGAUUAGAUAAUGAUUCAGCACAAGUAGAAAUAAAGAAAGAAUUGACAGUAAGAAAUUAAAAGAUAAGUCCUAAGAAGCCUUGAAAUCUCGAAAGAUCUCACAACUCCCUUCAAACGGCUCUAAUCUCCCCUCCAAAGAAUAUCAAUGGCAAGAAGAAGGUUGAAGAUGGCUCCCACAAUCAAAAAGAUUGUUAAAACAACUUCUAAAGAAAACUCAAGAGAAAAUCCUUGAAGAACUCAAAGAGAAUUUUCACUCAAAUCAAAUCUGAAAUUUUCAAUGUAAUUGUAAUGUAAUGUAGGGUGGCUGGCCAAGCCAUAUAAAUAGGCCUUUCAAAUAAGCAAAUUCCCAGCCCAAUCAAGAAAUCCAUCCAUACUUAGUUGAAAAUCAGGCCAAAUUGUCAAAGUGGCCCAAGUUGUAAAGUUUUAUUUUUAUUUAUUUAUUUAUUUAUUUAUUUACUUAGUUUAAAUUUUUAUGUCAAUAUUCAGUCCAAGAGUCCCAGAUAAAAUGACCUUUGACCGAAUUUCCAUAUUAAAAUAAUUAGGAGUUUUUUUUAUUUUAGUUUUCUAAUUAGAUUAGGACUAGUUAUAAGGCCUAUUUAAAGGCAUGGCUGUCCACCUUGUAAAACACUUAUCAUUAUUAUUAAAAUUUCAGAUUUGAUUUGAGUGAAAAUUCUCUUUGAGUUCUUCAAGGAUUUUCUCUUGAGUUUUCUUUAGAAGUUGUUUUAACAAUCUUGUGAUUGUGGGAGCCAUCUUCAACCUUCUUCUUGCCAUUGAUAUUCUUUGGAGGGGAGAUUAGAGCCGUUUGAAGGGAGUUGUGAGAUCUUUCGAGAUUUCAAGGCUUCUUAGGACUUAUCUUUUAAUUUCUUACUGUCAAUUCUUUCUUUAUUUCUACUUGUGCUGAAUCAUUAUCUAAUCUAUUUUUUGUUCUUAUUGUGUUUUCAGCCUUUUUCUAUCUUAAGGAAUCAGCCCAAAAAUCCCCAAUUUCUAGGGUUUUUCUAUACUCUUUUUGGGUGAAAUUAGAUUGUCGAAAUUUGGGGAAAAUUAUCUUGGUGUUCAAUUGGGCAGAAUCACAAUCUCCUUGAGGGUUUCAAGAACCCUAACACUUAUUUCUAUUCUCUAUUUGAUUCUUUACUGUUUUGGGGAUUUUAUUUCAGAUCUGAAAAUUCAAAAAUCUAAUCUUUUAAUUUUCUGUUUCGUUUCAGAUCUAAUUGUUUAGGGUUUUCGUAGGAGUUUCCCGUGACUUGACAACUCGAUCUUGGUCCGCGCGCAACCCCGUAUCAUUUGGUAUCAGAUUUUGGGCGUUUUGGGUGUUCUUGGUUGAUUUCUAAACUGAUCUCUAUUUUUUAAAUUACAAACAGCAGUUUUACCCAGAAAAAUUUUUGAAAAAAAAUUCAUUUGAGUGGGUAAACGUUUUCUGAUUGAUCUGAAAUUUUACAUACAUAUUUUUGGCACUGUUAUUGAAUAUACAGAAAUAUUUCCCGCAAAAAAAUAAGUCAAAAAAGUCAAAAAAAUUGAAAAAAGACGAAAUCCAAUAAAAAAUUAAAAAAAUAUUCAGCGGGUUGAAUUUGGUGCCCAAAUUUUCCAGAUCAAAAAUUCAAUAUUUGAAGACAUUCCAGAUUUAAUUUUGUGAUUUUUUGAGAUCGGGAACACCUCGAACGAAGUUGUCAAGUUACUCCACAGUUUUUCGGGUUUUCUGUUUUCAGCAAUUUUUAUUGAUUCUUAGCUGUAGGUUUUCAUUUGUUUGCUUUUUAUUAUCCUUUUAAAAUAUCUAACACCUUCUUGUUUCUUGUGUUAGUAGGAUUUAAACGUGUGCACAAUCCUUCCUCGGUGCAACACAAAUCACUUGGUGUCUCGUCAGUUUUUGGCAUCCUAGUGCAAAUUAGGAUUCUUUGGUAGUUUGGUUCACACUCUCUAAUUGGUUGAUAUAAACUCUGAUAAAGAACUCACAAGAUUGAAUUCGACCUCAUUGAGAAUUUGAUUUUUCUUUUUGAGUGAUUAAUGGUGAGGUUUGCUAACUUUUAUUUUUGAGUGUUGAGUGUUUAUUUUUUACAGGUUUUGAAGAUGUCUAAAGGUGAUAAUAAUGAUGCACUUAUGAAAGUCCAACAACAGUUAGACAGACAUACUGCUGCAAUCACACAAAUAAAUGCUACACUUCAAGCAUUGAAUACUACUUUGAAUGAGGUACGAGUGAAUCAAAAACAUCAAUAUCGAGAUCCAAUUAAGGAAGAUAGGGAUAACCAGCCCCAUAGGUGCAACCCUCAACGUGUCCCUAGAAUGGAUGAUGAUUGUCAUGAUCAUGGACAAUCAUCUUUGGCAAAACCAAAGAGCGAGCAGCAACGAGAACAUCUCUUUCAUACUCGCUGCCACGUACAAGGUAAGCUUUGUAGAGUUAUUAUUGAUGGUGAAAGUUGCUCGAACAUAGCCAGCACGACGAUGGUGGAAAAGCUUUGCUUAACCACUACCAAGCAUCCACAACCUUAUCAACUACAAGGGCUUAGCAACGAAGGCCAAUUUAGGGUCACUCAACAAGUGCGCAUCGCCUUUUCUAUCGGUAAGUAUCAAGACGAAGUUGUGUGCGACGUAAUGCCUAUUCAAGCCUGCCAUUUGUUGCUAGGAGAACCGUGGAAACUAGAUCAAAAAGUCACUCACGAUGGUCGUACCAAUAGGUAUUCUUUCAAGCAUCAAGGAAAGAAACUCACCUUAGUGCCGCUCACUCUAGAACAAGUCCAUGAGGACCAAAUCAAACUGAAAAAUUCUGUUAAAACAAGUGAGGAAAAAGAAAAAGAGAAUGAAAAAGAGCAAAAAGAGAUUGAGAGUGAAAAAGAAAUUGAAGAAAGAAGAGAAAAUGAAUUAGAAAAAGAAACAAAAGAAAAAGACGUGGAAAGGGUAGUGAGGAAUGUUUCCACUAACCAAGAUAUGAAUUUUUCUUGUGUUGCUACUUUUCAGGUUCCCGAAAGAUCGAACGAUAACUUUCAAAUUCAAUACCUCUCAAAUGAAAGACGCUUUCAUACGAUCAACUUAAGUAAAGAUGAAAUCACACUACAUGAUCCCGAAGGUAAGAUUUGAUUAUUGAUAAAACUUUUGGUGACUUAGUUCUUAAAAGAUCCCCUCAUUUUGAUCCGAUUAAUUGUUACUCUUCGAUUGUGGUUGAUAAAGUCAUUACGAAAAGAAGCGUGAUUUGUUAUUCUCUUGAUUUACCUUGUGUAAAAUCCUCGAAUUUGUCCAAAUCUGUUUUGGAGAAUAAGGUAACGAAAUUUUCCAAAUUUGUUUUCAAUUUAUAUUCGUGCCUUAAACAGUUUAUGUGGUUGUACAUGAAGUUUGAGUUCCAUUUGACAAAUGUUAACUCAACAACGGAGAUUCGACUACACUAUGCCCCCGAUGAGCGAAGGUUUGUUUUAAAUGAAAAAGGUAAAAUCGACCCUUAUUCUUCUGCUUAUCGAGGUAAGAUGCUUGAAACCUUUGAAACACUUUUGUACUCCUCGGAUAGUGAUAAAGAUCGUGUUGAUGAACACUUAGAUCGAAACGUGCUUGACUGUCCUAUUUUAUUUAUUGAUGAUCUAUCUGUUUUGAUGGUUGAUAAAAAGAUUCUUGUUUUUGAUAAUGCAUGUGUGAGUGAAUCUAUAGACCGUCAAUUAAUGCAUGGUAUGAUUAUGCAACUCUGUGAACCAUGUGAAUCUUUUCAAAUACCUACUUGUGACGAUUAUGUUUACCAUUUGAUUUAUUACUCGCAAUUUAUUCAUGGUUUGUGGGAACAAUGUGAGACGACUGAAUGCCUUAAAACAUGUCCAUCUUUGUUUCAAAUAUUUGACGAGGCAGUGGUGAGUAAAUUAGAUUGUUUGCAUGGUAAUCUGAAUCUGUCCAUUCACAUGCGUUAUACCUGUUCUGUUAUGCUUAUGAUUGGACUACAAGCUUGUUUCCGUUGCUAUUUACUAUCUCAUGGCUAUUCUUUUCAGUGGACUCAAUUGCCAUUAGUCCCGUUCGAUAGAGGAAAGUCGAGUUCAUUUGAUUUUUCAGAUUCGAGGACGAAUCUUUUUGAGGAAGGGGGGAAUGAUACGAGUCACAAAAGCCCAAAUUCUUGAAGGCGAGGCCCAAUAAGCAAAUUCCCAGCCCAAUCAAGAAAUCCAUCCAUACUUAGUUGAAAAUCAGGCCAAAUUGUCAAAGUGGCCCAAGUUGUAAAGUAUUAUUUUUAUUUAUUUAUUUAUUUAUUUAUUUACUUAGUUUAAAUUUUUAUGUCAAUAUUCAGUCCAAGAGUCCCAGAUAAAAUGACCUUUGACCGAAUUUCCAUAUUAAAAUAAUUAGGAGUUUUUUUUAUUUUAGUUUUCUAAUUAGAUUAGGACUAGUUAUAAGGUCUAUUUAAAGGCAUGGCUGUCCACCUUGUAAAACACUUAUCAUUAUUAUUAAAAUUUCAGAUUUGAUUUGAGUGAAAAUUCUCUUUGAGUUCUUCAAGGAUUUUCUCUUGAGUUUUCUUUAGAAGUUGUUUUAACAAUCUUGUGAUUGUGGGAGCCAUCUUCAACCUUCUUCUUGCCAUUGAUAUUCUUUGGAGGGGAGAUUAGAGCCGUUUGAAGGGAGUUGUGAGAUCUUUCGAGAUUUCAAGGCUUCUUAGGACUUAUCUUUUAAUUUCUUACUGUCAAUUCUUUCUUUAUUUCUACUUGUGCUGAAUCAUUAUCUAAUCUAUUUUCUGUUCUUAUUGUGUUUUCAGCCUUUUUCUAUCUUAAGGAAUCAGCCCAAAAAUCCCCAAUUUCUAGGGUUUUUCUAUACUCUUUUUGGGUGAAAUUAGAUUGUCGAAAUUUGGGGAAAAUUAUCUUGGUGUUCAAUUGGGCAGAAUCACAAUCUCCUUGAGGGUUUCAAGAACCCUAACACUUAUUUCUAUUCUCUAUUUGAUUCUUUACUGUUUUGGGGAUUUUAUUUCAGAUCUGAAAAUUCAAAAAUCUAAUCUUUUAAUUUUCUGUUUCGUUUCAGAUCUAAUUGUUUAGGGUUUUCGUAGGAGUUUCCCGUGACUUGACAACUCGAUCUUGGUCCGCGCGCAACCCCGUAUCACUUAGUUUCUAAGUAAACAAUGAACUAAAAUUCAGCAUGAAUGCAAAAUUAUUAGCCCAUGUAGAUUCAGCUGAAUGAGAGCUCCAAUGGUCAUCUUCUAAAUGGGCAAAUGCACCUUGAACAUCUUGGAUGUGCAUGAAUAGGCUAGGUUCGGUCAAUGAACAUAAUGAGGUCAUUCAUGAAGCAACUAUUGCUGAAAAAUUACCAGCAUUAAUUGGCAAUUUGAACAGCCAUUUAGAAGUGUGAACGGAUGGUUUUGAAGGGCCAUGAGGUGUGAACAUGGCUGAACCGAAUAGCCAUAGUGUGAACAGCCUUUAUACUUCCUUGAGAAGAGAAUCGGCCAAUCUUGAAAGGAUGAAAAGCUUGGUCACUUUGGCUGAAUAGUUGCCUUGAAAAAAACUCCAAAAAUUAAUCAGCUUUAAUGCAUUAAAUCAGCUGCAAAUGCAUCUUCAAAUUCAUUGAAUCUCCAUGCAUGAAUCUGCCCAAUUCAUCUUCAAAUUCGGCUGCACCUAAAAACACACAUGAACUUAAUUAAUUUCAAGCAAAUUCAGCUGAACUAAAUUAAAGUAUAAUGUUGAUGUGAUCCAGCCCGGGUUAAUCGAGUCGUUUCACGUAAUUACCCGAUCGUCGACGAGGAAUAGUUGAGUUAUCAGAAAUAGGAUGGAAUAAGGCUAAAGAUGCAGAAGCUUUCAAAUGGUUUUUAAGGUUGGCUAAGGUGAUGGUAAAUUUAUAAGGAGUAGUAGGCUCGAUUUAAGGAUAAAAAUAAGAAAAAUGGAAGCUGGAAAAAUGAAUGCUCGGUUUUGUAAAAAGAUAUUAUAGUUGGGUAAAAUCUAGGAUAGUUGGUGGAAUGGAUAAAUGAGCUUAAACACCAGAAACGAUUCAACACUAAAAAGUGUCACCCCGAUUUCUAUUCAGUUCAAGGUGGGAUUACGGAAUUGUAGAAAGGUUGAACGCCACACCAAAGCAAGGUGAUAAGUUCAAAGGAGAACGAUAGACGCCACUAGCACGCUAGAUAAGUCAGAUCGAAACUCGUACGAAUUUAGAGAUGAGAAAACUCACUCUUUGAACAAAGUUCAUUCAAAUGAUCAAAAGUCAAAAGUCCUUUUACAAUGAAAAUGAACAACUAUUUAUAGUGUUCAGCUAGGUAGCCUAAUGGCCAAAACAAAGACUUAAUGUCUUAGUAAUUAAUUAGGCUAGAAAAUGCUAGAAAAUUUUGGAAAUAAAAAACUAAAUUGAUGGAGCUAAAUUCAGCUGAAUUUGGAGCUCAAGGGACGAUUUCUAGAAUAGCAAAUGCACUUGGAGAAAUGGCAGCAGCUAGGUUCAACCAAUUGAGCUUAAAUGAGCUCAUUAAAAUGUAAUUCUUGGCUGAAAAGAGACCAGCAUUAAAGGUGAACGUGAACAGCCUUGAAGGUAUGAAAAAGGAGUUGGAAAAGUCUUUGGAAGUGUGAACAAUGAUCAGCCAAAUGGUCCUUGGUGUGAACUCCAAAUGUGAACGCAUAGGUGCUGUUUUGGGAAGUGCAUCGGCCAGCUUUUGGAGAAUGAAUUUAGUUGCUCUUCUUGGCUGAAUAAACACCUUGAAUUAUCAUAAAAUGAGCCAUAUCCAUGAAUCCAACCAUUCAUGUAUUCAGCCAUUCAUGUAUACUCCCAUACGUUGUAUUGAACCAUUCAUGCACUUGGACUUUAAUGCUCCUUCAUGCAUUCAGCCAUCCUACAAGAAAAAAACAUGAACUAAAUUAAGUGCAAAUGUAUAUUCGGCUGAACUAAAUGGUAUUAAGACAAAUUAAAUAUAAUCCAGCCACCUAAUUAAAUUCGGCUAACACAACAUAAUUAUAACAUGUAAUAAGCUGACAAGUAAUUAAGAGCUGUAACUAAAUUAACUAAUUAACUUAAAUAAUUAAUUUAUUCCAGCAAAUAAAAUUAAUUUAGCUAAAGAGCUAAUAAUGAGCUGAAUUGAAUUUAAACCAAGCUCAAACGAGCUGAAUUAAGCUCAUGUGAGCCAAAAUAAAAUUUGGUGAGCUGAACCAAGCUAAAUGGAGCUUGAGGAGCUGAAUUCAAGCUGAAAUCAAGGGCGUCCUUGGCCAGGGUCGUAUCAAAUGUGAACAUCCUAUAUAACAUUGAGACAACUUAAAUAUUAACAAAUCAUAACACAUAAAUUCGGCUGGACAAAUUUAAAACAUGUAAUAAUUUAGACAAACUGAAUGACAACAAGACAUCUUUAAUUUAACUAAAUCAAGACAUAUUAAACACUUAAAUUAAUUAAGGCAUAUUUAAAAGCUGUAAUGAAACUUAUUUAAAUGCUUAUUUAAAUGGUCUAAAUUCCAGCAGCAAAUUAAUUAGCUAGAACAAAAUUCAGCUUCAAAGAAGUUGAAUAUGUUCAGCUCGUUUUUAAACUCCUUGCUAUCAUUUUCCUCAACCCGUUCCACCAUUGCUAAAAUAGCAUCUUUGAAUCGUUUAGCUCUAGCUCGCGUUAUUGGACCAAUUGAUACGAACUCGUCUCGUGAUGUUUUGAGUCGUAUGUGUUGCCCAAUCGUGAAUUGAGUAAGGAUGGAUUCGUUUCGGUUUUAAAAUGAAACAAAAUAGAGAUAAUGGCUUCAAACAAAGGUAUUAAACAAAACAAAUAGGAAACAAUAACAAAUUAAUUGGCUAAGAUCGAAAAUGAACCAACAAUAACGAAUUGUUGACCCGAAUCUCAAAAUGGUCUUUAGGUGUUUUUCGGUUAAAGGAAACAGGAAAGGAACCUUGACCCACUAUCAACUAUGAUAGGAACCAAAGGUAUAUUGAACGCCACACCAAAGGUGAUAAGUUCAGCAACAAAGAAAAGAUGGACGCCACAAGCUAUGCUUGAUAAGUCAAAUCAAUUCCGUAAGAACAAAGAGAAUUGAUAGCUCACAAUUCAAAUAUUUCAUCUAUAUUCAGCAAAAAGUUUUUUUCGUCUAUGGCUGAUUACAUCUAUUUAUAAUGCUAGAACAAGGUAACCGAAUGGUCAAAAACAUCCACUUAAUGUGCCAUAAGAAACUGAUGUCUUUUCUUAUUCUUUGAACCGAAUAACUCCUUCCAUAAAAACACUUUAAUUUAGCUGAUUUGAAUGUCUUUAAUGGCUUAGAAAAUGACUCUUGAGUUGUCCUUGGCUAGUUGAAUAGACACCAUCUCUUAACCAGCUCCUUAAUGACAUUCAAAGGCUUGAUUAAUUUCUCUUGAAAGCUCCAAAAAUGGCUAGAAGUGGAAGAGUUGCUGCUGAAUUUUAAAGGGCAUAAAAUGCGCUUUAAAAACUCCUUUAAUGAUUUUUAAGAUCCCUUUAUAACAAACCUUUUUAAUUGUAACUCAAAAGAACUUGAACAGCCACUUAAUUAAAUGUGUAACAACCUUGAAUUUAACCACUAUAAGCUAAAAAGUCACAUGCAAUAAACAAAUUAAAAUGAGUUUAUUAAACAAAUGAACACACUUAUUAAUCAUAACAAACAUUCAACUUACUUAAAUAAAUGAACUGAAACAUAUAUGCAAUAAUUAUUCCAGGAACUAGUUUAAUUAAAGAAGCAUAAUUUAAAAAAACUUAAUUUAUGCAUCAAUAAAUAAUCCUAGGAACUAGAUCAAUUAAGAACAACACUUAUUAAAUAAAGUUCAACAAAAACACUUAUUAAUUAAAACUAAGAUGAGUUGAAUAAAUGUCCAGCAACUCAUUUAUUAAACUAAGAUGCUUAAAUGCAUGGUUUUGAAAUGCAAAUUUAACUAACAUGAAAGUUACAUAAUUAAACUAACUUGACUUAAUUUAAUGAUGCAAACUUAACUAACAUGAAAGUUACAUAAUGCAUGACUUUAUUAAAUGCAGAACACAUAUUAAUGAUGUGCAAACUAUGACAUAAUUAAAACACAAACUAAAAUAACUAAAAAUUAAUGAAUCAAAGUCCUUAUUUUCCACCAGCCAUAUUGACAGACUAAAAUUAAAAACUUCAUUUUGCACUUGGGCCCCUCGAGUUUGGACCAAUCUCGGUAGCGUCGAGUUGUGUCGUAACAUGAUGCGACCGGGAUCGCAUCAUACCCUCCAUCUUGAAAAUGAUUUGUCCUCAAAUCGGGCCACUUGCUCGAGAAAAAAUUUUCAAGAUCAUGACCUCCUUUGUUCAUGAUCCGAACAGAAUUAUUUUCAAAAUUCUGAGAACCACAAAUGGCUCGGCUAGAAAGAAGGUCAUUUGCAUGCCAUCCCUCUUUAGAAGGGUACCACCUAACAUCGUCACCUACAAAACAAUAAAAUAAAUUAUUGACACAAUGAAGGUUAAACACAAAAGAACUUUCCAGGAUUUUAGUCACAACUUGAACAAAUAAACUCAAAAGAACAACACAUGCAUCAAUACUGGGAUCAAAAAUAGAAAUUGGUUUUACCUUUUUCUUCGAUGGAAACAAACCUGAUUCACAAGGUGAUACGAACUCGUCUCGUGAUGUUUUGAGUCGUAUGUGUUGCCCAAUCGUGAAUUGAGUAAGGAUGGAUUCGUUUCGGUUUUAAAAUGAAACAAAAUAGAGAUAAUGGCUUCAAACAAAAGUAAUAAACAAAAUAAAGAGGAAACAAUAACAAAUUAAUUGGCUAAGAUCGAAAAUGAACCAACAAUAACGAAUUGUUGACCCGAAUCUCAAAAUGGUCUUUAGGUGUUUUUUAGUUAAAGGAAUCAGGAAAGGAACCUUGACCCACUAUCAACUAUGAUAGGAACCAAAGGCAUAUUGAACGCCACACCAAAGGUGAUAAGUUCAGCAACAAAGAAAAGAUGGACGCCACAAGCAAUGCUUGAUAAGUCAAAUCAAUUCCGAAAGAACAAAGAGAAUUGGAUAGCUCACAAUUCAAAUAUUUCAUCUAUAUUCAGCAAAAAGUUCUUCUCUCUAUGGCUGAUUACAUCUAUUUAUAAUGCUAAAACAAGGUAACCGAAUGGUCAAAAACAUCCACUUAAUGUGCCAUAAAAACUGAUAUCUUUUCUUAUUCUUUGAACCAAAUAACUCCUUCCAUAAAAUCAGUUUAAUUCAGCUGAUUUGAAUGUCUUUAAUGGCUUAGAAAAUGACUCUUGAGUUGUCCUUGGCUAGUUGAAUAGACACCAUCUCUUAACCAGCUCCUUAAUGACAUUCAAAGGCUUGAUUAAUUUCUCUUGAAAGCUCCAAAAACGACUGGAAGUGGAAGAGUUGCUGCUGAAUUUUAAAGGGCAUAAAAUGCUCUUUAAAAACUCCUUUAAUGAUUUUUAAGCUCCCUUUAUAACAGCCCCUUUAAUUGUAACUCAAAAGAACUUGAACAGCCACUUAAUUAAAUGUGUAACAUCCUUGAAUUGUAACCACUAUAAGCUAAAAAGUCACCUGUAAUAAACACAUUAAAAUGAGUUUAUUAAACAAAUGAAAACACUUAUUAAUCAUAAUAAACAUUAAACUUACUUAAAUAAAUGAACUAAAACAUAUAUGCAAUAAUUAUUCCAGCAACUAGUUUAAUUAAAGAAGCAUAAUUUAAAAAAAACUUAAUUUAUGCAUCAAUAAAUAAUCCUAGGAACUAGAUCAAUUAAGAACAACACUUAUUAAAUAAAGUUCAACAAAAACACUUAUUAAUUAAAACUAAGAUGAGUUGAAUAAAUGUCCAACAACUCAUUUAUUAAACUAAGAUGCUUAAAUGCAUGGUUUUGAAAUGCAAAUUUAACUAACAUGAAAGUUACAUAAUUAAACUAACUUGACUUAAUUUAAUGAUGCAAACUUAACUAACAUGAAAGUUACAUCAUGCAUGACUUUAUUAAAUGCAGAACACAUAUUAAUGAUGUGCAAACUAUGACAUAAUUAAAAACACAAACUAAAAUAACUAAAAAUUAAUGAAUCAAAGUCCUUAUUUUCCACCAGCCAAAUUGACAAACUAAAAUUAAAAACUUUAUUUUGCACUUGGGCCCCUCGAGUUUGGACCAAUCUCGGUAGCGUCGAGUUGUGUCGUAACAUGAUGCGACCGGGAUCGCAUCAUACCCUCCCUCUUGAAAAUGAUUUGUCCUCAAAUCGGGCCACUUGCUCGAGAAAAAGUUUUCAAGAUCAUGACCCCCUUUGUUCAUGAUCCGGAAAGAAUUAUUUUCAAAAUUCUGAGAACCACAAAUGGCUCGGUAAGAAAGAAGGUCAUUUGCAUGCCAUCCCUCUUUAGAAGGGUACCACCUAAGAUCGUCACCUACAAAACAAUAAAACAAAUUAGUGACACAAUGAAGGUUAAACACAAAAGAACUUUCCAGGAUUUUAGUCACAACUUGAACAAAUAAACUCAAAAGAACAACACAUGAAUCAAUACAGGGAUCAAAAGCAGAAAUUGGUUUUACCUUUUUCUUCGAUGGGAACAAACCUGAUUCACAAGGUAUUUGAAGAUUAUAGUUUUGAAAAUUAGAAUUCCAUGGUCCAAAUCCCUUUAACAAUGAUAUGGAACAACAUUCACCGGGAUCAAAGAUAAAGUUUUUGUUCACCAUUUCAAUUUGACCAGAAAAAUUUAUGGCUAGUAACUUAUGAAGAACUUGAAGCACAUUAAAGUUAAAAUCAUGCAACACAUGUUUGAAUCCAUUAAGCAACAAUAUACAACAACCUCCAGAAUCAAAAAUUUGAUUUUAACUUGGCAAGCCAACGAAAUUCAUAUGUUUGGUUUUCGAACUAAAUAAAGAUAAAACUUGAAGCAAAUAGAAGGGGUCAACACAUUGAUUCAAAAUACAAUUUUGAUACUCACCUUCGCUUGACGUCAACUUAGGAAUACAGGCUCCGGGUUUAAAAACAUGGUUUUGAUCGGUCGUUCCGUAACGUAACAAAAACUUCACUUUCACCAAGACAUCACACAUGCCAAAUAAAGAAGAUGUAGGGAAAAAUAAAUUCAAACAAUCAAAUCUCUAAAAUCUCAUGCAAAUAUACGAAGAUUUCACACUAAAAAGUUAAAAAAUUUUCAUUACCAUCACGAUCAAACAGAUUGAGCGUUUCACAUGAAAGUUCUUUAUCAAACAUGAUUAGAUUUUGUAUUUGUGGAUUUAAUCGAACAACAUCAAAAGAUUUUUCAACACAAAACUUAUUGAGUGAACAACUCUUCAUGCCUCCACUUAAAACAAAUUUAUCAACCAUAAAUAGCGAGUAACAAUUAACCAAAUCAAAAUAAGGAGAUCUUUUUAAAACUAGGUUAUCGAAAAUUUUAUCAACAACUUUCAAACCUGAUUGCCAUGAUUCAUUGACUAAAAACUCCUUACCUUGCUUACCUUUAAGCACUUGAACAUUACCUUUUUCGAUCAAAUGGAAUCGUCUCUCAUCAGGAAGGUAAUGAAGUUGAAACUUGUCAUUUGAAUCUCUAGAAACCUGGAAAGAAGAAACAAUACGAGGACAACUUGCAGAUUGGUUAGUAAAAACAUUCCUCGCUUUUUCUUGUUGACUUUCAUCUUUUCCACUCGUUUCUUUUUCAACUUCUCUUUCUUUUUCCACAAUCUCUUUGUUUGUUGAAAACUCACUUUCACUCAUCAAUUCUCUUUCAUUUUCAACAACACUUGUUUCUCGCACUCUUUCUUUUCUUUCUCCAAUCUUUUUCUCUUUUUCAAUUUUUGUUUCUUUUUCGGUUUCUUUUUCUCUCGUCACUCUUUUUCUUCUCUCAACUUUAUUACAAAAUGGCGAUAAUACAAAAGAAUCAGAACAAUAGACUUUUCAUUGGAAAGAAGUGGAAGAAUCUUCAUAAGAGUCACGAUCAACUCUUCGUGAAUAAACCUCCAUGGAUGAGUUCUUAUACGAGACACAUUCACUUCUUCGUAAGGAUUUUUUCGUAGAUGAAUACUUUGUUGCAUACGAAGAAUGACUUGUGCUUUCUCGUUCGUUACCUUGAUAGGCUUCAAACUUGUAGCUGGAUUUAUUUCGGCCUAAAUUCCUUGAAGAAUAGGAAUCUGGAUAAGGGUCUCUUUUCACAUAUUCGUCGAAUGUUUGUCUCCUUGAUGAUCUCAUUUUCGUCCUUUCAUUUGGAUAAAUUUUCUCCCGUUGGGUUCUUGCUCGAUGACUCCGCUCUUUGACACGAUCCAAUCGUUUCUUGAUGGGUUUGAGUUUUUGAUCAAAUAGAUGCUCCAUUUCAUGUGUCUUGGAGUGUAAAAUCUGGCACACUUCCUCCAACAAUUCUUACAGGACGGAAUCCAACUCCCUUGUCUGAAUUUUUUUCCAGACUUCGUGACAUUUUUUAAAGAACUCACAACAAAGAAAAUAUCACUAUCCACUCACAAAGAAAUCUCACUUCCUUGGCUUUUUUUUCUCUCGAAUAAACUCACUACUCUCUUGCCUCUUUCCACUCACUCCUCCUCUCUAAGUUCUUAGGAAUUAUUUAAACUUAAUAGGCAGUUGCUGCGGGUCAGCUUACAAACUUGAUGUUUAGGCUUGGAAAGAAUAUUGUAGGACAAAGGAAAGUAGGCUUGAAAUAAAGAAAUGUAAAUGUUUGGGUGUGGCGAAAUAGUAUAAGGUAGUAAUGACUAAAAUUUGGGCAAUAAACAACAACAAAAUUUCAAAACUAGCUUCUUCUUCUUUUUUCACGAAAUUUUUUUUUCACAAAUUUUUUUUUCAAAAUUUUUUUUCACAACUUGAUAUCCAAUCUUUUAAGUUUGAAUGGAAACUAGUUUUUUUUUCAAAUUUUUUUUUAAAAUUUUUUUUCGAGUUUUUUUUCAAGAAACUACUAUACCGUAAUGCCGACAACGUCGAUUCUUACUCCAAAUUCGCUAGCUCUGAUACCAAUUUUGAUACGAGUCACAAAGGCCCAAUCCAAGCUUAAGAAGGUGAUGGGCUCAAAUCAAGAAAAUCAAGAUUCACUUUCUUGUUUUCAAGAAAAUCAAGAAAUCGAAUCUUGGCCCAAUUUUGCUGUUCGGAGCGAUUUCAAGAAUCAAGAAAAUCAAGAUUUCAAAUCUUGGAAAUCUUGGUCCAAGAAACUGAAUCUUGUAGCCAAAGCACGUUGGAUCUCCAUUACGAGCGUCAACGACCCAAUUUCGAUAGGAAAUGGAUCACAAGCCCAAAUUCUUAAAGGCGAGGCCCAAUAAGAAAAUUCCCAGCCCAAUCAAGAAAUCCAUACAUAUUUAGUUGAAAAUCAGGCCAAAAUGUCAAAGGGCCCAAUUUGUAAACAUUUUAGUUGUUUAAGUUAAUUUUUUAACUUUUAGGAAUAUCACAUGUUAAAUUAGGCCCAAAACAGCCCAAUAGGAUGCAUGGCCGAAUUUUCCUUUGUUUUUUUUAAUUAAGUUUAAAUUUUUAAGUUUUCUAAUUAGAUAGGAUUUGUUGGAGGCCUAUAUAAGCAUUGGCCAGCCAUCCUUUGUAAACAUCUUAUUACUAUUUUUCUAUCAAAUUUUAGAUUUGUUGAGUGCAGAAUUUUCUUUGGGGUUUUCUCCAAGAAUUCUCUCUUGGGUUUUCUUUAGAAGUUGUUUUAACAAUCUUUGGAUUGUGGGAGCCAUCUUCAACCUUCUUCUUGCCACUGAUAUUCGUUGGAGGGGAGAUUAGAGCCGUUUGAAGAGAUUUGUGAAAUCUUUCGGGAUUUCAAGGAUCUUUAGGACUUCAAUUUACUUUCUUACUGUUCAUUCUUUUCUUUUAAAUUCUGUUUAUGCCGAUUCUUUUGAUCUAACUUGUUUAUUCUUCUUGUGAAUUUCCAGCCAUCUUUAUUACUCAAAAAGAUCGAUCGGUACUCAUUCUUGGUAGCCAAAUUCGACUAAACUUAUCUUUUCCAAUUAAUCUUGUCGAAUUCUUCUUGUCAAAACUGAUCGUUUUAGGUUGCUGGAAUUUCGGGAAAAAUCAAGUUGCUGGAAUUUGGGGCUUUAUUCAUCGGUUUAGUUCUUGGACAGAUUCGGCUUGUUGAAAAUCAAUCUUGGAGAUCGAUUUCGUGUUUUUGCAUUCCGAAAACAUCUAUUCAUAAGAUCUUUGAUUCUUGGCUGUUCUUGAUUGUUUUGGGGAUCUUAAUUUCCAGAUCUGAUUUGUUUUUUUAUCUUAUUCUUUGUUUUGAUUUCAGAUCUGUUCGAUUAGAGCUUUCGUAGGAGUUUCUCGUGACUUGACAACUCGAUCUUGGUCCGCACGCAACCCCAUAUCAAAUUUGAUACGAACUCGUCUCGUGAUGUUUUGAGUCGUAUGUGUUGCCCAAUCGUGAAUUGAGUAAGGAUGGAUUCGUUUCGGUUUUAAAAUGAAACAAAAUAGAGAUAAUGGCUUCAAAAAAAGGUAAUAAACAAAAUAAAGAGGAAACAAUAACAAAUUAAUUGGCUAAGAUCGAAAAUGAACCAACAAUAACGAAUUGUUGACCCAAAUCUCAAAAUGGUCUUUAGGUGUUUUUCAGUUAAAGGAAUCAGGAAAGGAACCUUGACCCACUAUCAACUAUAAUAGGAACCAAAGGUAUAUUGAAUGCCACACCAAAGGUGAUAAGUUCAGCAACAAAGAAAAGAUGGACGCCACAAGCUAUGCUUGAUAAGUCAAAUCAAUUCCGUAAGAACAAAGAGAAUUGGAUAGCUCACAAUUCAAAUAUUUCAUCUAUAUUUAGCAAAAAAAAAUUUUUCGUCUAUGGCUGAUUACAUCUAUUUAUAAUGCUAGAACAAGGUAACCGAAUGGUCAAAAACAUCCACUUAAUGUGCCAUAAAAAACUGAUGUCUUUUCUUAUUCUUUGAAUCGAAUAACUCCUUCCAUAAAAACACUUUAAUUCAGCUGAUUUGAAUGACUUUAAUGGCUUAGAAAAAGACUCUUAAGUUGUCCUUGUGAUACGAGUCAUAAAGGCCCAAUCCAAGUUCAAGAACGUGAUGGGCUCAAAUUGCCACAAGGCCCAAUAACGAGAUCAAAGGCCUGACAAAUGCGGUCCAAACUAAAUGGGACCAUUCAAGAGCUUGUUAGCAAGGCCUUAGAUGCAUACACGAGACAACAAGAAAAUCAAGAUUCACGUUCUUAUUUUCAAGAAACCGAAUCUUGGCCCAAUUUUGCUGUUCGAAGAGAUUUCAAGAAUCAAGAAAAUCAAGAUUUCAAAUCUUGGAAAUCUUGGUCCAAGAAACCAAAUCUUGCAGCCAAAACGCUUUGGAUCUCCAUUACGAGCGUCAACGACCCAAUUUUGGUAGGAGAUGAAUCACGAGCCCAAAUUCUUGAAGGCGAGGCCCAAUAACCAAAAUCCAGCCCAAUGAAGAAAUUUCUUUAUACUUAGUUGAAAAUCAGGCCAAAAUGUCAAAGGGCCCAAUUUGUAAACAUCUUACUUGUUUAAUUUAAUUUUUUAAUCUUUAGGAGCAUUACAUGUAAAAUUCAGCCCAAAACAGCCCAUAUAAGUGCAUGGCCGAAUUUACCUUGUUAUUUUAUUAAUUAGGUUUAAUUUUUUAUUAGUUACUUGUGAGAUUAGGAUUUGUUGGAGGCCUAUAUAAGCAUUGGCCUGCCACCCUUUGUAAACACAUCUUAUUAUUAUUUUUUCUAUCAAAUUUCAGAUUUGUUGAGUGCAGAAUUUUCUUUGGGGUUUUCUCCAAGAAUUCUCUCUUGAGUUUUCUUUAGAAGUUGUUUUAAUAAUCUUUUGAUUGUGGGAGCCAUCUUCAACCUUCUUCUUGCCAUCGAUAUUCUUUGGAGGGGAGAUUAGAGCCGUUUGAAGAGAUUUGUGAAAUCUUUCGAGAUUUCAAGGAUCUUUAGGACUUAUCCUUUAAUUCUUGCUGUUUUCGAUUUCUUUCUUUACUUUUCUUUGCUUAUACUUGUGCCGAUUUCUCAUCUAAUAUUUUGCUGUUCUUGUUUGUUUUCCAGCAUUGAUUAAACUCAAGAUCUCAUCGUUUAAGUUGUUCUCCUAUUGGCAGCACCCAUUCGAACCCAAAAAUCCCCAAUUCCUAGGGUUUGGCCGAUUGGAUUUCUUUCAAUUUGGGAAUCAAUUGAUUACUGGAAAUUGGGCAUUCUUGGCCGAAUCAAUUUGUUGACCGAUUCGCAAUCUUUCUAUACUUCCAAUUUCGUUUGAUUCAUCUAUUCUAUUUCUUUGUUUCUUGCUGCUCCUUUAAUUGAAUUUGGGGAUUUAAUUUCAGGUCUGAUUAGUUUAAUCUUGUUAUUUGUUUUAAUUUUCAGAUCUAUUCGUUUAGAGCUUUCGUAGGAGUUUCCCGUGACUUGGCAAUUUGAUCUUGGUCCGCGUGCAACCCUAUAUCAUUUGGUAUCAGAUUUUGGGCGUUUUGGGUGUUUUUGGUUAAUUUCUAAAUUGAUCUCUAUUUUUUAAAGCAUAAACAGCAGUUUUACCCAGAAAAAUUGUUCAAAAAAAUUCAUUUGAGUGGGUAAACGUUGUCCGAUUGAUCUAAAAUUUUACAUACAUGUUUUUCGAACUUUUAUUGAAUAUAAAAAAUUAUUCCCGCAAAAAAAUCAGUCAAAAAAGUCAAAAAAAAUCAAAAAAUACGAAAUUCAAUAAAAAUUUUAAAAAAGAUUCAGCGGGUUGAAUUUGGUGCCCAAAAUUUCCAGAUCAAAAAUUCAAUAUUUAAGGAUAUUCCAGAUUUAAUUUUGUGAUUUUUAGAGAUCAGGAACACCUCGAACGAAGUUGUCAAGUUACUCUACAGUUUUUCGGGUUUUCUAUUUUCAGCAAUUUUUAUUGAUUCUUAGCUGUAGGUUUUCAUUUGUUUGCUUUUAUUAUUCCGUUACAUUAUCUAACACCUUCUUGUUUCUUGUGUUAGUAGGAUUUACACGUGUGCACAACUCCUUCCUCGGUGCAACACGAAUCACUUGGUGUCUCGUCAGUUUUUGGCAUCCUAGUGCAAAUUAGGAUUCUUUGGUAGUUUGGUUCACACUCUCUAAUUGGUUGAUAUAAACUCUGAUAAAAAACUCACAAGAUUGAAUUCGACCUCAUUGAGAAUUUGAUUUUUUCUUUUUGAGUGAUUAACGGUGAGGUUUGAUAACUUUUAUUUUUGAGUGUUGAGUGUUUUGCAGGUUUAAAAAAAAUGUCUACAGGUGAUAAUAAUAGUGACAUAUUUAAAAAAUUCCAACAACAGUUGGAUGAACAGGCUGCUGCUCUUCAAGCUUUGACUGCUACCAUCAAUGAGGUGCGAUUGAAUCAAGAACCUCAAUAUCGAGAUCCAAUCAAAGAAGAUAGGGAUAACCAACCCCAGAGGCGCGGCCCUCGACGUGUCACUAGAAUGGAUGAUGAUUUUCAUGAUCGUGGGCAACCUUCUUUGGCAAAACCGAAAUUCACAAUUCCCCAAUUUCGUGGUAAGAAUGAUCCUGACGCUUAUUGUGAAUGGGAAUCUAAGAUUGAACUUAUGUUUCGAUAUUAUAAAUGUCCGAAUGAUGAAAAGGUAGCGUUAGCAACACUGGAAUUUUCUGAUUAUGCAUUAAGUUGGUGGACUCAACUUGGGGUAAACCGCCAUCGAAAUUAUGAAGGUGAGAUUUCGACAUGGGAUGAGUUGAAACAGAUUAUGCGUAAAAGGUUUAUUCCACCUCACUACUAUAGAGAAAUUAAAACAAAGCUGAGAAGACUUAUCCAAGGUAGUAGGACAGUGGAUGAAUAUUUUAAAAAGAUAGAGAUGCUCAUUCAGAGAGCUAAUGUGGAGGAGGAUGAAGAAACAACUAUGGUUCGAUUUAUUGAUGGUUUGAACAGGCCGAUAGCUAAUACAUUGAGGCUACAAACUUACAAUGAUUUGGAAGAAGCAGUUCAUAAAGCCAUUGAGAUCAAGCAACAACUAAAGGAACAAAGGUUUGGUUCCUUCUCGACUUCGCAAUAUUACCGAGGUAACAAUUCUAAUUCUGAUUUUAAGAGCUCAAAAUCACCUUUCGUUACUAACAAGUCUUCUUUGAGUAAUGGAAGCAACAGAUUGGAAAAAAGGGGCUCCUGUUAAAACGCAAACACCUUCUAAGCAGCCCAAUUUAGGAGAUUCGAGUGCGAAGAGGACUCGUGAGAUUGAGUGCUUUAAGUGCAAAGGGCGUGGUCAUUAUAGUAGGGAAUGCCCUAACACGAGAUUACUUUUUUUGAAAGAUAAUGGUGAGUACACUUCCGACUCUGAUAAAAUAGAUCCAGAUAUGCCAGAACUUGUGGAUGACAGUGAUAAUGGGGAAGAGUUGGUCGAACCACCAAAAGAAGGGGACUUUGCUAAUUUCCAUUGCUUUGUAGUUCGCCGAACCCUUAACAUUCAGAUGAAAGAUGAUGAGAGCCAAAGGACCAAUAUUUUCCAUUCUCGGUGUUUUAUUAAAGGUAACUUAUGUUCACUCAUUAUUGAUAGUGGGAGUUGCUCGAAUGUAGUGAGUAGUUAUUUGGUGGAUUCUUUAAAGUUGCCUUGUACCAAACACCCUAAGCCAUAUCACCUUCAAUGGCUUAAUGAAUGUUCCGAAAUAAAAGUUACAAAACAGUCCUUGGUCACUUUUAAGCUCGGCAAUUAUGAAGAUGAAGUUUGGUGUGAUGUGGUCCCAAUGCAUGCGGCACACUUGCUCCUUGGACGACCUUGGCAAUUUGAUCGUGAUGUUACACACCAAGGUAAACUUAAUCGAUACUCCCUUGUAUUUAAAGGUAAGAAAUUCACUUUUGCUCCUUUAAAUCCCACUGAUGUAUACAAAGAUCAAUUGAAGAUGAUGAAAUUUUGUGAGGGGGUAAGGGAGAAAGGGCAAGAACAAAAGACAAAAAGAAAAGAGGCUAGUAGUGAAAAAAGUCACAAUUUAAAAAGCCCAAAGGUGAGUGAAUCCUCAAGUGGUAAAAUGAGUGAAAAAAAUCUUUUGGCAACAAAAAAAGAUGUGAGGAGAGCCCUACUCAAUAAACAGCCUUGUAUCCUUGUGAGGUUUAGGUAAAAUUAUUUAUCUUUAUCUAACGUUAACGAAAAUUUUCCUAGUAUGUUUCAAUCUCUUUUGCAGGAUUAUGAGGAUGUUUUUAGUGAGGCCCCUAAAGGUUUACCACCUUUACGAGGGAUUGAACAUCAAAUUGACUUAGUACCCGGAGCUUCGAUUCCUAAUCGACCAGCCUAUAGAUGCAAUCCCGAGGAGACAAAGGAAUUGCAAAGGCAAGUUGAAGAGUUACUAGACAAAGGGUACAUUCGUGAAAGCCUAAGCCCUUGUGCUGUUCCUGUCCUAUUGGUGCCAAAGAAAGAUGGUACGUUUCGUAUGUGUGUUGAUUGUCGCCCAAUCAACAAGAUAACGGUAAAGUAUCGACACCCAAUUCCUCAACUUGAUGAUAUGCUUGACGAAUUACAUGGUUCAAUAAUAUUUACAAAAAUUGAUCUAAAAAGCGGUUAUCAUCAAAUUUGAAUGAGGGAAGGGGAUGAAUGGAAAACAGCCUUUAAAACAAAAUUUGGAUUGUAUGAAUGGUUAGUUAUGCCUUUCGGCCUUACUAAUGCACCUAGUACAUUUAUGAGAUUAAUGAAUCAUGUUUUGAGGCUACAUUUGUGUAAAUUUGUAGUAGUUUACUUUGAUGAUAUUUUAAUUUACUCAAAGUCAUUAGAUGAUCAUGUUUUCCAUGUUCGAACCGUUUUGGAUAUUCUACGAACUGAAAGAUUAUUUGCCAACCUUGAUAAAUGCACAUUCUGUUGUGAUAAACUAAUAUUCUUAGGUUUCAUAGUUAGUGCUCAAGGUAUUCAUGUCGACGAGGACAAAGUUACGGCAAUUAAGGAGUGGCCGACUCCUAAAUCGGUAACUGAGGUGAGAUCUUUCCAUGGUUUAGCCAGUUUUUAUAGACGAUUUGUGAAAGAUUUCUCUACUAUUGUUGCUCCAUUGACUGAAGUUAUAAAGAAAUCAGUGGGUUUCAGAUGGGGUGAAACCCAAGAAAAAGCUUUUCAAACUCUAAAAGCUAAGUUAUGUUCUGCCCCUUUGCUUAAAUUACCUGAUUUUGCUAAAACUUUUAAACUUGAGUGUGAUGCUUCAGGAAUUGGAAUCGGCACCGUUUUAAUGCAAGAUAAGCAACCUAUUGCUUAUUUUAGUGAGAAAUUGAACGGUGCACAGUUAAAUUACUCGACUUAUGACAAAGAACUAUUGGCAUUAGUUCGUGCACUUCAAGUAUGACAACAUUAUUUGCUGCCUAAUGAGUUUGUCAUACAUACAGAUCAUGAGUCUUUUAAAUGGUUAAAGGGACAAGGUAAGUUGAGUAAAAGACAUGCCCGAUCGGUAGAAUUCAUUGAAACAUUCCCUUAUGUGAUUCAAUAUAAAACAGGUAAAGAUAAUGUAGUCGCAGAUGCUUCGUCUAGACGAUAUACUUUAAUAACUACAUUGAAUGCUAAAGUCUUAGGGUUUGAACAUAUUAAAGAGUUAUAUGAUGAUGAUACUGAUUUCAGCCAUAUCUAUAAGAAUUGUGGACAUACUGCUUUUGAAAAAUUUUAUCUUGUAGAUGGCUUUCUUUUUCGUUUAAAUAGGUUAUGCAUACCAAAGUGUUCCAUGAGAGAAUUGUUGAUUCAUGAGGCCCAUAGUGGGGGAUUAAUGGGACAUUUUGGAGUGGCCAAAACACUAGACAUAUUCCAAGAACACUUCCAUUGGCCACAUAUGAAGAAGGAUGUCGAAAAGGUAUGUUCCAAGUGCAUUACAUGCAAACAAGCAAAAUCUAAGGUAAUGCCUCAUGGCCUUUACACUCCUCUACCGAUUCCUGCUUCACCUUGGGUAGAUUUAUCCAUGGAUUUUAUGAUAUGAGUCACAAAAGCCCAAAUUCUUGAAGGCGAGGCCCAAUAAGCAAAUUCCCAGCCCAAUCAAGAAAUCCAUCCAUACUUAGUUGAAAAUCAGGCCAAAUUGUCAAAGUGGCCCAAGUUGUAAAGUUUUAUUUUUAUUUAUUUAUUUAUUUAUUUACUUAGUUUAAAUUUUUAUGUCAAUAUUCAGUCCAAGAGUCCCAGAUAAAAUGACCUUUGACCAAAUUUCCAUAUUAAAAUAAUUAGGAGGUUUUUAUUUAUUUUAGUUUUCUAAUUAGAUUAGGACUAGUUAUAAGGCCUAUUUAAAGGCAUGGCUGUCCACCUUGUUAAACACUUAUCAUUAUUAUUAAAAUUUCAGAUUUGUUGAGAGCAGAAUUUUCUUUGAGUUUUCUCCAAGAUUUCUCUCUUGAGUUUUCUUUAGAAGUUGUUUUAACAAUCUUGUGAUUGUGGGAGCCAUCUUCAACCUUCUUCUUGCCAUUGAUAUUCUUUGGAGGGGAGAUUAGAGCCGUUUGAAGGGAGUUGUGAGAUCUUUCGAGAUUUCAAGGCUUCUUAGGACUUAUCUUUUAAUUUCUUACUGUCAAUUCUUUCUUUAUUUCUACUUGUGCUGAAUCAUUAUCUAAUCUAUUUUCUGUUCUUAUUGUGUUUUCAGUUUUUUUCUAUCUUAAGGAAUUAGCCCAAAAAUCCCCAAUUUCUAGGGUUUUUCCAUACUCUUUUUGGGUGAAAUUAGAUUGUCAAAAUUUGGGGAAAACUAUCUUGAUGUUCAAUUGGGCAGAAUCACAAUCUCCUUGAGGGUUUCAAGAACCCUAACACUUAUUUCUAUUCUCAAUUUGAUACUUUGCUGAUUUGGGGAUUUUAUUUCAGAUUUGGAAAUUCAAAGUUCUAAUCUUUUAAUUUUUCUGUUUCGUUUCAGAUCUGAUUGUUUAGGGUUUUCGUAGGAGUUUCCCGUGACUUGGCAACUCGAUCUUGGUCCGCGCGCAACCCCGUAUCAUUUGGUAUCAGAUUUUGGGCGUUUUGGGUGUUCUUGGUUGAUUUCUAAACUGAUCUCUAUUUUUUAAAUUACAAAUAGCAGUUUUACCCAGAAAAAUUUUCGAAAAAAAUUCAUUUGAGUGGGUAAACGUUUUCUGAUUGAUCUGAAAUUUUACAUAUAUAUUUUUGGCACUGUUAUUGAAUAUACAAAAAUAUUUCCCGCAAAAAAAUAAGUCAAAAAAGUCAAAAAAUUGAAAAAAGAAGAAAUCAAAUAAAAAAUUAAAAAAAUAUUCAGCGGGCUGAAUUUGGUGCCCAAAUUUUCCAGAUCAAAAAUUAAAUAUUUGACGACAUUCCAGAUUUAAUUUUGUGAUUUUUUGAGAUCGGGAACACCUCGAACGAAGUUGUCAAGUUACUCCACAGUUUUUCGAGUUUUCUGUUUUCAACAAUUUUUAUUGAUUCUUAGCUGUAGGUUUUCAUUUGUUUGCUUUUUAUU